RNAcentral lists this long non-coding RNA (132593 nucleotides) under Populus trichocarpa (black cottonwood). RNAcentral describes it as "long non-coding RNA (PTRI_LNC000033)". The record is from RNAcentral. Lineage: Eukaryota; Viridiplantae; Streptophyta; Magnoliopsida; Malpighiales; Salicaceae.
GUUGACUCUUCCUUAAGAAUUGGAAGAAACUGAGAGGACUAGCUAGUGGCAGCACUGAACCUGAUUAUAUACGAUGAUUAUGUAUAGACUUGUGAUAUGUAUGGAUUAAUUAACACUGAAAAGGAAGAGAAGAGAACCUUAGGAAAUGAUUAAGAAAGGGUGAGGGAGAAUUUAUAUCUUAACUUGAAUAUUUAGGGUAGCUAAUUAAUUAUAAUUAGUAUUUAGCAAACUAAGCAGAAGAGAGUUGUGGUAGGUAAAAAUAAGGCCCCUACCUCAUUGUAAUGUUCUCUUUUAUCGAACAAUGCAGUGUUUUAUGUUCAUAUCGUCAGCUGAUAUAUAAUGGUUGCUUGAUGUACGAUUUUAUGAUCAACUCAUGAAUCGUCAUCAAGCAACUUGUAAGCUUGUUUGAUACUGGGUUUAAUUACUACUCAUAUUUAUCUUCAAAAUAUUUUAAAUUAUUGUUUUUUUAAUAAUUUUGAUAAUAUCAAAAAUUAAAAAAAUAUUUUAAUACAUUAAGACUUGAAAUUUUCAUGUACGAGAAAGUGGGAAAGAGUGCUAUGAUUUGUUAAUGAAUCCAAGAAACAUUUAUCUUUUUUUUUUAAGUAAAAAGACAAAAGUAAACUAGCGACAUUUGAAGAGUUGUAAUAUGUAAUAUGUAACAUGAGAUUAUAACAAUAGUUAUCAUAUUUUUUAACUGGUGAAGCACUCUUUGGGACAAAAAUUUAAUUUUUUUUUUUUGCUAAAAAAUAUUUUUUUAUAUGUUUUGCAUUGUUUUGAUGCGCUGAUCUCAAAAAUAAUUUUUAAAAAAUAAAAAAACAUCACUUUAAUACAUUUCGGCACAAAAAGUAUUUUUAAAAAUAACCGUAACCACAUUUUCAAACAAACACUAAGAAAAUUGUUUAUCUGAACUACAAAUAACAUGGUGAGUAAAUAACUUACUUAAAUUAUAAAUAUAAGUAAAAAAACAAAUUAAUUUUUUAUUUUAAUUAUAAAAAAUAAUAACUAAAUUAAACUUGGUUAACCGGGUGAGAUGAACUAAGUAAUUUAAUAAAAUUUUCAAAAAAAUUAAACUUAGUUAAUCUAGUAAGUUAAUUUCAUGGUUUAAUUAAUCUAGACACAUUAACAUCAAAGAUUUAAAAAAAAAGACAAGAAGAAAACAAAGUUAUUUUGAUAAAAAAAAUAAUAAUUGAAAUGAAUUCACUAACAAUUUGAGUUGGUGAUUCAAUGAAAUAUAAUUUAAACUUUAAGAGAAUUUAGUUUAUUAGCAAAUAGGUCCAUGGGCCUUGAAACAGGCCUAGCAUGGGAUCUAUUUUAUUAAGAAACUCUCCUAAGCUUGAAACUCAUUUCGAAAUUUUAGAAUAAAGCCCAUUCUUGGCCUGGACUUCCCUUGUUGGUAUUAAAAGUUGAUCGAAAAGAUUUUAUUUGAUGUGUGAUUUAUAUAUAUAUUUUAUAUUUGAUAUAUAUAUAUAUAUAUAUAUAUAUUUGAAUUUUGGAUUACAUAUUUUUUCUUUUUAUAUAUGGGGGAGGGGCCAUGUUGACAUAAGAGAAAAUGUUGUAAAGAUAGGUUUACAAAAACACAAAUAAAAACCCUUUCAAUUUCUUAAAAUUAAGCACAAAAGUUAAUUCUUCUCAAAUUCUCCAAUCCACUCAUGCAAAUCAAAGCCUGAUUUUUUUUUAUUAUUCUAAAAGUGGUAAAACAUAUUUUUAUAUAUAUAAAAAUUCCGAAAUAAUUCUUUUGCUGAUAACCAAAUCAUUUAACAUCAAACUGAAAAAAUCAUAAUAAUUUUUUUUUCAUAAUCUUUCCUUAGCUUCUAACUUAAAUUACUUUGUUACCUCAAUCACUAUAGUUAAAACAUUUCAUUAAAUUUUCAAAAUAGGAUUGUCCUCAAUCCUCGUCUAACCCAACAAACUCGAGACAACGUCUAGGUUAUGAGCUUGAAGGGUCAACUUAUUUUUUUUUUAAAUAUCAAAACAAUAAUAUUUUGAUAAAAAAAAAUAAAAAUUUCCCAUAAAAAGUCAACAUAUUAAUUACUGAGUUUUGACUGGAUCAAACCCGGAUUAGUCAGGUCAACUAAAAUUUCUAACCAAGUUAGUUGGAUAUAUAUAUUUUUUUUUUCUCAAGUCUCAAAUUAAUGAGGUCCUAAAUUAAUUUAUUCAACUAGUUGGAGUUUUACAACUACGCUCACAACCCCUUUGAGACAUAUGUUCGAAGCCCAUCAUAGAACAUAACCGAGGCCAUUCAACCUCUUUGAGAAAUAUGCUCGAAGCCCAUCAUAGAACAUAAACGAGGCCAUUCCUCUACAGGUGCAAGGUAAUCCAAUUCUCGAACGGUGAACAUACCAUGAAGCAUCCAAACAACCCCAAAACCAAAUCUCCAAAAUCCUGCAAAACUUCUCUAAAACCCUUUUGCAAACUCUCUCCCUCCCUAUCUCUCACAAAUGGCCUUGCUCCAAACCCACUCACUUCACAUAAGAACCCUACCAUCGACCUUCAAAUCACAUUCUUUCCUACCUCUUUUUUCAUCUCCUCAGUCGUCUUUCAAAACCCAUCAAGAAAGCUCUCUUUUUUCUAUCACUAGAACACCCAAGAAGAGACCUUUUUCACUCUCUACACAACAAAGAAGACUUCUCUGCAGACCCCCUCAAGGAAAGUACAUUAGAGAAGACUAUCUUGUGGUAUAUACCCUUUAAUUUUUCUUGUUCUUCUUUUUUCCUUUCUAUAAUCUCAUGUUGUCUUUGUUUUGUGUUGUUGGCUUGUAUUCUGCUUGGUUUCUGAGAAAUGUAGGGAAAAAGAAAAGUAAUUCCAUGAAUUCUGUUUUUUUUUUUUUUUUGAAUAUUGAGACUUGGCUUUAAUUGUGUUAUACCAACAUUUGGCAAAGUGGUAAACAGAAAUAAAGAGAGAAUUGGAGAUGCUAGUUUUUUUGAGUGGCUUUGUUUGCUUGUGGGAUGUUGUUGAAUUUUGUAAAUAUGAUGUGCCUGUUGUUUAAUUGUUGGCGUGACAGAAAAAGUUGUCAGCUGAGGAGAUACAGGAGCUAGUAAAGGGAGAAAGAAACGUGCCCCUUGUUAUUGAUUUCUAUGCAACAUGGUGUGGACCCUGUGUUUUGAUGGCCCAAGAACUUGAAAUGGUAUGCCCCAAUUCUUUAUUUUGAUGAGUUGGAUGCUUUCUAUUCUCAGUUAUCUUGCAAUUUCGUGCAUUUCUUUUUGUACCCAAUAGGAAUAGAUAUGGUUCUGGAAUAGGUUUUCCAUUUGUCAAGAUGCGAAUUUAUAGGUAAUGUCUCGCAAGUCCUAUGAUAACGGCAAGCCCAAUUAGCUUGAUAAUGAGGCUUGGUUAAGUUGAGUUUAGUUUUGUAAUGCAUGUAUAGAGUUAGGAAGUGCCUUCAAAGCCACCAAAGGUACAAACUCUUAAUGGUGGAUCAUGUGUCCUACCAUCCGGUCAAAUUUAAUGGACCAUGACAGGAUAUCAUUCUGUUUUUGGCUGGAUUUCUAUGAAAUUCUGUCAUGGUCCAGUAAAAUUUGACUGGGUGCUACGACACAUUCAGUCAAGCAAAGGCAAAGCCUCUACGUAUUUUAGAAAGGGACUGAAGAAAGUGCGUGUAGAGUUAUAGAGCACAUGCAGUGAUCACUCAUAAGUUUUCUUGUUAACAGUCCAAAUGGCAUGGUGUUCCUUGUCAGGUGCCAUUUAGAAUUCUCAAAAAAGGUUUGGAUUGCUUGAUUCUCUGAUAGAAGAGAUUGGAUGGAGCAUGUCAGAUUUGAUGUGGAUAUUUGAUUCGAAUAUUGCAGACUUAAAUUUACAUGGUGCUUAAUUUGCAUACAACUAAUGAGUUGGCUAGGAAGGUGCUCACAAGAUUUGCCACCACAUACUUAAAUCUGGAGGGCAUGUUGAAGAAAGGAUUUUAAUCAAUUUCUUGAUCAUAAGAAUGGGUUAGAAGUUUACUUGCCAGGGAUACAAAGGCAAGAAUGCAUUGGACAGUUUCAGGAAAUCAAAUUUUUGGAAAUCCAUUAACUUUUAUUUAUGGUGUGUGACUACACUUGUUAAGGCUUCAAGAUUCUCCUUUUCACUUUCUUUUGAAGUUUUAUCAAGCCGAUUCACACACUUUAAGCAAAAUUCCAUAAACAUCCAAACCUUUUAAUUCCUCAAGGCUGUCUUUUGCACUUUCUUGCACAUUAUCUAAUUGCAUACAACUUGCAAACAUCAGUCGAAGAUAAAUCAUUUCCAACAUGUAGUUCAGGAUAAGGAAAAUGACCUCAAAUCUUGUUAGAAAUCAAACUCUACAGUAAAGACUAGUAGUGGAGAGUAGUAGAUCAUGCAGUGUAACCAUUGCUAUUUGAGUAAUGAAUGUAAUACAACACCUCUUACCAAAUAACUAUAUUUAAUAUCAGCUUAACGAAAUGGAAUCAUAUCUCCCACACAGUCUGCUUUGCAGCUGAGUCUGAUUGAUGCAAAAGUAGAUCAGCAGAUGAUGUUCAUGUUGUCUGUUGUUCCGUGCAGCCUUUCUCUCACCGAGAACAUGACGUUUAAUUGUUUGCUCCUUUCUCGAAGCGAUGCUUGUGGAUAGCAGCACAAACUUUUUCUAUGGUUGUUAAAAUUGUUAAAUCCAUCGAAAGGUUUUCAUCCUCCAAAAACUAAACUAAUUAUCAGUGCCAGACGUGGUGUUCUUUUUACAUGUAUAUUUCCAUCCAAGUCAAACGGAGCUGCUUUAUAUAUGGAUUUCACUUGAUUAAUGUAAUUUAUGGAAAUGACAGAGGUGUGACACUAUUUUUAAUCAAUUGCUUUCACCUUUGCAGCUAGCUGUGGAAUACGAGAGCAAUGUGAUGAUUGUUAAGGUUGAUACAGAUGAUGAAUAUGAAUUUGCACAAGACAUGCAGGUACUUUUCAACAUCAUUUUCAUUUUCUUUUCUUUUUUUUAUAUAAGAAAAAAACCUGUAACACUCUGUUGCAUGCACAUUUUCUAGAUGUGUGAAUUCAUGUGAUCUUGUUAAAUUUUAACACCACCCUUUUCUUUGUGAUGUUUGGAAAUAACAUUUCUACUGCAAUCAUGAAACCACAACUUAAUCUUCUAGAGACUUGGUUUGUGCUCAGGUUCGAGGUUUGCCGACCUUGUUUUUCAUUAGUCCAGAUGCGAAUAAGGACGCGAUACGGACUGAAGGGCUCAUCCCAUUACAGAUGAUGCGGGAUAUCAUUAACAAUGAAAUGUGAAGAAGAGAGGCACUGAAUUGCCACAGAAACCCGUGAUUUUUGUUGUUGGUGUUAGUUUACCUUAUCCGAAUCAACUGCUUGUUACUUGUGCUGUAUGUAAUUUAUUUUAUAUUUGUUGUUUGAUUUUGUAGAGAUCUUUUUGCGCUAAAUGAGAUUCCCUGGAUAGCGAGGAUGUAUUUUUUUAAUAUAUGUGCAAGUUUUUCGCUUUGCUGCAUGGUGCCUCUCAUUGUUUUUUACUCUUCCUUUUCCAUAAACAACUUUUCCCAGAGAAAUUGUAGUUGAUUGUGACUUGUGAUGAUUUUUUUCGGACAAACUUGAAAAGCACUCCCAAUUAUAGGUAGUCUCAAUUUUUCAAUCAAACAAUUUUUUUUGUAUCAAUUUUACUCGAUUUUUUUUUAAAAAAAAAUUCUCAAUCAAGGCUUUUCAUUCAAAUUGUACUUUUUUAUAAAUAAAAAAUAACUUCAUUUUAUAGGAAAUUUAAAUUUUUUUGUUUAGUGAUUUUAAAAAUAAAAAAGAAAAAUAACAAGAUUAAUUCAAACAACAUCUUUAAGGAUACUUUUGUUUUAAUUAAAAAAUAAAUGGCAUGCAAUAAUAGAGAUGAUAAUUAAAACAUCAUAUAUAUAUAUAUAUAGUCAGAGAAUGUCAAUAAAAAUGAUCUAUUUUGUACUAUUUGAAGCUGAAUGAAAUUUGUUAAAUUGUUUGGAUAUUGGUGGACAAGGACACACUAACAAACUCUUUCCUUUUUUUCAACAAACGCUCUUUAAAAAUUUAUAUACACAACAGAAGAAUCAUUUUCUACUUAAAUACAUAUAUUUUUUGUUUAUGUUUUGAUAUAUUGUUUAUGCUUAAUUUUCCUUAUAAAAACUGGAGACAUUGAGCAAAGAGCCUGCACAGCAAAAAAAGCCAAGGUGGGCAAGAAGAAAAUGGCAUCCAUUCUAGCUAUUGGCACUGCAAAUCCACCCAACUGUUUCGACCAGGCUGACUAUCCAGACUUCUACUUCCGAGUCACUAAAAGCGAGCACAUGACACAGUUAAAGGACAAGUUCAAGAGAAUAUGUAAGCAAUACACAUGCAUGCGCAUGAUUUCUCAUCUUCGGAUGGGUUUUGAUCAUUCUUUCCAUUGCCAAUCACACUGCUUAAUUUCACGAAGGGAAGAAGAGAGCUGGAGAGUACUGUACGUAGAGCCAGUACACCAUGCAUGCAUGUCUUUCUGCCAUUAAUUAUACAUGAUAGCUCUGCUUAAUUACACAUGAUUUGAUUUGAUUUGAGGAUGCAACUUAAAAUUCAUAUAAUGGGAUCGAAGCCCAUUUCAUCUCCUAUUGGAAAAAAAGCACUUUGUCUAUCAUAUUCAUAUCUGUGUUUUUUAAGGUACCGGGGCAUUGCGGUGAGAAUUUUGAAUUUUUUUUAAGAGUUUUAAAUUAAUAAUCUUUAGUGUUUUUUUAUUGUUUUAAUGUAUUGAUAUUAAAAAUUAAAAAAAUAUUAUUUUAAUAUAUUUUCAAAAUAAAAACACAAUAUUAAUUAACAAUAAUAUCAUGCUUCUAAGUGAAAGUAAAGAAAAGCUUCAAGAAAGAAAGAAAGAAAGAGUUCGGUGUAUUUGCCUAAAUCCUAUGAUCAUAUGUUUUCAUUUUUCUUGGCUGAUGCGCAGGUGAAAAAUCCAAAAUAAGGAAACGUUACAUGUAUAUCACCGAAGAUACUAUCAAGAAGAACCCAAGCUUAAGCACCUACGAUGCCGCGUCCCUCGAUGCGCGUCAAGAAAUUCUGGUCACUGAGGUACCCAAGCUCGGCAAGGAAGCAGCAUUGAAGGCCAUUGAAGAAUGGGGCCAGCCCAAAUCAAAGAUCACCCACCUUAUAUUUUGCACUUCUUCAGGUACCCAUAUGCCAGGUGCAGAUCAUGAGCUUACUAAGCUCCUUGGCCUUGAACGUUCUGUCAAGAGAUUCAUGAUGUAUCAACAAGGCUGCUUCACAGCAGCCCUAGCCCUCCGCCUUUCCAAAGACCUUGCUGAGAAUAAUCCCGGGGCACGUGUUCUCAUCGUGUGUUCUGAGAACAUGACUGUUUGUUUCCGAGCACCAUCUGAGACUCACUUGGAUAUUCUUGUAGGCUCUGCGAUUUUCUCUGACGGUGCUGCUGCUAUCAUUGUUGGGGCUGAUCCUGACACAGCUACCGAGCGCCCAUUAUUUCAACUUGUGUCAGCCGAGCAGUGUAUUGUUCCUGACUCGGAUGAUGGAAUAGUUGGUCACAUACGUGAAAUGGGGAUUUCCUAUUACUUGCAUAAAAUGGUGCCCAAAAUCGUUGCGGAAGGCGCUGCGCAAUGCUUGGUGGAGACAUUCAAUGCUCGAUAUGGGAUCAAGGACUGGAAUUCUCUGUUUUACGUUGUCCAUCCUGGAGGUACAGGCGUUUUGAACAAGUUUGAAGAGCACAUUGGCUUGACGAAAGAUAAAUUGAGAGCAUCUCGGCAUGUGCUAUCUGAGUAUGGAAACAUGUGGGGUCCAAGUAUGUUCUUCGUUCUUGAUGAGAUGAGGAGAAGAUCAGCCAAGGAAGGGAAAGCCACCACUGGAGAAGGAUUGGAUCUAGGUGUGCUGUUCGGGUUCGGCCCUGGCGUAACUAUCGAGACCAUAGUGCUCCGUAGUUUCGCUACGGAUUGAAUGACUACUUCGGCAGCGGACUCGUCAAGAUUACUGGAAGGAUCAUGCAUGGUUAAUUAAGGUAACUCUGUGUCAGUGUUUGUUCUUUUGUUUUUCAGAUUUGAUGAUUCAAUAAAGCAUCUGUGCGGAGGAUCCGGCUCCUGUGAUAGGAUCGGACUUCUCUCACGAAGACGUUCCUGUUGUUGUUGUUUUAGCACUUGUUGUUUUUGAAAUUGAAUAAGAUUUAAUUAUUAUGUUAUUAGAAGAGGUGGGAUGCAUCCCACUGAGUUUUCACUUGAAUUUAUUAAUUUGAUUCAUGUUUUAAUUACAAUGCCUUUGGAAAAUCUCUGAAAGCCUUGCAGUGGAUUCUUGGGAACAUUUCUUUCCGAAUCGGCUCCCUUUGGGAUCCUUUUUUACAGAAAAACUAGGACUGCCUCAAGUGGAUUACCCUGCUAUUUCACUACAAUAUUUAACAGUUUUACCGAUAGAAUUUUUCUGUCGGCGUAAAACACAUAUUCCAUCAGUAAUUAAUUUACUAACAAAAUUACCGACAGAAUUUAUUCCGUCGGUAAUUCCGUUGGUAAAAAUAGCACGUCAUCAUUUUUUUUUUGUUUUAAUUUUUUUUCCACGGUAAUUCUCUCGGUAUAUACCGAGGGAAUAUUUCCGUCGGUAAAAUCCCUCGAAAAUUUACCGAUAAUAUUUUCGUUUGUAUUUAUCGAUUUUUCUGGUAGUGUUUAUCAUUCUGAACUUCAAUUGUUUUUUGAGAGACCCUAGACUUCCUUUCCAAUUCUUUCACAGAAAAUUAACAGUGCUUAGAACAUAUAUAUCACUGGAAAUAAUGAAAGAAAUCCAACUAAAACUUCUAUCUGCAAUAUUCUAGCAAUAUUUUUGCACUUCAAUAAAAAUAAAUUCAGAAUAUUGUUGAACACACAAUUACAAGAAAUUUUAUAAUACUUAAAAAGUAACCAAUGAUAUCACAUUAGUUAUUUCAUAAAACAUACUUUAAUAAAUAAAUAAAUAUAAGUAGGAGAGAAAUAUUAGUUGAUGGUAAUUUCUUUUGUUGAUUACUUUAAAAGAGCAUGAUCCUUAACUAGCAGUUUACUAGGCAAUAAUAAUUUAAAUAUGAUAAAUUGGCAAUAUUUGCCAAGAUGGACCUUGUUUUUUAAUAGUAAAACUAUUAUUACUAGCUUUUUUUUUUUUUACUAGGGCUAUAGACUCAUCAUAAAAUUAUUAUUCUACCUUUAUAACAAAAAUAAUUGCCUUGGUAACGGGGUAUUGUGAUAUUAUUUUUUUAUUUCUUGCAUAAUAAAAUAACUAUUAUUCCCUUACAGACAUAAAAUAAUGAACUAGAGGUUUGGGGCUUUUUUUACUUUCUUAUUUUUAAAGUAUGGUAAAAUGAUCAUGUUGUUCUUGAAUUCAAAUUGUUUUUAACUCAGGUAAAAGAGGCUUUUGGUCUUUUCUUUAUUUAUUUUAUAUUAUCUACUUUGAUUGAUAGCAAUUUAGUAUUUUAAUAUAUAUAAAAUAUUAUUUAAUUUUAAAAAAUGGGUUGCACUUGCAAAGCACCUGGAAGUAUGUGGGUAUACCCGUGUUAUUUGGGUGGCACGCACGCCAUUAUUUAGUGGCCAAAUUCCAGCAUCCAUUACGGUGUUUUAAUCCUCAAGAUGGCUCCGCCGUUCCUGGCAGGCUCAUGCUACCAAAAUAUCUUGGGUUUUGUGACGAUAAUUUUUUUUUUUCUUUAAUUUUAAUAAUUUUUUUAUAUAUUUUUAAAAUAACCUUUUCAUUUAUUUUUCUUUUAAAUUUUAUGCAUGUUUUUUUUAUUGCUACUUAUUUUAUUUAGAUAAUCAUCUCGAUUAAUUUGAUAAUUUAUUUUUUUAUUAUUAUUUUUAUUAAAAUAUUUUUUUUAUCCCUCGACAUUUUACUUUUUUAUUCUAUCUUUUUACAUGGUUAUCUUGAUCUUAUGUGUCAAGUCAUAAGUUUCGUAUUUUAACCUAACUUGACCUGAGUUAAUUUUUUUAGUUUAUCUGUUAUUAUUUUUUAUUUUUUUAUUAUAUUAUUAAAUUAAUUGAGAUUAUUAAAUUUAAUCAAGUAAAUAACCUAAUUUCUCCUACUUGAAAAAUAUAUUCGUUGUCUAAGUAUUUUAUUUUUUUGUUAAAAAAAAUAUGCGGACCACAGUAUAGCAAGUACUGUUAGUUUGUUGACGGAAGGAGGAAAUGGAAAGUAAUAUACCCUAAAAAGUUUGGUCCGGCACGUGUUAUAGUGCAGGCCAUCAAUCUAACAAGUAGAGGUGAUUAUUUUCACUUUAAUUCAGUUCUUAUAAAAAAAAAAAACCAAACUAGUUUUUUUUAUUUAAUAAUUGAAGUCAACCCACAAGGUGGUGGAGUUCAGUGCCUGUAGCUGUUGCCUUUUCUACUAAACCAAACGCAGCAAAGAUUAAAGAAUCAUUGAUGCAGACAAAGACAACAGAUCUCACCUUAAGAAAGCAAGUGAAACAAGGUAAUGCCUACACCUGCCUACUUUCUUUUCUUGUUCAGGGGAUGCUCUCUUUGCCUUGUAUGUUAACUUUUUUCUUCAAGGUAUUGCUGCGGGUUUAGAAUGUCAAAUAUUUGCUUUCAUUGUUAUAGUCUUGCAUGAUCUUUUCAUCUUGAUAGAAUAUAAGAAUGAACUCGCUACCAUUAGCUGUUGUUUCAAGUGCUAAGUGAUUUGCUUUUCAUUUUAUAAUCUUGGGGUUGAGGUGGGGGGAAGCCUUGGCAAGAAGGAAUUGAAUUGAGUACUGUGCGAGUUUAUUCUGUUAGUGUAAGCUCAACAUGGCGACGAACACAAGGAAUUCAAAUCCAAUGAUUAAUUCAUGGAUGAAUUAUAGAUAUGGUUAGUGUGCAAAUAAUGAAAAUCGCUUACAACUUAUUGGUUCAUUCAUGGUUUUGUCAGGCUCAUAAACUGCAAUUUAUUGGUUAUUUUAAAGGUUUGUGAUUAACUCUUGAUGUAAUCAAACUAUUAAUGAAUGUCAUGCUGAUUUAUUUAGCUUUACUUGAAUGGGAUUUUCCGUCUCCUUCAUUUUUUCUGACCAUCUUAUGCUUUCUUUUACAGGCUUUGUUGACACCUUCUGUUCUACAUUGAUCUUUAGUGCUUCCUCUUUCAUUGAAUUGUGAGAUUUUAGUUUUGUCCGAUGGCUGCUAUGAUAGACUGGAAAGCCUGCUCUUCAAUCCGUCCGCACGCUUAUGAUGUGUUCUUGAGUUUCAGAGGUGCAGAUACGCGCAAGAACUUUACUGGUCACCUCUAUAUGGCUUUGCAAGGGGCUGGAAUUCGUACAUUUAGAGAUGAAGAUGAAAUCGAGGGAGGAGAACAUAUUGGUUUUAAAAUAACAAAAGCAAUACAAGAGUCGAAAAUGUCACUAGUGGUGUUUUCAAGAGACUAUGCUUCUUCAAAAUGGUGUCUGGAAGAACUCUUGAUGAUUAUGAAACGUAGAGAAACUAUUGGCCACAUUGUUCUGCCAGUUUUUUAUGAAGUUGAUCCAGAUGAUGUCUCAAUGCAGACUGGUUUUUUUGCUGAGGCAUUUGCUAGCCAUGAAAAAAACUUCAUGGACAAUAGAGACAUGGAGGAAUGGAGGGAGGCUCUUAGAAAAGUUGCAGAUCUGAAAGGACCUGUUCUACGUGAUAGGUGAUUUUUCAAAACUUUUCUAGAAGAACUGUAACAGAAAGAAGAUUUAGUCAAGAAAAUUUCUAACUGUUUAAGGAACUCUGCAUCGCAAAUGCAUGAAAGGAAAAGGAUAUUGUAAAAUACCUACAGGCAAUUAAAGAACAAACAUAACUAUGUGUGCAAUUAUAUAAGGUUAUAGAAUGAUUUAUAAUUUAAUAUAAGCAAGUCUUAAAUUGUGUAAGUUCUGGUGUUUAUGCAUCAUAGUCUUGAAAUGAAUUUGACUGCUAAAGAGUUGAGUGGAUAAAGUCUGGAGGAUAUAUAAUAUACACAGUUUUGACGAAACCCCAGAAUACAUGCUGGUUUAUCUUCCCAAGUUGUUGGUAGUUCAGCUUGGUCAUCUCUUGUCUUCCACCUUCAGAAUUAAUGGUUGACAUGUUUAUGUCAUGCUAUGUAUUUUGUUCUUAUAUGAGCUAUGAGAGAACCAACAAACUAAUUUGUUUGUCUAAAUGCAGUGCUCUUCAACUUCUUAGCUACUAAUUCAAGGUAUUGUCGAUUGGGUUUGGUACUCUGGUUUUUCAUUUUGAAUUUAUUUUGUAGGUACGAGGCACAAUUUAUUCAAGAUAUUGUCAAAGAAGUUGGAAAGAAAUUGAACCGCAUGAUAUUGCAUGUUCCCCCAUAUUUAGUUGGAAUUGAGUCUCGUGUAAAAGAAAUUAGGUCAUGGUUACAUGAUGGGUCAGAUAAGGUUGGCAUAGCAAUACUCCAUGGGUUUGGUGGAGUUGGGAAGACAACCAUUGCUAAGACUGUUUUUAACCAGAACUUUCACGAAUUUGAUAGUUGGAGCUUUCUUAGAGAUGUCAGAGAAACUUCAAAUCAGCCAAAUGGCUUGGUUAAAUUACAAAGACGGCUUCUUUCAGAUAUCCUGAAGGGAGAACCACAGAAGAUAAACAAUGUAGAUGAAGGAAAUAUCAAGAUCCAAAAUGCUUUAGCGUAUAAAAGAGUUCUUGUUGUUCUUGAUGACGUGGAUCACUUGGACCAAUUAGAUAAAGUUAUUGGAGACCGGAAUCAGCUUUACCAGGGAAGUAAAAUCAUUGUAACUGCUAGACAUGGAUCCUUGCUAAAGUCUCAUGAAGCCUGUGAAAAGUUUGGAGUUGAUGCUCUUUGUUAUGAUGAAUCACUUCAGCUUUUCAGCUGGCAUGCCUUUGGACAAGAACUUCCUAAUGAAGGUUAUGAAGAGUUCUCUCAGAAAAUAGUGCAUCAUUGUGCUGGGAUUCCGCUAGUUCUUGAAGUUCUGGGUUCUUCUCUCUCUGGACAAAGUACAGAUUUUUGGAAAAGAGCAUCACAAGAACCUGAAGCCAUUGAUGGUGAUGGAAAAAUACAGAAGAUUCUUAAGAUAAGUUAUGACUCUCUACGGGAUGAACGUGACAAAAACUUAUUCCUUGACAUAGCUUGUUUCUUCAUUGGAAAUGACAAAGAUUACGUGAGAAGAAUCCUCGAGUGCUGUGAUUUCUAUAGAACACUUGGUAUUCAGAAACUCAUUGAUAGGUGUCUUAUAACAAUUGAUAAAGAUAAUAAAUUGAUGAUGCAUCAAUUGCUUAGAGACACGGGGAGAGAAAUUGUCCGUCAAGAAUCACCCGAUGACCUUGGGAAACGUACAAGACUAUGGCAUCAUGAUGAUGCACUUGACAUACUGGAAAAAAAUAUGGUAAGAAAAUUACUUUUCAUGUUUCCACGUAACAACAUUUGUGUAUGCAUUUUGCUUUUGAGAAAACAAUUUUUUUUAAAGCAGGGAACACAAAAAGUAAAGAGUCUCGUCCUUGAUCAGCAGCUGCUAAAUACAGAAAAUGAGGUGCACUUGGAAGCAGAAGCAUUUACUAAAAUGCGGAAUCUAAAAUUGCUACACCUCAAUAAUGUAACAGCUAUUAAAGAAAUGCAAGAAGGAAAGGAGAUAUUGACAGUGCUGGCAUGGAUUCUCUUUGAAUUGCUUACCGAAUGAUCUUUUCCUGAAGGAUCUGGUUGUUCUUGACCUGUGUAAUAGCAGUCUAAAACAAGUUUGGAACGGAAUCCGGGUAGGCAACUAGAUCCUUUUAGUCCUAGGCCUAGACAAUAAUUGAGGUCUUUAGAGAGAAUCAAGGGAUAUACAGCUAUGACAGAAAUUGAAUAAGCUUGAUCUCAGCCAUUCCCUUUGUCUUGUUACAACCCCUGACUUCUCAGGACUCCAAAGUCUUGAAAUAUUGUUACUUGAAGGGUGCAUAAGUUUGGUUGAGGUUCACUAUUCAAUUGGAAACCUUAAGAGGCUUGUUUUUAUAAAUCUCAAGGAUUGCAAAAAUCUUCGGAAGCUCCCAAGUGAAAUGAGUGAGUUGAAAUCACUUCAGGAACUUAAUUUGUCCGGUUGCUUCAAUCUUGAAGAGAUACCUGAGCAGGUGGGGAAGUUGAGUUCUGAAAUGGCGCUUCAUGCAGAUGGAAUGUCAAUAAAAACAUUGCUAGCUUUAGUUCGAAGCUUGUGGGCCUGGGAAUCAUCUAGAAAAAGCUUGUUAUCUGCCCCUUUUACUCUGUCGUUUUUACCAGACUCUCUGAUAAAGCUAACUGUCUCUGACUGCAAUCUGGAAGAUCUUGAUAUACUUGAUCUUAGCAGGCUGAGUUCUUUAGAAUAUUUAGAUCUUAGUGGAAACCCCAUUUGUAACCUGCCAGAUAGCAUGAACUGUCUCACUGCGCUCAAGUCCCUUCUGUUACAUCGGUGCCCAAGGCUCCAAUCACUUCCAGAGCUACCAGAAAGUUUAAUGAGAUUAAUAGCAAGCAAUUAUGGAUCUUCGGAAAGAAUUACUAAUCUCCAAAACUUGUUGGGACCAUUGGAAGUGGAUACUUUUAAUCAUCAUAAACUGAUUGAGGGUCAAGGUGUUUUCAAGUUGGAACUAGUAAGAAAUUUUGUUGUAGAGAUGAUCAAGAUGGUGCACUUGUUCAAUUUGGCAUCUGUAGGAAAUAUUGAAGUGACUAGGUCCAAUGUUGUGACAUCAACUCAGAGAAAGCUUUCAGUCCAGGUUCUUGUUAAUGUUUCAGCCUUUUCAUUUUCUGUUAUGUCUUUAUUAUGCAUCAUCAAAUUCUACAGGUGUAAGUGCAUGUGAUUUUGUAUUUAUACACAAUUCUGUUGUGUAUGCGCAUUGUUUUUUAUGUAGGUCUGUACUUUUUCAUGGUGCCUCUGUCCUUGUUCGUUUUUCAAAUUACAAUUCCUAUGCUGCAGGUAUUUCAUGACUCUGGCACAAGUAGCAUCUUUCUUCCAGGGAGCGAUGUUCCUGAUUGGUUUUAUGUUCGUACUGAGAGUUGUCAAACAACAUUUUAUUUGCCUCCAAGUUUUGGUUGCGAAAUCUGUGGCUUAAAUAUAUGUGUUGCAUAUGCAUGCAUUAACCCUGAAGUUGUUUUCAAUAAACCUUAUUAUGCCAAAAUUAGAAUCGAGACUAAGGAACUACUUUGGGAAUAUACGCCAGAAUUCUUUGGAUUUCCAGAAGCCAAUGAGGAUAUGUUGUGGUUAUGCCAUUGGAAGUUUAAGGAUUGGUUUAAAGAUGGAGAUGCAGUGCAGUUUUCAGUGGCUAUGGCUCCUUAUUUUCAGUCCUCUGUAUGAACAGCAAGAUGAUGAUGAUGAUGAUGAUGAUGAUGAUGAUGAUGAUGAUGUUGUUGAAUCAAACUCUGGAGAAAUAGUCCAGGGCACCUCUCGUCGGCGCAGAACUCUCACUGAUAGAGAUUUAAUAGCAUACAAGCGGGACGCAACAUAUGAUCUUCACCAUUAUGACACACUUAUAAAUAGUCUUAAGAAUCAAUCAGAACUCUGAAAGUGAAAAUAGAAACAGCUGACCUCCGAAACCGGGGCUAUGCAGAAAAGAAUUGAAGCAUUAGCACAUGAAUGUACCCGUUGCAGAUGAUGCAGAGUUGUGAUGGAAUUUUUCAUGCUGUGAUGUACCAAAAAUGAUUUAUAGACAACGGAAAACGUGACUGGAGAUUUGUUGGAAGCAAAGAAUGUAUGCAUUUUCUUCCUAUUCAAGCACUAGACAACUUUUCUUUUUAUGUUGGCAUCUCAAAUCCAUCUCUUUUAUGACUACUUGACCACUUUCGAAUCUGAUAUAGCUUCACAAGGAACUUCUUGCUUAAACUUGUUCCUAUCACAUUUUUUGCCUAAUGAUGUUGGGAUGAUGGUCUUUUUUUAAUUUCAAUGGUGUUUAAAACUCCCUAAUUUCCUUGGAAUGCCUUCUAUGUCUUCAACAUGUAGCCAAAAGUAGGAAAACAACACGUCCAUCCUUUAGAGCAGAAACAAUAUCUGAGACUGUUUCUUGUGCAGUCUUUCUGGAGUUUUAAAUUGCAUUGCCAUUGUAAGCCUUUCUCCUGUGAAACUUGCACAAGAUCUGAUCUUAUUAAAAAUGGCUUCAUGAUUUCCAGUUUUUUUUUUUUUUUUUUUUUGACAUGGCCAGGGCAAAAUCAGUGAGACUAUGAUACAAUACAAAAUUUACAGCAAAAGUGAUUUUAAAAAAAAGACAUCAAAAUAAUAUUUUUAUUUUAUUUUAUUUUUUAAAAUUUAUUUGAGAUAUAAGUAUAUUACAACUAUUCAAAACACUGAAACAAAAUACUUUAAAAAAAAAAAAAACUAGAUUCUAAAUUAAACCCAUAUCACAAAAUUCAAAAGCAAAUCUUGUACUAGUAAAGAGAAUUUCAGUAAUGAGGUGCAUUCUAGACAGCUCAAAAUCAGCACUAGUAAUUCCUUGACAAGCAAAUCUUAUACUACAAACUCAUACAGUAUAAAGGGCAACAUUUGCAGCAGCAUCUGAGGGGGAGAGAGCCAAGAACAUGAGAGCGGCCAUAAUUCCAACUGGAAAGAACAGAAGUAUCAAUGGUGGAGGAGGAAGUGGGGGUAACAUCAAUGGCAACACAGCCAUUGAUGCUGCUAAAACUGUUAGUAUCAAAACACUCACGAUGCUGAAACACUGCACCAUUGUCUUGUAGUAGUAGUAGUCCUCACUUUUCUUGAUUUUCUUGAAUCUCUAUAUAUCAUUUCUUGCCUCAGCUAACUGCAGCAAGACUGUGCCAGUGCAGAGAAACGGAUUUCAGGAAAUGGAUGAUACAACAACGAAAACAAGAAUUUGUGCAGCUUUUCUAUGGUUUCUUGGAAUCUAAGAUGGGUCCAGAAAACGAAAGAAUAUAUGGUUGGUAUGGCGAAGAACAAGAAAGGGAAGUACAAUAACCAAAUGACCUUUUCGAAAUGAAGAAGUGUAUGUAUAGAGGCACCAAGACUUUGUACAAGAUUGAGGCAUUGAUAUUGAUUUUUUGGGUCAAGAAAUCUGGUUUAGGGUGCUGGUCCAAAUCAGACAGAAUCAGAGCAGCAGAUCCCAAUAUAUUCAAAUUGAUACGUUGGGAACCACCAGGAACAUUAGUUUAAGAUAAUCACUGUUUUUUAGCAUUAUUUUAAGGGUUUGAAACAAUAUAAUUAAAAUAGAUGAUGAUCAAGUUGCUUUGUCACUUUUGUCUAAGUUUUGUUUUUCUAAUGUUUCUUUUACAGUUGGACCAAUGUGCUGGAAUAAAAAGGAUUCGCCCCUAGGUUAUUAAAUGAUGUCAUUUUGACGUGAUAUUCUCAGCCUUGAUGGUCUGAAUUUUAAAUAUUAUUAUUUUUAAAUGAUGUUAUUUUAAUAUUUUUUAAAAAAAUAUGUUUAGUUAAUCCAUUCGAUCCAUGAUUUUGAUUUUAUAUUAAAUUAAUUUUCAAAUUGAAUUUAAUAACUAUGAUUGUGGUGCAAAGUUCUUUUGAAAAAUAUUUAUCAUUUAAAAACAUAUCAGAAUUAAUUUUUUUCUGAAUUUUAACAUCAACACAUUAAAAUUAUUGAAAAAUAUAAAAAAAUAUCAAUUUAAUAUAUUUUUUAAAGGCAUAUAUACUCUUAAAAAGCAUAUAUGGUACCUUAUAAUCCAUGCUUAUGUGAAAAGUUGGAUACAUAUUAUAAUCUAUGCUUUUGUAUAGUACAGGUUUAGAUGUGUGUUCAGUGAUCUGAACUUGGAAAGUCUUGAACGCCAUGCAAUAUUCUGUAUUAUUCUAUGGUACCUUUUCGAAGUUGUUUCUUCAUCUAACGGGAUUAUUUCAGUAAUAAAAAACAGCUUCAUGUCGAAAAUACUUUUCUUUCAUUAUUGAUAUUGGGAAAAACUAGAUUUCACAACCAAUGACGUUGAGUCAAUGACCCAUCAAGAACAAGAAGAUACGGCAGCUCGAUUGCAGAGAGAAAAGAAUAAGUAAAGAGGGAUUCGAAAAGAUAUUGCCCAGAAUCCAAGAAUGCUUGGAACCCCAGAUCAUGGAAGCAUGGUCCUGCUUCUAGUGGGAACCUAUCAGUUUACAUAUAUACUUCUCUUUCUCUCGGAAUCAACGGCAGGCAAACACGCAGAGAGUGUCUCAGUUCAUUGCAUGCUUCAUGAAGCGUCAACAGCCUUUCAAUGCUGGCACGUCUGACACCCAAAAAAUAAUGAUAAUAAUAAUAAUAAUUCUCCCACGAGAAUUCUUACAUGAAUUUUCCUAAUUUUUUGUUGACAAAGGCAAAUUCUUACAACAUGUUUGAUGUUCGAGAUUCUUGUAGCUUUUUAGAUAUUUUUUAAAAAUAUAUACAAUUAAAAAAAAUACUAAAUUAAUAUUUUUUUAACGUGCAAGAUCCUGUUUAUUUUUGAGUUUGUCGUAUUUAAAAAAAAUUAAUUUUUUUGCAAUAAUAAAUACUAUAUAUAUAUAUAUAUAUAUAUAUAUAUAUAUAUAUAUAUAUAUAUAUAUAAUAAGAAUUCAAACAACCAAACACACGGGAAAUAAAAACUAAAAUCCAGAAUAGCGACUCCUUAUUAAAAAAAAACAAAAGCAUAAUGAUGUUGAAGAUAUGAAUCACAUGAUGAAUGAUAAUGACAUAAACUAUGAAAUUUCUCCUCCUCUGUACAGAUUGGAAGAAUAUGUGCUGCAUGCUUGCAAGUGGGUGCAUUUGCACUGACUGCUGCUGCUGGUGGUUGCUUUUUAAGAUUGGAUUUUAAUGGAGGACUAUAUAAUAUAGUUUAGCUAUAUCUUUCUCAUAUAAUUAAAGAGAUCAUGUCAUGUGUGCAAUGUAUCUGCCCUCAUUGCCUGUACAACGGCCGACGUCUCUCUUUCCAAAAGUCACACCCACCAUGGGCAAUUCCCACCAGUCUGUUCUUCCGUGUCUCUCACUUUUCUUUGUUUGAUGAAGCCAACUGGGGUUCCGAUCCAAAAGUAUGUGACUUUGUGUGAUCAAAUAUUAAAAAACAAAGUUCUUUUGUCUCUACCAUUUCUCCCUGGUUUUGCUUCUCGGGGCUUGGCUUUGACUCGUAGAACAACAACCUUAUUUGACCAUUGUAAUUGUGUAUGCAUCUUGUUCUAGAUUGGGAAAUUUGUGCAUGCAUUCUUGUUUGUCACAGAAAUUUGUUUACCUCGAUAGGACUCAAUGCUUUACGAGUUAACUCAAGUAUAUUAAAACGUUGAAAAGAAACCCUUUAAUUAAUCACCCAAGCUAAAAGUUCAAGACUCAAGGGUUAGAAAUGUAACGAGACAAAACAUUUUCGAACUUGGGACCGAGUAGUAGUCUUGUGUAGAUAGUCCAAUAUUCAGCUCUGUUGAAAGUUCAACGCUCUUUGUUUCUCACUUCUUUUCUCAAAUUUGGGCAGACACAAUUCUGGGCCACAGUUGAAGAUGGGAGUGCAUGAUGUGAGUUAGCUGAAAUUGAGCCUGGACCAGUAGGAUUUUCUGUAAUGGGAUUGCUUCGAAAUGAGCAUGGUGUGCUCAGCAUGAGUUGGGGUUUAUUAACUUGAAAGAAACAUGAUGAAGUUGAAAUUCUAUUUAGAUGCCAAGUUAACUAGUUUUAUUACCUGUACAUUGGUUAUUGAAAUGUUGGAUAUUACACAACUUGUCGAAUUCAUCCUUUAAAAAGUACGAAUUUCCCUUCCACUACUAUACUCGGCAGAGAGAGAGAGAGAGAGAUGAGAACAUAACAUUAAUCCAACACAUGGGAGCAGUUCCCCGGGAGAAACUGUCAUCCAUGGAAAUAAAGCAUGCUUGCAAAUCAAGUACAAGAGAAAACAUCAUUUGGUGCAUGUUUGUGAACUUAAUCCUCGUACAUGCAUGGCAUUAUAAUUUACAAGACACAAAUUCCUGAACUAACAUGGAAAGAUCGAGAGUUACUUCAUUGUUGCUACAUCUUGCUUUCUGAACAUAUGUUGUGAUAGCUGUGGGACUAAACUAGAUGAAUCAACACAUAACAACAUUUGCUUAUCAGCUGCUCUUGAAAAUGCGAAAGCUCAUUCUGAAGCUUCAGUUCAGAGAGAUGAAUGCCCACUUGAAAACGAGCUCCUACCUCAGAAUCCCAUUUACAAGGUAUGAUUCAUACCUUCAAAAUUGAGGGACGUUAAACUCUUAUCAGCCGCAGUGGUAAAGGCCUUGUUUCUUGAAAUCUGAACAUGGCCUGUUAAGCUUUUGUUUACGCUCAUGUUUUGACAGCGUGGACAGACUUUUUGCAGAUUUAACUACAUUCAAGUGUUCUGAAACCUGCAGCAACAAAAAUGAAUAUUGCAAAAGAGAGAAAACAAGAAAUAACACAGAUUUAACAUUGUUCGGCAAUGUCCACAUGAGCGGAGUUAUAUUUCACUAUAUGUCAAAUUAGGUUAACAUAAUAUGUAUUUUAUAGUAAACCCUAGUGGUACAAGAGGUAUUGGUAAUUUCCAAUAAUCUCCCUAUGAGCCACAUACUAUAACACAAAGUUUACUGUGAUCAAGGAAUGGAGCUCUGCUAAGGCUUGUGAUGUAUUUGCUAUCCAGUCACAUCUUUCACUUACAGGUGGUCAGCUUUGUCUCUCCAGAAUUGCCAUUCAAGCUUAGCCAUACAUGAUGUUUCAUCUUCAACGUAGUCAGACAACUGAGAAAGAAUUUGGAUUUGCAACAUGGAUUGGCCUCAAAACUCAGGGAAACUCUGUUGAUAAAAAAAAAAAAAAAAGUAAUGAACUUGAGUAAUAAAUAAGCAUCACCCACUCUGCUAUCUGCAUUGAUACAGAGAGAAAUAUAUGCAUGCAAGAAGGAUUACGUGGCCAUUACCAGCAAUCUUUUUACUUCUAUAUUUCAGUAUGGUAUUGAACAUUUUUUAAAGCCUACCAUUUGGAGAUGAAACCUGAAACAAGCUAUUCAAUAGAGUACAUAAGCAAUUUCAAGUUUUCUCCAAUCCAAAUAGUAUGACAAGCAAGCAUAAAAGGCAUCGACCUCUCUUACAGAAAUACUCUUCAACAGUACUGCAAUCAAUGUGAACAAGACUUGCCUCUGAAGAGUUCCAUUUAAGAUUCAGAUUAAAAUCAUUAGUCUUUUAUAUAUAUUUUAUAUUUUCCAAUGGUAACAAUCCUAGUCCUAUAUUAAUUCUCUUUUUUUUUAGAUAUAAAAAUAACUAAUUCUUUUAUUCUUAUUUUUUUGGUUAGUGUCUAUGAAAAAAAAAAGAUUGUUAAUUCUUAAUAGGAUACAUCUCUGAAUGUUUAAGCGUAUAGGGACUUGAAUGGAAAAGGAUGUUGAUUUAUAUAGCAUACUAUCCCAAGAAAUUCCCCUUUUUUAAAAAAAUAGUCUAUGAGACCAACUAGCCAUUAGGACUUCUAAUCCAUGACAUACUUGCAAAUCAAACCUGAGCGAAACAUCAUUUGUAUGUUCCACGGUUCCACACACAAUCCAACAGACAACUAUGAGAGCAACUGGCGUUUACGACUUCUAAUCCAUGACAUGAUUGCAAAUCAAACCAGAGUGAAACAUCAUUUGUUCCACGGUUUUACACACACAGCAAAAGACAACUAUGAGAGCAACUAGCCAUUAGGACUUCUAAUUCAUGACAUACAUUCAAAUCAAACCCAAGUGAAACAUCAUUUGUAUGUUCCAUGGUUUCACACACAUACAUAAUGGAAGUACGAAAAUUUGAAGUGCAUAUAUAACUUUUUAAAAAAAAUUAAUGCCAUGAGCUAACCUGGAAGACUGGAAUAUAGCUCCAAAAUAUGUCGGGCUAACCAAUGAAUGGUGAAUCAUCAGGCAACACUCCAAGCAGAAAUGACCAUCAACUAUAUUUGAUAACACAAAAUCCUGUGCCUGAGCUUCAGUCUUUCAAGUGUAAUUUCUGAACCGGAUUUGAAAUCAGUUCCAAUAUCAAUACUAUGCUCACCAUAAGCCUCCAAUUAGUGCAUGACCACUCCACAUACCAAGCAGAAGCACCAUCUAGAUAUUCCUUAUAUGAAAAUGCAUUAGUCUGAAUCCUUUCCCUUCGAAAUUGAGCAACACUAUACUCUCAUAAGCAGCACCAAUUAAGAUAUUUAUGUAAGGAAUCUAUUUCAUUUAGUAAAUCAAUCCUAAUAACAUGAAAGUGAUUUAUUAUGAAUCUACAUCUGAAUCCCACCAGGUACUAAAGAAGCAUGCCAUGGAUAUUCAAAGUCAAAAAGCACCACCACACAUCUGCCUGUGCAAGCUCGCACUUGUGCAUCUAGGUGUGUUUGUGACCAAUGGAUUUAAAAGUAGCUUUAUAUCUGUGAAAAAUAUGAUGCUUCAAAACAGAAUUAGCAUGCAACAGCACUAGGAAUCUUGAUAUUGAAUUUGGAUUAUAAUACCUCAGCAUGUUGCAUAGAUAUGUAUGUUAGGAACAUGCUGAAUCUUGUGCCAGUCUUCCCCCUUCUCUCGCUGACACCUACUUUCCAGCAAAGGACACUCCCGGAUAUAUAGAGAUGAGAGAGAGGGGGGCAAUGGUUCUUCUGGCAUGGACUGCAGCAUGGGGCAGCUCUCAAUCUCCAAUUCUCUAAGAGCAGUGAGGUGUUGAAAUCCCUUGUGUCCUAGAGACUCCAGAUUCUGAAGUGCCCAUAUUUUAAAAGAGGUAAGAGUGGCAGGCAGUCCUUCUGGCAAUGACUGGAGCUUAGGGCAACCAUCAAUCAUCAAUUCUCUAAGAGAGGUAAGGUGUUGAAGUUCCCUGUAGUCCAGCGAUUUCAGAUUUUGGAGUUCUGAGAUUUUAAGAGAACAAAGACUGGGUGGAAGCCGCAAACUUUCAGGGAAGGAUUCCACUUCUUUGCACAUACCAAUACUUAAGCGUGAAAGAGAGUGGAGUUUUUGCAAAUUCCAUUCUGAGCAGGCAUUAAUGAGUUUCUUGCAUGCAUAGACCUCAAGUGAUUCUAAUUUGCAGGGCAAUCCCCCUUUUGGAAAUGACUCAAGUUCUGGACACCUUCUUAAAGAAAUUUCCACGAGGGGUGGGAGAAGGGAGUCCAUAUAUUCAGGCAGUGACUUCAUCUUAGAGCAGUUCCGCAACCGAAGCACUGUCAUAUUUGGAGCAGCUAAUCCUCCUUCGGGAAAAGAUACCAAAUGGGGGCAGUCCUUGAUAUCCAAGGAAUAGAGAGAUGUGACAUCCCCACGAGCUACUUCAUGUGAAGAAAGGGAUUGGAGAUUUGGACAUCCAUGGAUCCGAACAUGCUUUAACUGAGGACACUGGUCCAGUGGGAAGCUCUCAAGUGAAUCACAGUUCCUUACUAGAAUUUUUUCUGUAGCGGACAAGCAUCCCUUUAAUAGGGAGUCAAGGGACUUCAGUCGGUCAAGUUUGAGGCUGUGCUGCCCAGAAGACAAUUUCUCUAGCAGCACUUCUCGUGAAUCAUCUUCCACCUCUACUAUAAGGAAGCUCGGAAUCCUUGGAAGUAAAGACACAAGCUGUGGACAUUUCCUGAUCUCAAGUGUUGUUAAACAGGGAAGUUGACAGUUGGGCAGGACUUUUGUUAGGUGUGGACAACAAUUUAUGUAAAGCUUUUGGAGGCGAGGGAAAGCUCCACCUUCAUCAUCUUCUGAAUAGAAAAACCACUCGUGCCAUUUUGACAUCCCUUCAAAUGUCAAAAUUUCAAGGGAUCCAAAUGGCUUCUUCAUGGAUGUGCAACUUCCAUAGAACUCGGGACCAACAACCAUGAUUUCACCAAAUUCUUUGAUCAGGAGAUCUUUCAGAGACACUAGCUGUCCAAGUGGAGGUAAGGAGGAGCAGUAUUUACAGCCAAUGAGCUUCAAGGAAACUAUAUUUGAGAACGAGGAAUCUCCUAUCCAAUCUGGAAAUCUAGUACCCAUAUAACCAACAAUUGAAAGGCAUUCAAUGUUCAUAUGAGGCUGUAAUUGCUCCAGUACGAGUCUUUCAUGCAGUGAAUCAUUAGUAUCACCUUUCCAAGUUAACUCCAACUCCUUAAGCAGUUGUUUACCCUUCAAAUUGGCUUUUAUUGCAUUCUGAGCAUCCAUGACAUUUUGAAGAUUCCAAAUGCGGAGCGUUCCUCUUAGGUGCUGGAGCUUCCCCAACUCAUUAAUGCUUGACCCACUUUGUUUUCCCAAAAAGAAAUCAGUUAACUUAAGGAGUUUUGUUAGCUUACUUAAUUGUGAUGGCAUCGCUUGUAACUUUGUUUUUGUAAUAUCAAGAUGGCAUAAGUUGAUCAAUUUCAUCAUGCUGGUAGGCAACUCAAUGAGGUCUUUGCAUUCAUGCAAAAUUAAUGUUUGCAAAUUAUAUAAAGUACUCACAGAGUCAGGCAACCUUACUAUUGAUGUUGCAGAUAGAUUCAAGUAUCGCAAAUGCUUCAGAUUACCAAUUGAAUUAGGCAAACCAACUACAUCAUGAUCCAGAGACAGAGACAGUGCCCGUAAGCACCUGAAUGUCAGAAAUAAAUUGUUCAUUGCCCCAUUUCCAACAUGUCUCCCCUGCUGCCAGUGUGACCGAUUGAAAAGCAAAAGUGUACGCAAAAAGUGGGCUUCACAAGCACCUUUCAGUAUCAUAGUGCCAUCACCAUGUAUUCUUGCAAACGAUAAAUGACGGGCCUUUUUACUAAUCUUACUUGAAUUGUCAUCCUCUAACCUGCAGCAAAAUUCUCCAGAAACAAAUUUUGCUAAGUCAUUUAUUAGGUCAUGCAUAACAAAUGACGAUGUAUAGCCACUUGAUUGUUGAAAAAAUGACCUUGAUACAAGAUCAUGAAAAUACUCUUCGCCCAAAUCUUCCAUCUCCAUGUUUCCUUUAGGUUGGUUUAUAAAACCCUCUGCCAUCCAUAGAAAUAGUAAUUCCUCCUUCUGAAAUUCAUAACCUUUAGGAAAUAUUGCAGAGUAAGCAAAACAUUGUUUUAGAUGCGAUGGGAGAUAACGAUAACUCAAUCUCAAAGCUAGAAGAAUGUUGUCAAUUGGUAAAUCCCACAUAUCACUCCUCAAUAUCUUCAUCCACUCCUUAGCAUCUCUUUUGGAGCGAAGGAGACCCCCAAGUGUUUUUGCAGCUAGCGGCAGGCCUUUACAUUUUCUCACUAUUUCUCUUCCAAUUACUUGCAAAUCUGGAUGUAGGGAUGAAUUUCCAUCAUCAAAUGCAUGUUUUGCAAACAAGAACCAGCAAUCAUCGUUGGUUAAUUCCUUUAGACGGUAAGUUGCAACAGUACGCAUGACUGAUGCUACGCUUUCAUUGCGUGUCGUGACAAUAAUCUUGCUUCCCUGUCCUGCCGACUUUAGAGGUCUCAUUAGAAUAUCCCAAUCAGCAUAGCUAUUAUUCCAAACAUCAUCUAAAACAAGCAGAAAUUUUUGCCCCAUUAAUCUCUCCCUUAGCUUUAGUUGAAGCUGAUUUGGAGUCCUGGCAUCAUCAAUCACCGAACCGAACUCCUCAAGGACAUCAUUUGUUAUCUUGAAAACAUCAAAAUUUUCUGAAACACAGACCCAUGCUUUGAGAUCAAAUGACUCCUGCACUCCGCGGUCAUUGUAGACAAGCUGAGCAAGAGUAGUCUUACCGAUUCCACCCAUACCAACAAUGGGAAUCACAUCUAAGUUUUUCCCAUUUGAAACAUCAGAUAGCAACAACUUCAGUAUAGCUUCCUUAUCAUGAUCCCUACCGCAAACAUCAAUAUCAUCCACCAAAGAAGUUGUUGGUGUUUUCUGUAAUGAUGCUUUUUCUCUCAUACCCUCCCUCAAACCGAGGGCAUCCUUUUGUUGUACUAAAUAUUCAAGUCUAUCAAGGAUCUCUCCCAACUUUUCUUCCAUCUCUUCCUUCUCCCUUUUACUAGAAGACAAAGUUCUAAGCGCCUGAUUAGCGGUGAUUUGUGAUCCAGCUUCCACCUCCAACCGCAGAGCUUCAUAAGCAAUCUCAUCCAACAAGUCAUCUGCUUCAUACACGGCAUCUUUAAGCUCAUCAAGCCACUCUUUCACAGCUGGCUUGGUAACCUGCUUCUCCUCUGCAUCAUCAAGCACUCCAUUGACAGAUAUCAUCAUAAUCUUCAACUUCUUAAGCAGCCUUUCAUUGAGUUUUCGCUCCUUGAAGAAGUCUAAAACCUCACGAGACGCCAUUCUAUCAAACAAAACUUGAAGGAAAGCAGAGAGAAUUGACCCUCCUACCAAAGCUGCAGCCAUAGCUUCUCCUUCUUCGAAAAGGGUCUGAUUACAAAACGAAAACUGAUCAACAUAUAGAAAAUUAACUUGAAAUCUCGACUUGAUAGUUGACUUUACUUUGUUUAUAAAGCAAGACAUCAAGAAUUGGCAAUUACAAAACUUGUUAUCAAUGACCGUUGACUUUACUUUGUUAGCAAUCGUGGCGGCAAUAAAAAUCACAGAAGAAAUUAAGCUAAAACAGGAUUCAAAAUAUAAGCAAAUAAAACCGAAAAAUGAAGAACAAAAAAAUUAAUGGGAAUCAAACAUAUAAGAGCAGAGAAAAGGAACAGCAAGCAUCAAUCUGCUACUGUUAAAAAGAACACCUCAAAAAAAAAAGGUAACAAUGAAGUGAGAGCAUAAGAACCCAUCAUUACCUUUGCAAAACCUGUAAGAUGAGAGCUUCUUAAAUCUUGGUUACAGUUGCUGCAUAAAAUGGAGGAUUACUUUUUAUCGUCAAGUGUGGGGCUUUUGGGGUCUUGGCUUGGUGUCUGCGUUCUAGCGCUGGCUGGUGGCUGGUGGCUCGAGGUAGUUGCGCACGCAUUUGGCUCUAGUAGCUCAUCUGCUACUUAUUUUUAUAAUUAAUAACAUUUUUUUAUAUAACAAUUCUCCGGAUUAAUUUACACGUAACUCGAUUAAUUUCUUAAAAUUUUAAAAUUAACAACCUUAAAAUUUAUAGUGUUUGAAUUAAUGAUCUUUGAAAAGUAAAUUUAAAAUCUGAUCAGUUAAACUAUACCUCUCAAAAUUUAAUAACAUUUUAUAUUAUGGAUUAAAAAUGCAAAAUAUCUCAACAAUCCACUACCAUGACCUAUUUAGAAUUUAAAUUAUUAUUUUUUUAUUUUAAAUUAUUUUUUUAAUCUUUUCAGACAACAUGUCUUUCAUCAGCAACCAAACUUCACCACAAAGAGAAUAACACCACAGACAUAAACCAAUUCAGUUACCCAUUAAGGUUGUUCGCUCAUUCCUCGACAAGUUUACAACUUGAAAAACCCUCAACAUUUCCAUGACCACCCACCAUCACCAAUCCAUUACCAAUCUAUUAAAGAUACUGAAGCGAUUCUGAAGAUCUUCACUAUUAUGCCAUUACCAAGUAUAACUUAUUUGUUAUCUAGUUUAGAUAUGAUUGUGUAUUUAUCAUUAGCAUAUAAUCUUAGCAUAAACAUGGGAGAAAUAUACGUAGGAUUGUCUUUCCUUGCUGCAAGUUUUUCCCACUCUAUAAAUACAUAUGUACAGCAUAAGAAAGGGAUGAAUGUAUAACUCUGUUUUACUACUGCACUGUCUCACGUCUCUUCAUUACUCUGCUUCAAAUUUCUACAUGGUAUCAGAGCAUAGUGUUUGAAUUCUCAUACUAUAGGGAGAGACAAUGGUGUUGUCAUGGAAGACCACUUGAAGGAUGCAUCGAUAUUGGAUCAAAGGUCUCAGCACUAGCAAAUUGUUCUGAUGAUACCAACACAUCUCAAAUAUUGAGUUUUGUGUUGUUGAAUGAAUUCAAUUAUCUUCCUUGGUCAAGGGCUGUCACUAUUGCUCUUGGUGGAAGAUCUAAGUUGGGGUUCAUAAAUGGUUCUAUCGUUCCUCUAGAAGUUAAUGAUCCAGAAUAUGCAACAUGGCUUUCCAAGAACCGGUUGGUCAUGUUUUGGAUCCUCAACUCCAUGGAAAGGAAUCUUGCUGAGAUUUUUAGUUUCUCAGAAUCAUCACUGGACCUGUGGGAUGCAAUUCGUGACAUGUAUGGAAAUCAAAAUAAUGCUGCCAGGAUAUUCCAAAUUCAUCGCGAGGUUGCCAGCCUUCACCAGGAAGGAAAGCCCUUUGUUCAGCUGUUGGGAAGCCUUAAAAACCUGUGGAAUGAACUAGAAAUAUAUCGCCCACACACUACUGAUGCUGCUAUAUUACAAAAAAGAACUGAGGAGGAUAGGAUUUUUCAGCUGCUGGCAAGUCUCAGCCCAGAUUUUGAAGACCUGCGAAGCCAUAUUCUGAUGAAUCCAGAACUACCAUCCCUGAAAUUGGUUUGCGCCACCAUCCAACGUGAGGAAAUACAUAGGAAAGUAAUGACGCGUGAUGUUGGAGUUUUUGAAACUCGUGCUUAUCAGACCAAAUUGACGCCGCAGGAUAUGAAUUCUGGUUCUUUUGAUCAUGGUCAGCAUAGACCAUUAUCAUAUUAAAAAAACUACAAAGGGAAACGAACUGAUUUCAAGUGUCAUUACUACCACAAUCUUGGUCAUAAUGCAGAUCGUUGUUGGCUCCUUCAUCCUGAAAUUAAGCCUAAGUUUGAAAAGGACCUAAGAAGACCACCAAGAUGCGCAAAUAAUCAUAAGUCAUACCUUGAAAAUAAUCAUGUGAAUUCCACCAAAAGCUUUUCUGCCAAUUCUGCAUCUUUGACAUCUGAUUUUGCUAAUUAUUUGCACGACAAGCAUGGCCAAGGAAAAUCACAUGAUGAAUCUACCAAUCAAGACCAGAAGCAACCAACUGCUCUUCUCAGUCACUUUGCUGAUUUUUUUAGCAGAAGCAGACUCGAAAAAUAGCCAAGGUAAUCUGAUUGCUUUCAUGACUGCAUUAGAACUUGUAAAUUUGCAUGAUCUUUGGAUAAUAGAUUAUGGUGCCACCAAUCACAUGUCAAACAAAUUAGAUAGACCUUAAAUCAUUUGUCAAACCCAUAUUUGUAUAUGUUGCUGGUGGGAAGGGUGCUUAUGUUAAAGGGAAGGGAAAAAUUAAUCUACUCUCUGAUAAGAUAGUGUCUGAUGUUCUAUUUGUACCAUCCUUUCCAUUUCAAUUGCUUUCAGUCAGUAAGAUUACAACCACUCUAAACUAUGAAGUAAUUCUUACUUCUUCCAAAGUUGUGUUUCAGGAUCUUGUCACCAAGGAGAUGAUUGGUGAAGGAUUUUUCCUGCAUGGUCUGUAUUAUAUAUCCUAAAAAUCACAAGUCUUCAGGGGUUUUCAAGCAACAACUAAUCCACCCAUGAGCACCUCUUAUGGCAUCGUCGUCUAGCUCACCCUUCAGAGUCUAUUCUUAGUAAAAUAAAGUCGGUUCAAGUACAUGAAUCGCUCAAUUGUGAGAUUUGUCAUUUUUUAAAAUCUACAAGACUUCUGUUUACUCCUUCAAUGUCAAAAAGUACUCAUGCAUUUGAACUUGUUCAUUCAGAUGUAUGGGGACCCUUCCAUACUUUCAUUGAUGGUUUUAAAUAUUUUGUUAUAUUUAUCGAUGACUUCUCUAAGGUUACUUGGGUGUAUCUGCUAAAAACUAAGCAUGACGUAUUUGUUUGUUUUAAUGAUUUUCAUUUGUUAGCAAUCAAUCAAUUUUCAGCUCCCAUUGAAAUCCUUCGAUCUGAUAAUGACACCGAAUAUAUGUCCAAAGACAUGUCAAAAUAUUUACAUUUUAAUGAAAUUCUGCAUCAAACUAGCUGUGUUGGUACACCUCAACAAAACAGGAUAUCUGAACGUAAAAAUCAUGAUCUGCUUGAAAAAACUCGUGCCAUUAUGCUUCAAAUGAAUGUUCCCAAAGCUUUCUGGUCCUACGGAGCUCUUACAGCUGCUUAUCUCAUAAAUCGUUUACCCAGCCGAGUGCUGGAUUUUAAAUCUCCUCUUGAAGUUUUGCAGGAUAAAGUUUCAGAUAUAUCUCAUCUUAAAGUAUUUGGCUGCACUUGUUUUGUGCACUUACUAGCUACGUAUCGGGACAAGCUGGAUGCUAGAGCGAUCAAGUGCGUCUUUUUAGGUUAUUCCACAACUCAAAAGGGAUACAAGUGUUGUGACACUGUGUUGCAGAAACUAUAUGUUUCCAUGAAUGUGAGAUUUCUUGAAGAUACUGAAUAUUUUUCUGCAGGAAAUCAGGGGGGAUGUUGUCAGAUCUUUUUCCCUUACCUAGCAUUGAGAAUGUCAGUCUGCCUCCAUCCAUCAUUCCAAGUUCUGACCGACAGAUUCAGGUUCAAAUAACUCAUUGAAAUGAUACUACUAAUCGGGAUACUAAAAUUCAAAAUGCAUCAGAUUUCAGUGAUGUUGUUGUUCUUGACUCGGAUUCAAGCAAUAAAAAUACAAGCAUAUGAGAAUCAUCUAUUGACAUGCUGCCAGCUACUAGAAGAGUUUCCCUUCGAACUCGUCAAGCAUCAUCUCGAAUGCAAGAUUAUAUCACCUAUAAUGUGAAGUAUCCUAUUUCCAGGUUCAUGUCCUAUCAUCGACUUUUUCCAUCAUAUAGUGUUUUUCUUACUUCCAUAUCAGCUAUUCAGGAACCAAAGACAUUUCAUGAAGUGCAAUCACAGGCAGUAUGGCAGCAGGCCAUGAAUGAAGAAUUGAAGGCACUUACAGAAAAUCACAUGUGGAGUGUGCUACCCUUGCCUGCUGAAAAACAAGUUGUAGGCUUCAUUGGAUAUUUAAGACAAAAUUUAAGUUAGAUGGUUCAGUUUAUCGGCAUAAAGCUUGUCUCGUGGCUCAUGGUUUCACUCAGAAAUUUGGUGUUGACUACAAGGAAACAUUUGCUCCCGUGGCCAAGAUGACCACUGUCAGAAUCCUUCUAUCCGUUACUGUCAACCAGGGAUGGUUCCUAUGUCAAAUGGAUGUAAGAAAUGCCUUCUUACAUGAAGAGUUUGAAGAAUAAGUGUUCAUGAAAUUUCCUCCUGAACAUCCAUAGAAUGGAAGCCCUACACUUGUCUGCAAACUUCAUAAGUCUAUUUAUGGCCUGAAGCAGAGUUCUUAGGCCUGGCAUGCUAAAUUAAGUUUUGCACUUGAAGAUAUUGGUUUUACAAGAAGUUCUACAGAUUCUUCUUUAUUUAUUCAGCUUGGGUGCACUCAUAAACUAGUUGUGCUAAUAUAUGUGGAUGAUCUGAUUAUAGCAGGAAGUAAUAAUGACUCAAUCACUCAACUUAAAAGGGAGCUUCAACAACAAUUUUCAAUUAAGGACCUUGGCUCCUUAAAGUACUUCCUAGGCAUUAAAAUGGCCGCCUCCAGUAAAGGUUUUUUUCGCAAUCAACGCAAGUAUGUCAUUGAUUUGUUGAAGGAUGCUGACAUGUUGCACACAAAGCCGGUUGCAAACCCUUUAGACAGCAAGUUAACAUUGGACCCUUCAAGUGAACCUCUUGCUUCUUGCAAUCAUUAUCAGAAGAUUGUUGGUAAACUAAUUUACUUAACAAUCACUCGACCAGAUAUUACAUUUACGGUCAGCCUUAUCAGUCAAUAUAUGCAUGCUCCAAUAGUUUAGCAUUUUGGUAUAGUAAAGCGUAUCUUGCGGUAUCUAAAAGGGACAAAUGGUUGUGGCAUUGUUAUGACUCGCAAUGGUCAUACUAACGUCAUGGGCUACACUGAUUCUGACUGGGGAAAUUCUCUCGAUCGUCGAUCUACCACUGGAUAUUGUAUGCUUGUUAAAGGAAAUUUGGUAUCUUGGAAAAGUAAGAAACAAUCGGUAGUAGCUCGUUUAAGUGCUGAAGCAGAGUAUCGUGCUAUGGCUUCUGCUACUUGUGAACUGAUAUGGCUCAAACACCUUCUUGCAGAUUAAGGUUUUCCUAGUAUCACUCCUAUGAUGUUGUUUUGCGAUAAUCAAGUUGCUAUGCAUAUUGCGUCCAACCCGGUAUUUCAUGAACGCACCAAACAAUAUUGAAGUAAAUUGUCAUUACAUUCGUUUGCAAGUUCAAGCUAAACUUAUCCAUCCUCAGUAUGUACGUUUUCAUGAUCAACUAGCUGAUGUGCUCACCAAAGCCUUACCUUCUACUCAAUUUCACCAGUUAUUAAGCAAGCUUGGAUCCACCAAUCCACUGGAUCCAGCUUGAGGGGGAGUAUUGAAGAUACUGAAGCGAUUCUGAAGAUCUUUACUAUUAUGCCAUUACCAAGUAUAACUUAUUUGUUACCUAGUUUAGAUAUGAUUGUGUAUUUAUUAUUAGCAUAUAAUCUUAGCAUAAUCAUGGGAGAAAUAUACGCAGGAUUGCCUUUCCUUGCUGCAAGUUUUUCCCACUCUAUAUAUACAUAUAUACAACAUAAGAAAAGGAUGAAUGUAUAACUCUGUUUUACCACUGCACUGUCUCAUGUCUCUUCAUUACUCUGCUUCAAAUUUCUACACCAUCAUUUAUAGUUCGAGCUUCCAAGAGAUAUUGCUCAACUAAUUGUUCAAGAACUGUGUGUUCAUUUUCUUAUCACUUUGCAUGUAAUUUUCUUGGGGGUUGUGGUUAUUUCCAUUCUUGUGUUUUUUUUCAGAUCAUUUCUUCGGAUUUUCAUCACCUUUGACAUAAUGUUUAAACUUCAUCGAUGUAUGAAUAUAAGAGCAUUCGAUGCAUCCUUAAAUAUUAGGCAAAGAAUAAGAGUGACGAGUGUGAGAUACCGAGGACGGAAACACUGUUGGCAGAGACAAUUCAGAGCUUUUUGUAGAGUAAUUUUGAGCCUACGUUGUUGGCAAGGGCGAACGCAAUGCAAAGGCUUGGGUGGGCUCUAGCCCAGGUCAAGAUUUUAUCAAUAUUUUUUUACUAGUUUUAUGUAAAACAAAUUUGUAAUUCUUGAUUGAGUUAUUAUAAAUUUUUGAAAAUUUACAUGGAGCCUUCUAAUAUGAUGUUUUAGCUUGUUUUAAAAUUCAAAAUUUUUGGAUAAAUUCAGAAAUUUGAUAAAAAAAAAAUCAUAAUUUGGUCAGUUUUACGUUAUUGGGUGUAAUUUUCAAUCCGACCAUCAGAUUGAACUGAAAUUUUAUGAGGGAUCUUAAAAUAUAUUGAAUAAAAUCUGGUUAAAAUUUUAGGAUGAACAAAGUUUGGUAAUGCUAACAAAAAAAAAAGAACCGUCAAAUAAAUGCAAAACGACUCAUUAAAGGUAAAAUGGUUAUUUGCCAUUAAAAAAUAAAAUAAAUUAAUUCUUCAUUCCUUUUAUAUGUUGCUGACUGGGCAAAAGCAGAAUAGAAAAAGAAAGAAAAGAAAAGGCGAGAGAGAAAUAGAGAAAAGUAAGGGAAAAACAUUAAAAAAAAUUCAAGAAAAAAAAAAGUGACAGAAUAACCUUGUAAACUUACAAAGUCCAACUUAUAAAACACUAACCUAAGGAAGAAUCAAGUGAAGAAAGGAGGAAUUGAGAGAGGGAAAAAAAUUAAUUACUUUGUUUUUCAAUUGACAUGAGAUUGCUAUUUUAUCCCGGUAGAGGGGUUGUUACAAUAUCAAUUCAAAUUCGAUUAUAGAUGAAUUAUAUUCCACAAAACAUCGAAAGAUGUAGCUUCAAUAGUGAGUUUAUUUUUACUUUCACUUCAAUUUUAUGUACUUUUAAAUUUAUUUUUUAAUAUUUUAGAUAGUGUAUUUGAAUUAAAACUUUACUGUUAACUUUAAAAAUUCAUAUAUAUAAAUUAAUAAUUUAUCUUUAAAAAAUUAUAUAUUUAUUUAAUAGUUCAGGGUAGGAAAAAUUACUAGCUCCACCCUUGGUUGUUGGGUGCAUGUAAAAGUUGGCUUGCUCUCUAGAAUAAAACGACUAGGAUAUUCAAGAGUUGCUUGUGCUUCUCCACCAUUACAUAGAGAAAACAUGGCUAUCAAUGCUUAGAGUUCAAAGAUAAACCCUAAUUUCUGGCUAUAUUUGUUGUUUUUAAUCUUGCAGAGAUAACAAAGAGCAUUUGAUACGAAUAAUUAAUGAAUUAUCCAUAAAAGAUUUGAGUGGGUUAACCAUAACGCUGCCAACCCCGGCCUAUUUGAGCCCUAGCACAGAUGCCUCUUCUGGGCAGGGACAGAUGAUCAUGACUACUGCUACUUGUAAACAAAAACCUACCCUAUGUCUCUGUCUCCGACAGUGAGCCGUCAAGUGACUUGACAAACUCUCUUCCUUCCUUCUUGUCCAAUUCAUGAUCUUCAUUCAGUUUCUCUCGUAUUGAAGAAAAGAAACUUCAAAAUGAAAAAGGAUGUGGAGGUUUGUUUUUGAAUUUUAAAAAUAUUUUUAAAAUAAAUUUAAAAUGUUUUUUAUUUUUUAUUUUAAAUUAAUAUUUUUUGAUGUUUUUAAAUUAUUUUAAUAUACUAAUAUAAAAAAUAAUUUUAAAAAAAUAAAAAAUAUUAUUUGAUACAUUUCUGAGUAAAAAACAUUUUGAAAAACAAUCACAACCACACUUUCAAACAUAUUAAUAUAUUUAUUUAUUUAUUAUGUAUUUAGAUUAUUUUGAUGUGUUAAUAUUAAAAAUUUAUUUUAAAAAAUAAAAAAAAUAUUAUUUUAAUAUAUUUUUAAAUAAAAAAUACUUUAAAAAAUAAUAACUAUUUAAAUUCCAAAUAUUAUAUUAUGCUGUUCUUUCCUCUCUUUUCGCGACUGCUCUCUUUUUUUUUUACUUGCGCAAUUGGGCAUGUUUAGGUCCGGUUGGGCCCUUUCUAUUCUUCCUAGCCAUCUGGGCCGUUUGGCCUAACCAGCUGUCUGGUGCUCUUUCUUUUUCUUCCCUGCUGGUUGGGUCAUAUGGCCCAACCAGCUGUCGGGGUGGACCAUUGGGCCUAAUAAGCCCUCCUGUUGGGCUUUGUGCUGUCAGAUUUGAUUAUGUGAUUCAGUAAGGAGAGAUGAUGGCUUGACUCCCUUCCACAGUUCAGUUGGAUUUCUUCCUCAACCUGUAGCAAAAAUCCUUGUAUUUGGAAAAGGAAAACCCUAAACCCUCUUCCUUCUGAUUCAUAUUCAGAUGAGGCUCUCUCUGUGUCUCAAAAUGAAGCUCUCUCCAAGUCUCCUGAUUUCUCUCUUGCCAAAACGCUUUAUAAAGACAGCACCUUCUCCUCCCACAACUCCACUACCCACCAGAAGUAAUACCACCUCAUCUUCUCCAUCAUCGUUUACACUUCAAUUUCUUGUUAACUCAUGUGGGCUUCCUUUAGAAACUGCUCUUACUGCAUCCAAGAAGUUCCAUCUCAACGAGAAGAACAUCCACAAGACUCAAUCUUUGCUCCGUUUCUUGAAAUCUCACCACUUUGUGGACACGCAUAUCGCCGAUCUGAUAAAAAAGAUGCCCGCUUUCCUUGGUUGUAAAGUAGAAAACAAUCUAAAGCCCAAGUUCGAGUUCCUCGCCGCAAAUGGCGUUGCUGGUAACCUCCUUCCCCAACUUAUCCUAUCAAAUCCUGAUAUUUUGUGGACGUCCUUGGAUUCUACUAUCAAACCAUCUUUUAAGUUUUUGAAGUCUUUUCUUGGUACCAAUGUGAAAAUUACAGCGGCUCUUAAGCGUUGUUCAUGGUUGUUGAGAGUUAAUCGGAACAGAACUAUGCAAACAAAUAUUGAUUUGUUGAUUAAAGAAGGAUUGCCUCUUGACCGGCUUGCAAAACUCAUUAUCUCGAGUCCAAGAUCUCUGCUAUCUAAGCAUGAUAAGAUAGUUUAUGCAGUGAAUUCUGUUAAGAAUCUGGGCCUUGAAACAAACGAUACUAUGUUCAUAUAUGCUCUUGGGGUGAAGAUGAAAAUGACUGACACGACUUGGAAGAAGAAAAUUGAGGUGAUGAAGAGUUUGGGUUGGAGUGAAGAGGAGAUUUUCGGCACUUUCAAGCGAUGCCCUCAAAUAUUGCAAUACUCGGAGAAGAAAAUCAGGAUUACCGUGGAUUUUUUUAUCAAUUCCGUUGAUUUGGGACCAGAAAUUCUACUGGUCUAUCCUUCUUUGUUUUGCCUCUCAGUUGAUAAGAGGGUUCGUCCAUGGUAUAAUGUUAUUAAUGUUUUGAAGUCAAAGAACUUGAUUAAAAGAGAAAAGAAGUUUCCUUCUUUGCUACUGAUGAGUGAGAAGAAAUUCUUGGAGAAUUAUGUUGAUAAGUAUGCGGAUGAUGUUCCUGGUUUAUGGGAGGUGUAUACGGGCACUGCCAACACAAAGAAGAAAGGCACUUGAUGACAGAGAUGUAAGUUCACUUGUGCAAUACAAAGUGCUAUGUAGUUGACUAAAUAGCUCAUCUGCUUUUGAUUUACAGCUAAUUUUUGUUUGUCCAAUGUAUAUUGUUCAUUUCUUAUCAUUUUGCAUAUUUGCUUUCUUAUCAUAGCCUUGUCUUUUCCCAGUUCAUUUCUGUGACCUUUUUUCAUCUUUUACUCAGUUUGAGCUUCCUACAUUAACGUGCCAACCUAAGAGCCUUCAAUGCCUUGUUAGAGUGUUGUGCAAAAAAAUUAUGCAUAUUAAAGCUCAUGUUAAAAUGAGCUUGCAUUACAAAGAUAUGCAUUCAUUGGCAUUCCAACUUUCCAAUUGAACACAAAACUUAACAACAUAGUAUUUUCCAGCAGUUUAAGGCUGUUGCUACAUGUUAACGAACAGUUAAAUAUUUGUAGGCUGGUUGAUGAUGGUAGCAAGAUGGGAAAAUUGAACUUUAUGUUGCGCGAAAAAGGUUGGAAACUGGAGUGCAGUGUGAACCAUUGAUUAAACAAGGAAUUGUGUAGGGAUGUACUUUUGUGCGAGCUAUGAUUCUGGUUUGCCAAACAGUUAAGGAAUGCUCAGGGAAAUGUCGAGGAUACUUAACCCUAUUUGGGAAGGGUUAGGGUACAGAUAGGUAGAUUUGGACGGUCAAUGAUUUGGGGAAACUUCAGUGCAACACUACUUACUGGCUGUUUGAUGAUCAGGUAAAAAUGAUAAGAGCAUUUCUCUGAAGGUGGUGAUGAAAAUGAAGAGAGCGGUUUCUUUGAAGCAGUAUCAAUGGUCAUUUAUGGCUUUGGUUCCAUCAAAGGAGAAGAUCAGAUAUUAAGAAUUGCCAUUGCCAGUUGGCUCCAUGCUCUGGGAUACAAAUAUUUGCAGAUGCAUUUGCGAAACUCGAAAGGAUGGUCUCAAAGCAACAGUGCUUCUACAAGGGAGAGAUUGAUUUUAGACUUACAGUGAAUAAAAGCCUCGGCUUCAAUUUCUGUGAGGUGCUCAAAUCAUUAUAUUUAUGCUUUAGUGAAGGUUCCUUCAGUCCAUGUUGGGUUACAAGCUUUGGAGGCUAGGAAAUAUUCAUGUCUUUUUGCGCUCGUCCUGUGCUCUGGGGUUAAGUUGUUCCACUUUUCGAGUGCCUUCAUGUAAAUGUCUACCAUUUCUUUCAGUUGGGUUACAAUUUCUAUGUUUUUUUUUUUUAUCUAAAUGUAUUUACAAGGCUCCUCUAAUUAAUCAGAAUCUCCUAUGCUAUUCAAUAUUCAAUCAAUCAAAUCAUCUCUUGCAUCAAUCUUUCUUUCUAAGUUAGAGAAAACUCAAUACUCAAAUUCUAGUCACCCACUGAACAAGAGAAUAAAUCAUGUGCAUAAGAAAUAUUAAGAGUUUUCAAAUAACUAGGAAGAUAAAGUUGAUGCGCAUUGUGGUUGAAAUCUCUUGUUUGAAACAUCAAGUUAAUGUUUUAUUAGAACAUGUUAGGAAUCCUUCGAAUAAAAUUCAAUUAAGAGGAAAUCUCAUGUUUGAAUUUUUUUUUUUUAAUAAGAUCUUUAAAAAAAUAAGAUGAAGGUGACAAGAGUAAUAUAGAAAACAAAAUGAAUUGAAUUUUAUCUUUUCUAAACAUGUAAAUUCAAUUUUUUUAUCAAUUGGAUUUGAAUCAAACACUAUAAUUGAAUUCAAUUAUAGUAGAGAAUUGGUUUCAAACAACUUGUUAGUGUUUUUUUAUGGUUUUGAUGUGUUAAUAUUAAAAAUAUAAAAAUAUAUUAUUUUAAAGUAUUUUCAAGUAAAAAAUAUUUUUGAAAAGUACAUUACACCACAAUACCAAACACCCACUAAAACCCCAUUUUAGAUUUAGAUUGUGGUUGUGGUUGUGGUGCAACCCCAACCCUAAAUGAGAUUUAAGAGAGUGUUUGAGAAUAUGAUAACGGUUGUUUUUUAAAAUAUUUUUUUAUCUAAAAAUAUAUUAAAAUUAUUUUUGUUAUUUUUAAAAAAUUAUUUUUCAUAUCAAUACAUCAAAAUAAUUUAAAAAUAUAAAAAAAUAUUAAAUUUAAACUAAAAAAAUUUAAAAUUUUACACGGUACAACCAAACAGUGCGUAAAUAAACAAAUCUAAUAAAACACUUUGAUCGGAAAGGUACCAUGCAGUCAUGCACAAAUGUUUUUUUUUUUUUUUUUAAUUAAAGAGGGAUUGUCUCUUGAUCGGCUUGCAAAACUCAGUGUCUUGUUUCCAAGGCGUCUGCUACGUAAGCAUGAUGACAUGGUUUAUGCAGUGAAAUCUGUUAAAAAUCUCCUAUAUAUUAAUAGUAAAAAUAAUUAUAUUUAAAUACAAAUAAAUAAAAAUAUUUAUUUAUUGAAGCUGAAAUUUUUGUUAUUAGCAAAGGAUAAAUUAUUUAUUCUUAAAAUUUUAUUAUUUUUCACCUGUAGAAUCCAGAUGCUUGCAAUAUUUUUUUUUGAUAUUCCAACAAUAAUAUCUUAGUUUAGAUGUAUUUUUAAAUAAUUUUUUUUAACAAAAAAAAUAUGUAACUUAAAUAUUUCUUAAUAAAAUGAAUUUAAACUCUAAAUUUGAAUAAAAAAUCAAAACAAUAAAAAAAAGAAAACACUAAAAUAUAGGAGUAAUAAUGCAUGAAAAUCUUAAAAAUAUAAUUAUAAAUUCUUCCUUCAAUCCAUAAAAAAAAUAUUUGAAUAAAUUCCAAACUGAGAAAAAGGGAAAAUCAUUUAGUGUAAUUAAUCUAAAAAAUAAUAACUAUUAUGUAAAAAAUUGGAUAAACUUGUCCUAAUUUUUGUAGCAGGACAAAAACUUCUCCUUUAAAAACAACUUUGAAUAGGAGAAAAAUAAAUUUUUAUUUAUUUAAAAUUACAUCAAAUAAAUUUUUAAAAAAUAUAUAUUAUCCAGUUUACAUAUACUUUUAAUUUCCAGUAUAUUCAACCAUGAAGCUCACCCUAGCAUACGCUUAAAGUGCCCAGCAAUUUGUAUUCUAGAUAUUCUGGAUUUAAAAUAAAAAAGUUAUUCAAAAAUGAAUAAAAAAUGAUAUUUUUUUGGAUAAAAUUAUAUAAAAAAAUUUAAACUACGUUAUUUAAAGAAAAAAAUGAAUAUUUUUUUUAUUGAAAUUGAACUCGAUUAAGUUUAUAAAAUCAUGAAUUAUCUAAAUUUCAUCCGUUUAAUAUCCAAACCGAUUUAAUAAAACUCUAUUCCAUAAGAGGAUGACUUCAAAACCCAAUCAGAUAGGGCCCACGUUCGAUGGACCCAUAACACACGUGACUUUUGACCGCCCCUACCGUCCGAUCCGAUCCGCUUCCUGCGCUUCACUUUAACCUUUAAGGCCCUCCCCUCCUCUCUCCCCCUCUCUAAAAUCCCAAAAAACAUAACCGAGAAAAAUUCUCUCCUUCUCCUCACGAAAAGAAACCCCAAAAGAAUUAAAAAAAUAUAUAUAUAUAUCCAUUGGAUCAUCUCCAUGUCUCAUUGCAUUAGCCAUCACCACCGUCAAGGACAAAACAAGAAAUGCCGGUGUCAUCAUCCCGUGCAUGCAUGAACAUUACCAGAUUUGUAGCAGCAAAGCCAAUGGAGGGCCUGAGUUCAAUUUUCUUGAUGUUGUUGAUAAUAAAGAAACAAUCUUGAUUCAUAUAGAAAAAAAGAGGAGUGUUUUUUUUAAGGUUUUUUUAUAUAUAAAGUAUGUCUGAAUUGGUAGCACGUACUGGUCGACUUCAACAACGGUACGAGGGCGGUUGUCGACUUGUUGCCGGGUAAAGAACAAACCCUUUUCAUGUUUUUAUCUGAAAAUGAUUUGUAUGCGUGAAAGAUGUGUUUUUGAUUAAUGUGAAAAUGUGUUUUGUUUGAUGUGUUGAAUUAUUGUUGUAUGUGUCUUUUUUGUUAGUGAUAUGAGAUUUUCAAAUUUGGAGGGUUGUGGCCAUGUGUGAUUGAUUGGUAUGUUUUUGACUUUAUGUUGAUUAAUGGGAUGCUGUUAAAAUUUACAAUUGAUGGGUGUGGCAUCGGUUUUAUCCACACACAAAAAAAAUAAUUUAUUUUCCUGUUUAGAUGUGGUUUUUGUUAAUUUAGUGGGGAUUGGUGGCUAUGAAGGUAUAAUGUGCAAUGUACAUUAUUAGUUAUUUGGUUAUUUGAUUAGAGUAAUUUGUUGAAUGAUGAAAGGUAAGCAACUUUGACCAGUAGGUGAUGGAAAGAUAUGUGUUCAUUUUGAUGGAUUAUGGUCAAUGUUGAUGACAGAUAAAUUGAGGAUUGAGAUAAUUUUGAGGCUUGUUUGCUGGAACCUUUUCUAUCAUUUGCCACCCUUGCUUCUUGGAACCCAGUUUACACGGAAGAUGAUUUUGGACUUGGUUGUAGAAUAAAAAUUUAAAUGCUUUGGACUUUGGAUGCACGUCCUUGAACGUGGAGGCUUGCCUCUUCUUAACUCAGUUUAUGUUCAGAGUCCAAAAACAGGUAUUCUGGCAUCAUUUUGCCCAUUGUUUCUGGAGGGAAUAGGAAGGUCACACCAUCAGUCAUGUGCUGAAUGAAUAGCCGAGAAAGUUUGUAAGCAUCUUGGUGGGUGGAAAGAUGCUUUCUUCUCUUUAGGGAACUAAUACCUGCACUCCUGCCCAGGUUCUGAAAUGAUUGAGCAGGAGAUGUCAAAUUUCCUCUUGGUCUUGGUGAAAAGUAAAGAGUGAUUGUUUGGUUAGUUGCGAGGUCUAUUGUAGGUCUAACUUGGUAAAUUCCCCUUAGGACCAGAUUUGUUUGGCAUUAGACAGUUUGGAUUCUGUAGAAAGUAUAAUCUUUUUUGAAUAAAUGGGAUCUAAUAGAGUUAUUGUUACUCAUGUGAGCACUAGGAAGAUCAUUUGACAGGUUUUUCCUUAGUUGUGUCGUCAACAUAGUCUAAGGUUUUUCUCAGGAAUCCCAUCUUAGAAGUCUUAUGAUCAAGAUUUGUUAGAAUGAGGUUGGGUUCCCACUAAAAAUACAAACAAGAAGAAAAAUAUGGCUUAGGAAGUAAGAAAUAACUAGUUGAAAACCCAGCAAGUUUCUGCUGCCUUUGAAUGGUGCUAAAAGUCAUUGUCGUAUUUAAUGUUGAGUUGCUAAGUGCUAACUCAUGGUUUUAUUGACAGGUGUAUUCCAUAUAGAUUUAGAGAUUAUUGUGAAGAUGAUAAUGCCAAUUCGGCGAAGGUUGUUGAGCUUCUUAUGAUCAAUUCACCCAGUGGACCAGGUCUCUUGUUUCCAAAGGUAUAAAGUCGUGACAUGCUCUUCUGGCAUUUUACUAUGCACACUUUGCUUUGUACAUCUACCUUUUCUUUUGGCCCGUUACCUUCUGAUUCUGCUAUAGAAUGUGAUUUAAGUUUUUAUUUUUUAUUUAGAUAUUUCAAUUUACAGUAGUUUUCCCCUUCAAAAUUUUGAACAUGCUUGAGAGCAUUAUCUGAUUAUCAUACCUAACUUUUUGCUUCUGCAGCUCAAGUCUGUGACUCUUAGUUAUUUCAAUAUAAUGAAACUUCCUUAGGAUGAUUUGAAGUCUGAACUCUUGCUUCCUUGUAUGAAGAGGCAUUUUAUUUUUGAAACCAGUAAUCUUGAUCAUAUGGCCUUAGAGUUGUGCCGAUGUUGGAUUUUAGAUGGGAAAAUAACAAGGGGAAUGCAAAUGAAGCUGCAUGUGAUAAUAGGAAGAUGGCUAGUAUUGAGUUUAUAGCUUAGGAGUUUCAGAAGUGAUUUUGGAGCUAAUGAUUCUGUAUGAAUAUUUGCAAUUACUCUGGCAUAUUUGUGCCAUGAGCAUGUUUGUUGAGGUCUGUGUGCGUGAGCUUGCAUGCUUGUAUUUCUAGUGAAAUGCAAAAUUCGUUCGAUUCCUUUUCACUUUAUUUUGGUUUUGACUAUAUGAUUAAGGAAUCCCAGACCUUACAAAUCCAUUUAUGGUUUCAAUCUCAAUCCUCCUGUCUUUAAAGAGCCAACAAGGGAUAGAUACCUUUUGUUUCAAAUCAUGUCUCUUGAAGUUUCUGUUUGUGAAUGGGGCAUAUAUAAAUUCCUACUUCCUGUAUUUUAGUUACUUCCAGGAAGAGAAAACAAAAGAAGUUAAAUUUCUUUUCAUUUUUUUUUCCGUAGGGGGGAUGGGAGAAUGAUGAGACUGCUGAAGAGGCUGCUGUGAGGGAAGCCAUUGAAGAAGCAGGAGUUCGAGGCGAUCUAAUGGUGAAGUUUUACUUGCAUUAUUUGAGAUUGUUUUACCAUUUCUUUUGCACUUUGAAGGUGUUGAGAUACAUUGUUUGUUUAUCUUUCAACUUUACCAUUAGAACUGCUGUCUACUAACUGUCCUCAUCUCCUACUUGGAAUACUUAUGAAGAGGUGUUCUAUUUCAUUAUAUUGAUGUGAUUCACACACCCUUGUCAUGAUAAUCAUUGCUUCUUGUUCCAUCUAAUAUCUCUGGUGGCUGUUCCUACUAGCAUUCAUUCCUCUAGCGUAAAAAAAAAAUUAUUUGCUUCAGUGGCAUCUCAAGUGUAGUGUUAGGCUAAAAGGACUGCUUCUGAGCUGAUGUCCUGCAUAUAAAUUGCAGAGAAGAGUCCUUUUAGGGAAUACCGUUGCAUAUAUUUAUAUUUGUCUAAAAUCCACUUUAACUUUUGGUCGGAUAUCCUCUGGUGUCAACUUGUUAGCUUUGUAUGUUCUAGGUGUUUGUCUUUCUGUCCUUUGCUCCCAGUGAUCCACUGGGGCUGAGACAGGCUCUCCAAAUAUUCUCUUGCAGCUGGUUUACACAUUUUUUCAUGUAGACAAUACAAGGAAACCAGCUCUAAUUGUAUCUCGGGGUUUCAGGAUUUCAUAGGGUAUUAUGAAUUUAAGAGUAAAACUCACCAAGACGAUUGUUGCCCAGAAGGUUUGUGUAAAGCUGCAAUGUACGCUUUAUUUGUCAAGGAGGAGCUUGAGCUAUGGCCAGAGCGGAGCACAAGAACAAGAAGUUGGCUGACCAUGUCUGAAGCAGUUGAGAGUUGCAGGCAUAAAUGGAUGGAAGAGGCUUUGAAGGACUUCUCUACCUGGCUUGCAAAGAUGUAAACUGCAGGAAAAUAUCCCACCAAUCAGGAUUAUUUUCUGUGUAUAAAGAAGAGGUUUUAGUGUCGAGUCAAGGCAAUUUUCUUUCAACUCAUCAGCCAUCACCCAAGUAACAAUACUGGCAAUUUUCAAGAUUGCAUGGCUUCCUGUUCUUCUAUGUUUUCGAAAUUUCUUCAUUUUACUGACCUCUGAUGUAUUUUGAUUCAGAGGAUUGUCCAAAAUGUUAUAUAUUAUAGUUGUUUCAGAUGCUCGUUGAUGAUGUAUUAUUACCAUUAUAUUUUCCCAAAUUAUACUGGGGAAACAACCAAAACAAAUUAUAAUAAAAAUUCACUCCAAAAGCAGCUUAGUUUUCUUUCAAGCCCUCUUUGGUUCAAUACCAAGCAAGUGCUUAGAAAAUAAGAAGAGCAGAAGAUGCAAGAGCACUAGAAUGGCGUGAAAGAAGCAACAGCUCAGCCAGAAUUAAAUGGAGAAUGGCUUGAAAGAAGCAACAGCUCAGCCAGAUUUAUAUGGGUUUAAUUUGUACAAAAAAACAAAUAGAUACCGACAUGUAUACCUCAAAAAAGGCUCAUCAGCUACCAAUGUCAUCUAUUAUGAGAUACAAAUGGCCUACAGCUACUAUUUUUCUUGCCUGCUCUGUCAUCUGUUAUAAUUAAUAGCAAGGCAUGCCAAUUUUUCUCCAUGCUCCUCGUAUCCGUCUCUGGACGUCGUCUUUUUAUCAGCAAACAAUUCCCUUUUACAGACGAAGGGUCAAACAAAAGUUCUAAUCAUAUCUGUAUCAAAUACUGCUGCUGAAACAAAGUUGAUUCUUCUAUGGUGCUGCAAGCCCAUAACUCAGUAGCUCGAGAAGCAAAUUGAAAUAAAAACAGGACCGAGGAGAGGGUGCCAUGAAGCACUUAUAUUCAAUAUUAGCUCUCAUCAAGAACAAUGUCAGCAGGAUCUCCGAUCCAUGGCCUCCCUUCUCUCCAAUGAAACUUAAUCCUCAACUUUCCAUUUGCAUCUACCCCAACUACCUGGCCCUUGCUUGCAUGAGUCUCCAUUCCCCACCCCCACCGAGGUGUUACCAGACCUUCUCUAAUUUUCACCUUGUCGCCUACUUUGAAUGGUCUAAUUCGUUCCAUUUCCAAAGCCUUGCAAAGCCACAGCUUCUCCAGGAAACAGAAUGAAACCCAUAGGUCCCCAUUUUCCAUCCGAUGCACCACUCCAGUGCUUGAAUGAUUCACUUCUCCCCACUGGUGUGUUGGUGUUGAAAUGGAUGCCCUAACCUUCACCCAAUCUCCAAUGUGAAGUUCUUCAUCCUCUACCAGCUCCACUUCUGAUGGAUCAAGCAUCCAAGUCUUGGAGCCUACUGGAGUAUAUAUUCUCAGCUUCCCAUCAGCAUCAAUUGCCGCUAUGGUUCCAACACUUCCAUGACUGUGGCCUGACCACCCAAACCUUGGCUGCUUCACAGAAAGUUUAACCCUAACUUUCUGCCCAACCAUGAGUCUUUCAACUCUUUCAAGAUGGGAAGUAGGCCCCGCCCAUCUUUCUUGCUCCCCACAAAAACCAACAUAUAUGCUUCCAUCCCACUCAUCUCCAUCAUAUCCUAUACCCUGUACAACACCCACACUGCCUGGUCCAACAGAUUUCCAGUUACUAACAUCUCCCCUCAGUUUCACCCACUCACCCACUUCAAAUAUAUGUUCAACCUCGAGAUCUGCGGGAUCUCCUCUCCACAACCCUGGCAAAUCAAAGAAUGCAAUCCUCACUUCUCCAUCAGCAUGAACAGAGGUGAUUAUGCCUCGCGAAUCAGGCUGAGCCCCUCUCCAGCCCCAUCUCGGCUCCGACAGUCCAGUUCGAAACCGAACAUGCUGCCCAACUUUGAAACAAGGUACCUUUUCAAUAUCUGUGUGAUGAGCAAUCCAUCUUCCUUUACGGAAACAACAAGCCAGUUCUAGAUAACCUGUCUCUUGUAUGCUGUGUACAACAGCUAAACUUUCCUUUCCAAUACUAUUCCAAUCAUAACUAGGUCUAGUCCCCAAACUAGGUUUGGAACGUACCCAAUCACCAACUUCAAAUCCCGAAAGCCUUUCUGCAUCUCCAGGAGAAACUUUCCACAAGCUAUGUCUGCCAGUAACCCUCACCUGCAUAGAAUAUAGCAAAUCAAAAGACAUUUCAUUCUUCUGCUGAAGACUGACUAUUGGUAAUGACAGCAAUCAACAAUUUGAUUAUAUAUGGAGAGAGUUGCCCUCAAUUAGGAAUGCAUAGCAUUUACUUCUGCCAGCUUCCAAUCAUCACGUUAACCAACAAAUGAUCUCACCAUUAUCAAGACAACAACUAGAAGAAAAUGUUACUAAAUUAUAUGAUGAAUGCUGCACCAUCGUUUCAUUAAUGCAGCACCCUAUCAUUUGCAACACCUUGCUACUUGUAAUGAUUGCAGAUGAAAGCAGCACAAGAGGAGCAACUUGCACAUGCACAAGAAAACAAAAUAAAAGGCAUAUUAAAGAUCAGAAGGGAGCAUGCAUACAUUCAAAGCUCCAUCCAUGUCAAUUCUCACAAUCUUUCCAACAGUUGCAGGACUUUCAUUUGACCAUCCAAGACGUGGUUGAGUCACAGAUGACAAGACAUGUAUCUCUUGUCCCAUUUCAAAAGGAGGCACCUUUUCAACAUCUGUCACAGAGCAACAAAAAGGCUUGCUUCUGAAACAGAAUGCCACACCCAUGUCACCAUCCUCUUCCAGGCUGUGAAUUACCCCAAUACUGUUCCGUGUGAUGUCUUCCCAUCCAUACUUUGGAGAAGAUACUGAAGCCUUCACUCUAACCCAAUCCCCAACCUGCUCAUAGAGGAGAUUCAUAUACACAAAAAAUAACUUCCUACAAAGGAUGUAUUGAAAUUUAUUCAUGAUGACAAAUAUCAUGCCAUGACAUGUAUAACCAUUGGUCAUGGCAGAUGGAUUACCACAUGCUACAAAUUAUGCCAGUAUCACAAUACCUUAAAAUCUUCAACCUUUUCCAUGUCUGAUGGAUCAGCCUGCCAUGGUAUAGGUCGAUUUGGUAUUUCAAUUAUAAGCAAGCCAUCAUUCUCUAUCUCACUAAUUCUUCCAACACUGUGAUGUGUUUCGCCGCCCCAAGCAUAUCUAGGUUCUGCAACAGAUCGCUUCACACACACCCGGUCACCAAUCUGCAAAAUUAAAUGGUGAAUAGGUGUGAUAUCCUUGGAUAAAAAUAGUGAUAACUGAGAUAAUUUCUUUUUCUAGAUACGAGAAAAUUGUCUUGAAAGCAAUUUUAGCAUUAUUCAUGAAAAAGAGGUCAAAUUUUGUUAUACCUUGAAAGGAGCAACAGGCUCAACCUCCUCUGGUUCACAAUGCCAUGGAUUUGGAAGAUAGCUCAACUCUAACAAAAGACUAUUAUCUGGUCUAAUACAAUACACAAUACCAAUGCUCCCAGGUGUGACAGAUCCUAGACCGUGCUUGGCAGUUGUAAGUGUGGGCCGGAUGCGAACCCAGUCACCCACCUUAAAUUCUUCGACUCUUUCCAUCUCGGCAGGGUCAGCUUUCCAUCCUCUAGAUGCUCCCGGAAAUCCAACACGAAGUAUGCCAUCAUCGUCAACACAUAAAACAGUUCCGAUGCUGUCACGUGAUUGACCACGCCAGCCGAACCUAAUAGCAUUACAGUAUUAGUUAUCAAUAUUAAAAAAUGAACACAUAUCAGUGCUCACAGAUCAUAAUUUGCUUCAGAAAUUUUCUGAGAAUUCCCAGAAAGAAUGACGAGGUCAGAUUUUUUACCAUGAAUACAACAAGGACACGUCUUCAUUUCAAGAUGUAAGAAAGACAAAAAAAGUGAAAUUGUAGGAGAUUACAGAGAAGAGAGAAAGUGAACUGAACUUCCAAGUCAAUCAGUCUCGACUCUGAGUGCAUGAAUUUGUGUGUGUACGAGAGAGGGACAAAAAACUUUCAUUUUCAGUUUCACCCAAAAACUCCUAUUACCCUUCCAUUUUAUGACGCACAAAUAAACAAAGUGCAAAAAUAAAAUCUCCAAGAUCGACCUAAUUAUAGUAAUAUUAUAACAGUUAACAAGCAUUCACAAUGAAGAUUUCUGACAGUUACCACUGUAGCAUGUGAGCAUUUUAUCCAUGUACUGUAACAUUUGCCAAAACUUGCAAUGUGAACAACUUAGCAGGCAUACCGUGGUUCUUUGACAUCUUGCUUAAGCUGGACAUGCUGUCCCCUAUCCAAAGGAAUCACCUUCAAAACUUCAUUGGCUAACACACGAGCCUCUCCAGAGCAAAAUGACACAAUAAGGUUGUCCUUGUCCACAACAGUUUGCACAAAGCCUACACUUUUGUGUUUUGCACCUUGCCACCCAUGCGUAGGAGUAGUGACACUUCUUUUGAACUUCACCCAAUCCCCCACUUCAAAUCUAAAUGCCAUUAAGAGCAAAGAAAAAUAUAUUUUAGUCAUAAAUCAUGCCACAUCAACUUUCCAAAAAUUCAUCAAAGCACAAUGACUAAAGUUUUGUCCUCACAUUGUAGGAGAUAGAUGAACUCCCCUAUUCACAAGUGCCUCCAUCAAAUCUUCAGAAAUCCAUUCCCGAGGAAGGGCCUCCAAAAAGUCACGGAGUGUCUUACCACUGUCAUAAACAUGUAAAAAAAAGCGUAGGGUUCAACACAUCUUGGAUCACCUUUGCAACUUUACAGUCAAUAUAUGACACAUAAAAUGCAGCAUCUCAAGGACAACAAAAACAAAUUCCAUUGUUGAAAACAUUGAAAGAAUAGAGGUAUGUUAGAAUCCUUGAGGAUGUCAAUGCUGGUACGUGCCUGUGGUUUCUAACUUCAACAGCAGCAUUAGAAUUCCUGAGCAUAAGGAUGAGCCAUUCAAGAUUCUCACGUAUCAUUUUUGCUGUUUCAGCUGCUAUGUGGAAAGCAUUGUCCCCUUCAUCAUCCUGAUAAUGGGAAAAUGCAUCUUAUGGAUUUGCAUUUAGCAGAAAACUCCUCAUAACAAGGAGCAAAGAGAAUAGAAACAACUUGAAUAAAUCAACUAAAAUGUAGAAAUAAUAAGACCAGCCAAACCAUAUUUAAUUAUCACAGCAAAGGAAGAUGGCCCCAGAAGAAAGAGCAAUGCAGAAAGCGCAAACAUAACUUGAAUAAAUGGACUAAAAUUUAGAAAUAAUAAGACCAACCAAACCGUUAUUAAUUAUCACAGCAAAGGAAGAUGGCCCCAGAAGAAAGAGCUAUGCAGAAAGAGCAAAAGUAAAUGUCAUCUGUCGUACAGGUAUAGGAAUAGUCAGCCAGAAGAAUAAAUGGAAGUCACUUUUACAACAAAAGGUUGAUUUUCCAAACAUCUUUAUGUUUCAAAAACAUGAUAGCUUCCAAACCAAAGAUGGAUAGAUGAAAUAACUUAAGCAACCUGAUAACAUGUAACCUUGACCUAGAAUAAUUUCAAUCAAAGGAAGAUGGCCCCAGAAGAAAGAGCUAUGCAGAAAGAGCAAAAGUAAAUGUCAUCUGUCGUACAGGUAUAGGAAUAGUCAGCCAGAAGAAUAAAUGGAAGUCACUUUUACAACAAAAGGUUGAUUUUCCAAACAUCUUUAUGUUUCAAAAACAUGAUAGCUUCCAAACCAAAGAUGGAUAGAUGAAAUAACUUAAGCAACCUGAUAACAUGUAACCUUGACCUAGAAUAAUUUCAAUCAUCUUGAAGACCUAUAUACGAACUCAUCCAAAAUUGAAAUUAAUAGUAGAUGGUAAAGUUGGCAUGCUGCUAGCGAUCAAUACUUCAAGAAUAACCAGGUUUGUGAUAUCAGUUUCUUUUUCAAAUUACUCUUCUAUUCCUUAAUGAGCAACCAGAGAGCAUGAAACCUUGGCCGAGAAUAAUUUCCAAUCAACAUUGACAAAGAUAUAACAGUUUCUUUCUCACAUUAAGUCUCCUACCAUAACAAUUCAUGACCAUGAAACUUAAAAUCAAUUUGCAUUUACGAGAAAGCAUCACAAUAUCUUGAAAGAAGCACCUUUUACUAUUUAUUUGGGAAACUAAUUCUCUCCUUUUCAGCAAUACUAUUCUUUUUUUUUUUCGCUGUCACAAUUAUUUUUAGUCCUCUAAUGGUUAACCCUCACUCAGUCAGACACAUUAUUCUUUUCAAUUUGUUAUAGGUCAAUCCCCCAUUAGAAAUAAGCCCCAGGUUUCAUACAUGUUGCUUUCAUGAAAGCAGUCCUAAAACAAUAAUUUUUCUGAGCCCAAAAACAUUGUAUAUGUCAAGGAAAACUACAUGCCACGAAUGAAAACCAAUUCCAAGUUCUCCAUACAUUCAGGAAUUCCACAAUUUUUCAUCUUAGAAUAUUUCACACAGAAACUACCACGUUUAAUGGUUGAGCAUCUGGUAACAUCCAGACCAAAACGAUUUUUAGAAACUAGCAGGCGUGAAAAAAAUCAAGCAGUCAGCAUAGUAUAAUAGUUAACUUCAGAUGAAGAGAAUACAAUCAAUGCAAAAAUACACAUGGUACCAAUGAAAAUUCUAAAGUGUAAGUGAAAACCUGCAUAUUACAAUUUGCCCCUGCAGAUAAGAGCAACCCAACACAUGACUUUGCCCCUCUUGCCAAGGCUACAUGGAGAGGUAUUGUAUUCUGCACGUUCCGAAUGUUUACAUCCACUCCAGCAUCAAGAAUAAUCUAUUAAGAAAUUUAAAGGUGUAGUUAUAAAAACUGGAAAACAGAAAAAUAAACAAAACAUUCUAGCCAAAGCAUCUAGAAUAAGAAAGCUACAAUAGAGAAAUAAGUCAUUAAGCAAUCAUAUCCACCAGGAUGAAAGCUAUAUAUCUUACUUUGACCAAUUCAACAUCAUUAGCCAUAGCAGCAGUAUGUAAGGCUGUUCGCCCAUGUUGAGCAUCUUGGGCAGUUGGAUCUGCUCCAGCAAAAAGUAAUAUUCGCACAAGUUCUCUCCCUUCUACAAUGAAUCAUCAGAAAUUAAUUAAAUGCAUGAAUCACAUCAAGCAUAGAUGAUACAGAACCAAGCGAUUUUACUCUCUCUUUUUUUUAAAGACAAAAACACACUAGAGAAAUUAACAAUGCCAAAGUGCAAACACAAAGGGGGCAAGAUGUAAAGACAAAAGAUAAACACUGGAUAUAGAAGCAAAAUCCUUUUAGACACAUGAAAAAACUAAAGUGCUUUUCGACAUAAAUUAACUCAGGCCAAGAUCAAACUUAACACCAAACAUCAAAUCAUUGAGAUUUGGUUCGUUAAUAUGUGGAACAAACUCCAGAUUGGUCAUCUGUUCAAUCAACAAAGAAACCAUGGACUAUUCAAAAUAAUGCUAACUAAAACUGAAUAGGCACCAGCUCUCAAAACAAAGAAACAAUCUUUUUUCCAAAGAAAAACAAAAUAUCAACUAAAAAGAAGAAUAACAAAUUGAACUAGACAGAACUUAUCACCAGCUGGUAAUUAUACUAUAAUCAAACAAUCUAAGCUUCUAAGCUUCCAAAAUUACCAGUUUCAUGAUCUUUCUUCGCAGCAGCCGCCAUGCAUAAUGCAGUUCCAACAGGACUUGGUAUAUCAAUGGCAUCAGCAAUUUCUUCUGGGGAUGCAACUUCUACCCACCUUCUCACAACAGCCACAUUCCAUGUUGCUACACACAAGUGCAAUGGCCUGUGGCAUUGAGAGAAUUAUGAUGUGCAUCAUAGAAGGCAAGAAAUACAAUUGAAAGAAACACAGGCAUAAACAUUUUGAACACAUUACAAUCAUAUAAAAUAGCCAUCUUAUAGAAAGAACAGAUUUCUCAGACCACAAGCAAGAGACCUAAAGUAUUUUAUUAAUAUCUCCUACACUUCACAAUCAAAAUGGAGAGUCGCACAUAUAACAGUUAUUUUAUACCCCAUUAAAAGUGCAGAACAUUAAUGAGCACAUAGGCAGAACUGAUGAGUGUGCAGAUGGAUAGAAAUAUGAUAACUUAAAAAAAAAAAAACCAAGUUAUCAUAGUAGCAGCUGUAGGAUAACUAGCUCUUUCUGGUACUUUUAAAUAAGUUUCCUUUGUUGUAUCCAAGCGAGUCUAAAAUUAUUUUUGUUUUUUAUAUUUCAUAUAGGAUGGUCCGCUAAUGCUCAUUGUCAUAACAUCAUUCUUUUUCUUUAUUAAAAGAACUUCCUCCCUUUUUCAAUAAAAUGGAAAAAAGAUGAGAUGGAUAAACUGUUUUUAUAUCCCAUUAUACCCCAUCUGCUUUAUGGGUCACAAGCCACCAAAGAAUCAGAAAUAGCAGAAAAAGAAGCAUACAAACCUUUUCUUGUCUUACACUGGUUGUAAACUCGGACAAGGUUCUUACUAAAAAGGAGAGACAAGGUGAUCACCCUUCCUUGUUUAUCAUUCAUAUUGAGGGGGGUGGGGGGGGAUUACUGCAAUAAUUAAAGAAAAAAGCUAGCAUGCACUUACGUCAAAUUUUUUGAAUUUGGGACAGCCAUGGACCCACAACCCCCAUUUUCCAGUAUAACAAGAGCACAAUCUGUAUAUUUCUUGGAAACAGCUCUGUGCAAUACAGAUUCACCUUCAUCAUCAAUUGCAUUUGGAUCAGCUCCAGCCAAUAGCAGCUCCUAUCAUUGUAUAGGUUCUUUUCAAUAUGAAACCGAUAAAAAAAAAAAAAUAUAUAUAUAUAUAUAUAUAAACAUGAUGAACUGAAGACCUACACGCAUGCAAUCAGGUUGGCCAUGGUAUGCACAAACAUGAGCAACAGAUGGACCAAAACCUUCCCUCAACCUAGAUCUUACAUUAGCCCCUCUUUCAAUGAGAGCACGAACACAUUCUGGGGAUCCUGCAGCUAAAGCAAAAACAAGCGGAGGAUCCCCAUCUUUGUCCAAUACAUCAACAUCUGCCUCUCUGUACUCCAAUAUAGCCCUAACAAGCUCUGAACUACCACGUCUGCAAGCUAAGUGAAGAGCAGUUUGGCCAUCAGCAUUCUGCGCUUCUAAUAGCAUAGAUAUUGGGAAAUUGUCAUUUCGUGAUGCAACCUUUGCAAGUAAUUCCCUGCAUUCAAUAAAGAGGCAAAAAAAAUGUGAAAUGAGAUACAAAAACAUGCGAACAUAUAUAGAGAGUAACAAGAAGGUGUUGUAUUAAACUGACCUAACACCACUAACAUCCCCUUCUGACACAAAUCGAUGUAGAUGGCCAGGGUUAUCCUGAAAUACCUCCAAAUCAGAAGCAAGGGGAGGUUCCUUCACAUAUGACCUAGGAUAUUUUGCAAAGCUGCUGCAAUCACACAAAAACUUUUGUAAGCAAUUCUCUUGUUUUGUAAGCAAUUCUCUUGCACGGAAAGCUAGUCUCCUACACACACAGAGAUGUGCUUGAACACAUGAUUAAUCCAAAAACAAAGAACCACAGCAUUCGGUGAAAUCUUUGUUUGGCUAUAACAGCAGCAACUAAGCUGGCAUUUAGCAGUGUGUCUAUACAAAAACAAUGGGAGGAUAAGAUCUCAACACCAACUUUGAUGUUCUUACUUAUCAGGACUUGCAGGAGGGCUGCGUGGCAACUCCUGCAAAUGACGGAGGAAUAUUGCUAACAUUGCACUAAAAGCUGGCCUUUUCGAUGCUUUGAAUUGUAGGCAUUCUCCAAUCAUCUUCCACAAUUCUCUAGGCAUUCCAACACCUACUACACUUGCAUACUGUGGAGGCAACUUUCGACCCUUCACAACAGCUCGAUAAAUUUCAUCUGCACUUAAAACAGCCCACCUGCACAAAUAAUCAACUUGUAUUACAAAGAAAUUAAGCACCAACAAAAAAAAUUCAAAGAAAUGAAAGAUUAAACAAGAAACAAAAAAUAAAUAAAAAACACAUACGGGAUAGAACCAGUGCACAUCUCCACCAAAGCACAACCAAAACUCCAGGCGUCUGACUCCACGGAUAUACCUAUUGCAUCAUCCCAGAACAGAUUCAAUGAUUUCUUUACCGGCUCCCAUGCCUCUGGAGCUGUAUAGUUCGGACUAAGCAUUGUACAGUCCAUGCAUGAAUGGAUUUUUGCAGAAUCACACUCCGAUCGAGCUUUCCUACAGGCAGGUUUCUUUAGAAUUGCAGCAAGUCCAUAAUCAGAAACGACCGCACGACCACUUGAAUCCAAAAGAAGAUUCGACGGUUUUAUGUUCAUGCAAACAACACCUGCUGCGUGAAGUUCAGCCACUCCUCGAGCUAUAUCAGCACCAUAUCUACAGUAGGCAUAUGCUUACUAUGUCAGGAAAAGAAUCACAGCCAGCUAACAAUACUACAAAGAGCUUUUCCAUGAGCUUAUUGGUUAGCAUAUACUAAUUAAAAUAUCUGAAACUCAAUGGAUCUUCAACCAAUCCAUGCAUUGAUUUAAAAGUAAGAUUCAAUGCAGAAAGGGAAACCAUUAGAUGUUUGGCAUACUGAUAUGAGAUCUUUCAAAAAAUUAGAUUCUAGAAUUUCACUAAAUUUGUGUGAGAUGUUUGGCAUCCUGUUCCUGGAGCAGUUGAAUGAUAGGGAAAAAACUUUCACUCAUUUCACAAGCACCAAAAAUGUGAAAAGGCACACCCACUGCAUUGAAUAUCUUUUCCCUCUCCCACAACCAACUAUGUGAAUCGACAACUGUUCCACCUUACUCAGAAUAGCCUAAUCUUCUCCAGCUAUCAAAAAAGUGUAUUUCACGUACCCUAGGCCACCAGCAAAUGCAACAAAAGAAGAUACCAUUCAAUUUCUGGAAAUAAUAAACAUAAAAAUUUGUCCUUUUUUUAUCAGUUUAUAAACCAGCUAUACAAGUCUGCUCACAUAGAGAAUGCAUUCCACCAUGUAGCCUCACAUGCUAACAAGAACUGUCUCCCAGUCUUUCUAAAUUUUGCAUCAACGGUGCUCAUAGCUUAAACAUGGUAGUUAAUAUUUAUCCAUGUACAUGCAUAUGGAUUUGAAAUAUGACUUCAUGAACAUGAAAUUGGUUGCGUCAAAUACUUCUCGGUACUAUAAAACUCAUGUCUGUCUCUAUGCAUGCAGCAAAAUGACUUUUCAGCAAUACACGAGGAACUCUUUUUUUUUCAACAGACACAGGUACUGAAACAACCUUUUUACCCAAAAACUUAAACAGCUAUCUUAAUCUAGCACUGAACUAGCAAAGAAAGAAAGUGAAAAUUUUGUUAGUAGCAGUUAGUGUGAGUGUGUUUCCACAUGCAUGCGCACACCAAGACUAUCAGAGCUGAUUUACAUGAUGGAGGAUAAGAUAUCCUCCUAAAGAAGAGACAUAAAUCUAAGACUAUCAGAACAUUUAAUUCUUCUGUCCCUUUUAAUGUCAGAUAUGAACAAUCCCUCGAAACUCCCAUGUAAUGAGGCACAGUGAUGCAGCACAAAACAAAAACAAAAGACAGAUGAUUUAUGACGAUUAUUAUUUGGAUACAGAACAAUCCUCGAAUUCUUCUCAGCUCAAAAGCACCAAAACUACAAAAAAGGCAUACUUCUACAACAUAUCACUAUCCUUUCCUCUCCCUAAUCCACCCAGAUUAACCAACAAAUCCUCUUCUGUCAAACCCAUAAGAACCCAAUGCUCGCCACAUAUCCUAGGCCACCGACAAUGCGAAAUGAUAAGAUAGUGUGCAGCUCCAGACAAAAAUAAAUAUAAUUUCUGUUCCUGAAUUCUCAGCUAACAAACUAGCAUGACAGUAAUCGUAGAUUCAACAUUGUAAUUGAUAUUUGACUGUAUACAAGUACAAACAUUUCUAUUUUCCCAUGUGAAUCCAUGAUCAGGAAUUAGGUUUUAUCGAUCUCUAAUCAACACAGUAAAUCGACAGCUUGUCUAUGUGCAUGCAACUUGAUUACUUUCACAGGGAAAAAAUAACUUAUCAAAUCAAACGCCUAAACACACAGCUUGAUCCUUAAAACGCAAAUUACUGAACCAGAAUUAACGCAUAGGACAACAAGAACAAAUUAAAUAAAAUCUUAACCAAAAGCAUAAAACAAAAUUCGAAAAGGCAAAAAAGACCUUAGAAUUUGCUCGAGAGUAAGCCUUCCUUCAUUCCUUUGCAUCUCCGAUUCAACAGAACCAUAACACCUAUCCGUAACAAUCCCUAAACACCCAUCCAUUUUUACAACACCAUGAAAAGUACACACAUUCCUACACCACAUCGCCGCCUUUCUCAAACUCUCCAACUGCCCUAACACCCAGUCCACCUCCAUCUCCUCCCCUAUCUCCACCUUCUUCACCGCCACCCGGUGCCUACACACCUUCUUCCCAUGGACCCCGCCGCCACCAAUCACCGCCGUCCACGUCUCCAUCCCAGAUUUACUCCUCCCUUCACCAAUUUUCUUCACCAACUUCACCUCUGGGUGGGCCCCGACAUCAAUCACCGGCCCACAGGCACCAGAACUCGACGCGUGGGACCCGCGGCUACACCUCUCCUCCUCGAAAUCCUCUUCGUCACCAUCACCCUCGUCGUCAGUGUAAUCGCAAUCGAAGUUCGCCGCCGCCGAAGACGACGAGGAGGAAUGGAGCAGAGCUAAAACGGCGAAGUUCUUCUUCAGUGCGGUGACUGAGUUGCCUACGACCGACACGUGUCGGCAUCUAGGGCAGACAAGUGUUGUAUCGGUAGAAGCAGAGAACAUUCGAGAGAGACAGUCUUUGCAGAAUCCAUGACCGCAUUGGAGAAGUAGAGGAACUCUCUCUUCCUCGUCAUACCGCGUUUGGCAAACUGAGCAGCAAGGGACUUUCAUUUUUUCUAAUUCUGUGGUUGAAUCAAGUGAGAGAUUGGGGUUUUAUAAGUGAUUUUUAAAGAGAUCUUGAGAGAGCCAAACAAGGUAGAUCCAUGGGGAUUGGUGAAAGGAAAUGGAGGAUUAAGGAAAUACAGAGAUGAUAAAAAUUGUGAUUAUUAAGAGAUUAAAUGCAAAAUGUUAGAGAGAGAGAGUAGAGAGAGAGGGGGGGGAUUUUUUGGUGAAUUGGAUUUGUUUUUCUUGCCUUUGCUUUAGGUUUGGUUGGCUGCUUUACUGCUGCUGCUUUGCUUGCUUGCACUUGUGAGAGUAGUUUUUAUAAUGGAUUUGUAUGCAUUAUUUUUUUGUAUGGGGAUAAAAAGGAUGGUUUUGAGUGGAGAACAUGGAUAGGUGCUUAGAUUUAUAUGUUCAAAAAUAAAAUUGAGGGAUGCGUCUAGUGAUAAGGUGAGUAUUUACUGUUUCAAUUAAUAAGUUAGAGAAUGUUUCUUUAUGUAUUUAAAAAGUAUUUUUUUGAAAUAUUUUUUUAUUUUAAAUUAUUUUUUCAAUUUAGAUUUUUUUGUGUAUUGUUAUAAAAAAAUUAAAAAUAUAUAUUGUUUUAAUGCAUUUUCACACAAAAAAUAUUUUAAAAAAUACUUGUUACUACAAUCUUAAACCUCGUGUCGACAUCUAAAAUUAAAAUUAUUGUCAGUCCAUUUAUUACAAAUAAAACUAAAACUCAUCAGUGUUUUAUUAUGGAUCAUGCACGGUCCAAUCCAUAGUAAAAAGACUAGUAAGCUUUUUAAUAACCAAAAAAUAAACACACAUCUAAGGAUAAAGUCGUAUUCUCACAUAUAUGAUCGUACAGUGUAAUUACUCACAUGCUCUUUAAAUAAAAAAAAUAGCUAAUGUAUAAGUGGUGUUUUUGAAUUUUUAUAUUUUUUGUACGAUGUAAUUACCAUGUAACCUUUGUGAUUAACUUUUUUUUCUUAAGGUCAAUGGACAUUUUAGGUUUUUUAACCUCGGUUUUCUUGGAAUUAUUUCAUGGGAUCAAGGGUAUUUUAGUUUUUCUAUCAUUAAAAAAAAUAUGGUUGGCGUGUGCGGUACCUCCUGGUUGCUGUUGAUAGCUUUUUGCGGAAUUAUUUGAAGUAUCGCACUAUCCUCUAUACGGUGGAGCAGCACAUGUUGGCUUGCAUGACACAAAGGAGCUCUGGCAAAAAAAUUUCUCCUUCCUCCUUUUCUCUUUAUCCUCCAUCUCAUAAGAUAUGCUGGCCUUGCAAAAUGGCCCUCAAUCAUUUAAUUGUAUCGGAUUUGAUUUAUUUGUUUUAAAAUUCAUCUCUUGGCAUUUGAUUUUUUAUAUUUUUUUAUCAAAUUUGAUCAUCGUUCUUCUAAUUCCUAUUUAUUUUUCUUUUAAUCUUUUUUUGAUUGAAUUAUAUUUUUUGAUUUAUUCCCUAAGCAUUUGAUUUUAAUUCUUUUUUUAUUUAAUUUGAUCUUCAUUCUUAUGAUUUCAAUUCCUUUUAUUUUGAGUUCUCUUUUUGGUAAUUUUUUUUUUUGCUAUUUCAUCCCUUGUUGUUUAAUUUCAUUGAAUUUUCAUAUCAUAUUUUAUACUUAUUUUUUUAUUAUGCUUUUAAAACCCGACAUAGGAGUGAACCCCAUCAUGUCUCGGGUCACGGGUUGGGUCGAAUAACUGGGGUUACCCAAAUCAAUUGGAUUUUUUAUCGUGCAUGAAGUAGAAAUUACAUUAUUUUGAUUUAACAAAAUAUCAAAAAAAAUCAAUGGGCAUUGACAUGAUUUUUCACAAACUAAUCACUUGAUUGUUUAUUUAGCUAAAAAGUAAAAAUGAUAUUAUUUUGAUAAAAAAAUAAUAAUAGAGAAAAAAUUCAAUCAUGAUCCUCUCUUUUUAUUGGUCUUCCUUUGUUUUAAAUUCCUUUUUAGAUUUUUUUUCCAGUUUCAUCCAUUUCUAGUUGAUUUUGUUUUGUUUUUGUAUUAAAUAUGGUACUCGUUCUUUUGAUUGUUGCUUUUUUUAUAUCAUUUUCUUAAUUUGUUUUAUCUUUCAAUUUCUUCCAUCAACAUUUAUUUCAUUUAUUUUUUUAUUUAAUUUUGGUUCUCAUUCUUUUGAUUGCUCUGUUUUAUCCUUUUUCUUUUUUAUUUUAUUUUUCGAUCAAGUCCCUCGUUAUUUUAUUUCAUUAGUUUUUAUACCAGAUUUAGUUCCUAUUGUUUUGAUUACCAUUUUUUUCUUUCUAAUUUUUUUAUGGUUAAGAAAUGUUUUCAAUAUUUUUCGUGUCUUCUGUAGAUCAUAUUAAUCUCAUGACCAGAGUUGCUGGUUUCAAAUAUUAGUUCGAUUUAACUUUGAUUUUUUUUAGUUCUUUUAAUUUUAUCAUUUGACAUUAGGUUACUGGGACUUGAGCUUUCUAUUUUUUACCUUUUCUUCUUUUGGGUUAUCCUGGAUAACAAAUUAGUUAAGUUAACCCGGAUUCACUCAAGUUAUCACCGUUUGGAUAUCGUUUUUAUAUUAGAAACAAAUUGACCCAUCUCAAAGCACAGCACGAACAAAAAAAUCUAGUAUGAACCAAUUUGAUUAUGACUCUGCGACGUGAGAUGAAAUAUUUGUUUUCUCAUUGUAAAAAACGAUGCGAGCGCUAUUAACAUUUUUUUUAUACUCGAAAGAAACUUUAACUACAAACUGAAAAGUUUAUACAUGUUUGUGAUAAAAUAAAUAAAACAUUCUAUAUAUAUAUAUAUAUAUAUUAGUAAAUAAUAAUAAAUACAUUGAUUCUACUCAAACAUUGUGUUGAUGAUAUGAGAUAAAAAAAUGUUAUUUCUUAGAAGAAAAUAAGAUAAAUAUUUGUUACAGUUUGAGAUUGAAUGCUUAAAGUUUUACUUUAUUUAAAUUAAUAAAAUUAAAAUUUUAUUUUGUCAAUUCGAGAACGUCAAAAUUUAUUAUUAACUUUGUGAGAUCUUCAUAUAAAGCUAAUAUAAGCAAAACAUAAAACUUCAUCCCAAGUCAACUUAGAGUCUGUUAGUUAUUGCAAUAGUAGUUGCUUUUUAAAAUACAUUUCACUUGAAAAUACAUUAAAAUGAUGUUUUUUUAUUUUUAAAAUUUUAUUUUUGAUAUCAACACAUUAAAAUGAUUCAAAAAUACUAAAAAAAUUAUUUUCAAGCAAAAAAAAUCAAAUUUUAAGCAAAUAGUGUUUUGGCCACAAUGUCAAACGCCGUCUCAAAGUGAAAGGAUUAAGUUAUAAAUAAAAAAAGAUCAAGUGAUAAAAAAAUUAAAGGAAAAAAAACAAUGUGGCUAGCUAUUGCAAUCCACGGUGGAUUUUGUCUUUGUUUUUCGAUAUUGUAUUUUUAAUAUUUUUUCCACUUCUUGCCUUUUUUGCAUCUUCAUGAUUUCAAAUUUUAUUUUAUGAUUUAUUGAGGGAUGAUUUUGUGAAACUAAACUAUAAUUAUUAAAUAAAAAGCAAAAAAAAAUCAAUAAAAAAAUGGUGCCGGUGAAAAAAAGUGUUGGAUUUAGUUCACUGUUGAUACAGAAGAAGGUUUCCACUCCACCUUUUUUUUAAUAUGUUUAUUAAUGAUUUGUAUUACCUAGAUCGAAAAGAAAAACCUAAGUUAACUGUAACAUAGAGAAAUAAUAAAAUACAAUUUAACUAGUAAGCGGAUAACCCUGUUUGUUUUUGUAUUUUAAAAGCGCUUUUAAAAAAAUAUGAAAUUUUUUUAUUAUUUUCUUUACUUCAAAUUAAUAUUUUUUUGGUGUUUUAGAUCAUUUUGAUGCAUUGAUUUCAAAAAUGAUUUUUUACAAAAAAUAUUAUUUUGAUACAUUUUUAAGUGAAAAACACUUUGAAAAAUAACCACAAACACACAAUAGACACGCUUGGUUCCUUGAGUUUGAUUUUCUUAUCAAAUUCACUUUUUCUCUAUGAAACUCAAUUGAUAUAUUAGAGUUUUAUUUUGUGGGAAAAUGAUGAGAUCUGAGACACAUGAAGAGAAUAGUAAAACAUAUUGAAAACGAUAAAUGAGUAUACUAAAUUAAAAUUUUUAAAUUUUUAAAUAUAUACAAAUAUUUACUCUUAAGAACAUAAUUAAAGGAAAAUAUUGCUUCCCCCAAACUCUAAAAAAAAAAAAUCGGUUUCCUCCCAAAAAAAUCAGUUUUAUAAUAGAGGGAUAAAUAAUAAUAAUAAUAAUAAAAACCUAAACUAGAGGGAUCACAUGUGUAUUUUACCUGACGGACAACUUAGUCCUUACAGUAUAAUAUUUUUUAAAAUCAAUCUUCAUGUUGAAGUCAAAUGACAAAUAAAGUGGGCUAAGAAAAAUUUGACAUCCCAUUAACAUUGGUCAUAUAUUCCCCGUCGAAAAAAGGGUUUGGUGGACGAACAUUUACCUUUAAUAAGAUUAUUAUUUCAGGAGUGUUGUUGUUAUUAAAAUUAUUUUUUUAAUAAUUAUUUUUAAUAUUAGAACAUCAAAUCAAUUUAAAAAUAUUAAAAAUAUUAAUUUAAAAUAAAAAAAAUCAAUUUUUUUAAAAUAUUUUUUACCAGACAAAACAAAUAGAGUAGUGUAAGUCACCUUCUGAUUCAAAACCUUGUAUUGAUGCACGUGUUGCAUGCAGUACUAGUCUAGACAACAAGGAUAGACAGGUGAAACAAGCUGUCUUGGAUUUCCUUCCUGAGAAAGUUGUCAUCUUGGCUUCUUGCAAUGGCGUAACUACAGAGCUAUUUAGGAAAAGACGAUGACGUGAGAACAGGGUCCUGUCAUGGCGUGGAGCAUCGAGUUCUGCCAGGGAGAUGGAUUUAUAUGCUUGCUGUCUCUUGAAUUCUGCCAUGGAGGGAUUUCAUUGAGGCCGUGGUGGAUAGUUUUGGAUCAGCUCUCUAUCCCUUUGGUGCUUCAGUGAGCAAGAAACCAUGUUUCAAGUUGGAGGGAAUCCAACGCUCUGAAGCUGCUUCAAACGCAUUUCCUUUGUUAUUUGCUCGUCAGGACAUGAAAAUGGACAACUUCCAAGGAAGAUUGCCACUGCCAUUAAAGAAUUUCAACAGCUCACAAGGAUAGGGAGGCAUUAAUUGUCGGUGAUAGAUUUUUCUAGUUGACCUGGAACCACCACGUUAUCAAACCGAGGUAGCUUGGGUAUUUCAAGCAAGUCGAACUUUCACAUCUUCAAUCCUUCAUUUCCUUGUGUCCUUGACACCGAGUUCUUGAAGCUGCGAUUCGGAGGAAACUCCUACGAAGAUCAGAAUGCUGCAGCAGAAAAAUAAAACUUUCUCAUGGAUAAUUCACUCCAGAUUUGUCAUCCAGAAUCGUUGUUUAUAUCAUCAUCAUACCACAAACAAAUUUCUUACCUCGACGAUUAUUAUAAAGGUAUAGUUCAAUCAGGUUAUAGGUUUGUUUUCUAGAAGUUACAAGUUCGAGUUUCACAAAUCUUAAGUUCACUAGAGGCUUAUAUAAUCGUUAAUUUUAGAAUUGUUAAAUUAAUCGAGGUGCAUACAAGCUGGUCUAAACACUCAUAUUAAUAAUAAUAAAAAAAAAAAUUUCUUAGCUCGCCAAUGAUGCACGAAUGAAAGGGAUAAUGUUGUUGCACGGCUUCCCGAAUCAGAUGUCGGCAGCUUAACAUUAAAGGCAUGCACUUCGAGCAAUACUUUGCCUCGAAUGUAGAUCAACCGACAUGGCUAUUCGUCCCGGUAUAGUUUAAUUAUUGGUGACAUAAAAACUCUAUGACAAGUUGACAACAAUACUGGCAUGCUCGAUUACUCGUAUGCCAUGUGAGGGGAUUCAUAGUUAGUCUUGCGGAGUUAUAGUUAUAAUUAACGGGUGAUUGAAAAACGAGAAUAUGAUAAUACUUGUUUUUAAAAAUAUUUUUUAUUUAAAAAUAUAUUAAAAUAAUUUUAUUUUAUUUUUAGAAAAGAUACUUUAUAAAAAAAAAUAUUUGAAAACAUAAAAAAAUAUUAAUUUGUAGGAAAAAAACAAUAAAAUAUUUUUAAUUUUUUUAAAAAAAUGUUAAAUGUUUUUUAUUCAAAAAUAUAUCAAAAUAAUAUAUUUUUUAUUUUAAAAAAAUUAUUUUUAAUAAUAAUACAUUAAAAUAAUUUAAAAACACUAAAAAAUUAAUUUGACAAAAAAAUUUCAAUUUUUUUAUAAAUGCUAAAAUAAAGAGGUUCUUAGACUAAAGUAGCUAUUCAUCGUACCCCAACCGUAAACAUUAAAAACAUUCCUUUUUCUCUAUUUUCAGGUUACUAGACUUUGAAUUUUUGGAAACAUCACAUAGCUAUAAAUAAUAAUUAUAAAAUUCUGAUAAUUCCAUGACUCGCGUAUUAAUUUAAAAAGAUAUUAUUUUAAAAUUUUAAAAAAUAAAUUAAAACAAUAUUAAUUUUUUAUUUUAAAAAAAUUCAAAUCAUGCCCCACUUAGAUUUUGACUAGAUAAUAAGCUAACUCGUGUCUUGUGGGGUCACUAGAUUCAGUUAAACAUAGUUUAAUAAGACUGCUACCAAUUGUUAUUGGCUAUCCAUUGAAAAAACAAAUGUAAAGCAAGCUUUGUAGUGACAUUUUUGUAACAUUUUUUUUCUUGGAAAGUAAGCCGGUCAAUGUUAGAUUUGGAUGAGCCGUUGCAUUUUCGCAUUCUGUCUACCAAACUCGAUAUAUCAAUAACUGGGCCUUACCCAGGUUAGGCCUUGACAGCACAGUUGCUGGGCUCUUGUUGAAACCCAUGCAGUCCAUAUGAAUUUUAUGUUCAGGAGUUAUAAAAUCUGAACUCACUGCCAUCGUUUAUCCUAGUUCGAGGAAAAAGCUUGCCUCGAUCUCAUUUGGUUUAUGCAAUUGCCAAGUAGCUUUCACUAACAUCGACGCGGGCAGCGUAUUUGAAGGUGUGUAAGUCUGGAGAUUGUCGAUGAUGGCCUCCAGAAAUUUCAAGAUUUUCGAGGCCCUCACAAUAAAGUACAGGAAAUUUCUCAAUGAAAGGGCAGCAAAAGAUGAGGUUCUGGCUAACAUUUUCAUCAACUUCAACUGGCCUUGAGGACAGAUUAUGGUAUCACAAGACAUGUGCAGCUUGACAAGGUGAUCCGAUAUCCUUCACCUCUAGAGGGUUAAGGUUUUGGCAGAGAAGAAGGCUUGCGAUGAAUCAUCAAUAUGAAAAUAACGACGCGAAAAUUUAAACUUGAUACCAAGCUCUUCGACACCAGACUGUACAGCAAAUGCAAUCAAAGAAUCGAUACAGGAAGCAAACCCAUUAAGGUGGAAACUCGGAGAUAGGCUAAGCCUUAGCCUAAACAAAGAAUGAUAGACAAAAUUGAGGAAUUUAUUUCUCGUCUUUUUCCUCAGAAAAGUGUAAUUAUACAAUGAUAGGAAACCCUAAAAAAGAACCAGCAAAAUCCCAUGUCACGGGGAAUGAAGUCGAGAUUUGAUGCCAUGACUUGUACGAGAUACCAGCUAGGACCACAUCUAUUGAUGUUGUUCGCUUUGAUACCCCAGAUGGGCAUUGUUUUGCUUUGAACACAAUAUAUCGCUGUAUAAAUCAUUGUUGUAUGCUAAUAACUUCAGACAAGCUCAGAAAUUCAUUUCAAAACUAUUUUAGAAAUAUAUUUAUUCUAUACUUUUGUUUUUGUUUUGGAACAGUAACAAAUCGCAACAAAAUUUACAUAAUAAGCUUUUGUGUUCCCACAUUUGGAACAUUCACAUGAACAAAGAACCACUGGAAAUGGGAAAAACAGCACCGUCGAGGAAUACCUUAACGAACCUGAAUCUGAAUCUAAAGGAACGACGGUUUUGUCUUUCAAAACUAGAAUCCUGGUGUUCUUCGGCAUGUUUAGGUUAAACUGCAUUUGUGUCCUUAUGAGUUCUUCAUUGUUCUAUUUCUACCUUCAUAGUUUACAAUAUCUCAGUGUAAUCCCCAUAAUUCUUAAGCAAUUUAGGAUAAUCCCUCGUUACAAGAGACAUGAAUCAUAAUAGGGAAAUCUUCCAUCCAAUUCUUCUUACCACAGGAAUUAAUUAACUAGCUUUCGGGAGCAACUAUAUUUCCAUCUAUUUCUAUAUACAUGACAGAAAAAGUCAUGAAACUUACAGGCAAGCCUAAGUUCUCAAGCAAUCUUCAACAAUUAGGCCUGCAGGAGAAUCACCUCAAGUAGUUCAUCUCCGGGAUGAUUAAAAUGGGGUUCUGAAAAUAACAACACAAGUGUUUGAUAAUGUACUGCAUAGUAAUUUUGCAAAAUAAUUUUUUAUAAAAAAAUAUAUCAAAAUAUAUUUUUUAAAUUUUAAUACUAAAACAUUAAAAUUAUCAAAAAAAAUAUUUUAACAAAAAUGGUUAAUGAAGGUAGUGAGUUCAACUUUUACAACAUGGGCUCACAUAAACUAAAUUCGGUUGGGUUUAAUUAGAAGCCCAAACAGAUACCAUUUUGUAACGUUAUUUGCGUUGUCAUAAGAUAUAAUAACUUGGAAUUCACUUGGUUUAAGAUUCCAGCCUACAUUAAUCCACGAGUUAAUUCAAAUUAUAUUUUUUAAAAAAAACUUUAAAAUCACAUCAAUUUAGAGGAUAUUUUUUUAAAAUAAAAUAACAUUAUUAUAAAAAAAAUAUGAUUUUAAAAUAAAACUAACUCGAGUCAGAUUUUAAAUUAGUAGAAAACGCUAAGUUAACUUGUUUUAAAUAAACACUUGAUCCUAAUUGUCUUUGAAAUUAUUUAUUGACAUCAAAUAAAAAAAACUGCAACAAAAUUAACGAUCAACUUAAAAAAAAGAAGCAUUAAUUUCUCGGCUUUGAUUUUAAUAAUUUUCUUGAAAUGGUUCUGUGAUAGAUAAAUAAUUAAGAAUUCGUCUACAUUAAUCCUGAUUAUUGAGCAUGUUUUCUCCUAAAAACAAUUGUGAAAAGUUAAACAAAUUGGUGGCUAAAGAUGCUUUAAAAAAAAUUAUAAAUGUGGUUUAUCUAAUAAUAAAUCAUACUCUUUUGAUCAAUGCCAUGUUCAAUUUACUCGACUAUGUUUGUGUGUAGUAUUGUGGUGAAUAAUAUUUUUUAAAAGUAUUUCUUGAAACUACUUCAAAAUAUUUUUAUUUUUAUUUUUAAAAUUAGCAUAUUAAAUUAUCAAAAAAUACUUAAAAAUAUCAAUUCAAUGUUUUUUUAAAACAAAUACACUUUUUAAAAACACCUAAAAAUAAAAAUUACCGUAUUUCUAAACGAAUUCUAAGUGAUGUUUGUUAUAAUAUACGCAGUGUUGUAUAUCAAUAACUCUAACUUAUUUUUUAGCUUUUUUUCUCCAAUAAUUCAACUCAAAUUAAUUAGAUUAUGUUUGAUUAAUGUUUUAAGAUAAAAAUAACGGGACACAUUUUAUUGAAAGUAUAAAGAUAAAAAUAUAUAAAAAAGUUGUUUUUAAACUAAUUUUAGAGUAAAUUUUUAUCAUUUAAAAAUUAAAAAAAAUACAAGAAAUAUAUCUCUCAUAUCCUCCUUGUUAUCUCCAUCUUUUCUACGUGUCAUAGUAAUGAAAUGCAACCAAAAUUAUUUAAUAUAUUUUAGCUAGGACAACCCAGUUAUACUUAACACAUCAAGCCGACAACAGGGAAUAAGACUACGUUAAGGUUAACUGCAGUUCCUAUUCAUAAAAUGACGACCACUCAAAUUUAACUCUUAAUUAAACCCUCCUGGACAAAAAAAAAAAGUCAUGCCACGAGCAGAAGUUGAGAUAGAUGGUGGUAGGGACAACAUUUGAUUAACUGAACAUUUACCCUUUUUUAAUGUGAAUACUAUAUUGUUUAAUCUAAUGUAUGCUAGAUAGGUCCAAAUUAACAUAUGACGAAUUACUCAGCCUCCUCCACAAGAUGUUAAGAUUCUAAAUUUCUAAGAUCUUUACAUGGGUCCCCAGAGUCAGUGAUCUCUAGACAAGUCUUGAGUCGUGAAUUCCAAAAUCAUAGUUUUUCCUUAGUCACAUGAGGCUGCGCACGUGCGUUAUAUCGAUCCAUUUCUCUUCUAGUUACAAUGAACAUAAACAUCCCGAGCUCAGAGCUCACAAAAAACCUAUGAGAUUACGGGUCAUCCAAGCACCUUUAAAGAAUCUUCUAUUGACCUUUAGGGUUUUGUUUCUUCCGAUUUCCAACCUCCAUUGCACACCACCAACCAACCCUAGUACUUAAUUAAUUUGUUCUCCUGCCUUGUCUCUCUGAUCUAAUCUUAUCACCUUCGAGGAAAUUACCUCCAUAACAUGCAUAUGAGAUAAUUGCGGGCCAUCUAACAAGGCAAGAUUUCUUUGCAUUUAAUUAAUUACACACCUUGCUUUCCCUCGGUGCUCUUCCUCUUGCGCCAUCAAUCUAUAUCAUUUUCUUCCCCUUCCUUUUCCUUGUUUUCCAAGACAAAUCACCUUCCAGGAAACCACCCUUUCGUGCCCAAAUCUUCUACUUCCGUACCUUAUAUAAACCUUGCCAGGAUGUUUGAUUUCACAAAACAAUCUUAGCUAACACACACACAAACCCUUUUCUAGGCUAUGGAUGUACUUGGAGUUAACAUGAAGAGUGGCAAGAGAUCACACACGAAGAGAAGUAAAAAAGCCAUCAAGGUCGUGUAUAUAUCUAGCCCUAUGAAAGUCAAGACUAGUGCCUCGGAGUUCAGAGCUCUUGUGCAAGAACUCACCGGCAAAGACUCCGAUGCUGCACGAUUUAUGGACAUUAAUGGUGCUGAUGAGAUUUCUCACCAAAGGGCUGAAUAUGGUCAUCGUGUAUCGGCAGUUCCUUCGACAAAUUCGUCUCAAUCACCAUCAACAACAAGCUCGGAGUCUUUUCUCGAGUCAUUUGACGGAGAACUUUUCCCAUCUAUGGAAGAGAGUACUUUCAUGGGCAUGCUUCAAUCGAGCCUUUUUCAUGAAUCUUUUCAGUUAGAUGUGCUUAAUUAAUUAGUUCAUGGCUGGUUGAGCUUAACUGAUUAACCUUUUUGUAUGAGUUCUUUCUUUGAGUGCUAGCUCUUGUAUCAUCAUAUACUUUAUCUUAUGUAAAUUCUCCAUUAAUUAUAAUUUGAGACUAGCUAGUUCCAUAUAUAUUCAUUACAGUUUAUGAAUUCAGACAUGAUGCAAACUACCUAUAUAAGUAGAGUACUACUCAAAGUUCAUUUAUGGGCUGCAAGAAAAGAAAAAAAAAGAGAAAAAAUUAUAUAUCCCAGAUCAAUGAUAUACUUGGAUUGGAGAUGAAAUGUUAACAUUGCGUAAGCGUUUUUAACUGUUAUGAUGGCUAUGAAGGUCAUGGCUAGUGGAUGAUAUAUUGUUCAAUUAUUUAAUUUUGUUUAACCUAGCUUGCUAGCUGAAGAUUUUAGAGAUUAGUAUGUGUUUUGUUUUGUGUUAGUUUCUGUAAUUGGGAUUGUUUUUUUAAUUAUUAUUAAACUAGACGUGCCAGUUAUCGGAAAACCAACUGAAUUAAGGAAUCCGGGAUGGCUUUUCUAGGGCUCCACCCAAUUGAUCUUUUAAAUUUAUUUUUAUUUUUUAAUAAAUAGUGAGGUAUUCAUGGAUGCGUUGCCUCCAUGGUUUAGGGCCGGCCACGAUAGGUUACAUUACGUUCAAGUACAAAAGGAUUUAUUUUAUUUUUUUAGCUGGUGUCCCACACCUUAUAGACAGUGAGAAAUGAUAAUUUUAUAAACAAUCCCAUGUGAAACCAAAAUUUGUUCAUAUUUUAAGUCUCGUCCUUUGCAAUUUGUUGGUUAAUUGAUCUAUUUAAAAAAAAAAAUACAGUUGUAUUUUAAUAAAGUAUUCUUGUAGCCUCAUACUUAAGUUUUUAGUUCAAAUAAUUAUUUGAUCAGAGCUUUAAUAAUAAAAUAAUUACAAGUUCGAGUCUUAUCAUCUUUGAUAUAAAUUAAGUAAAAAUUAAUAUAUAUCCGUUUAAGUUUCAAGUUUAAAUUUUUUUUAAUUGAAUCACUUUAAAAGAUCUUCAUGCAAAAACAAUUCACUAAAAAAAAUAUAAGCAUCCUCCAUAAUAUAAUAUAAUAUUUAUAAUUCAAGAUAUACGUACAAUAUACUAAGAAAAAAAAAAUCAAGACUUACAAUAUCACUCGUGUGAGAAUAAAUGUAUAAUCCAAUAUGUUGUGAAUGUUGGCAUACUUUGUGAAGUCACUUUUAUAAUGUAAGAAAUUAAAAAUUGAUACAUGGAAACAUGAUACUUAUCAUUAAAUAAAAAAAAUUAUCAUAAAUUCAAAAUCAACUCUCCUCAUAAACACAUAAUCAAGGAGCGAAAGCAAGAAAAAAAAAAGAUGAUAACUUAUUUAUUUAAAAAAAGGAUAAUGGUUUUUGACUAGAGUGGCUUGGAUUGGAAGAAAUUGGAAGAAAGCGUUGUCUUGGUCCUGGUUUCCCACACGUUGCCUCUAGAAAAUAGACAUGACAGAGGUUUCUGUCCAUAGGAACUACCUUAAAUUUAUUUUAUCUAAAUAUUAUUUUUUAUUUUAUUGUUAUGCUGAUCGAUCGGUGCAUAAUCCUGAUAAGGUCUCAGGUAAUAUAUUGACGUGGGUCCAUAAACAAUGCCCUUGCAUCGUGAGCUCACAUCUUGGAACUAUACCUUAUAUUAAAAAUACAUAAAUUUAUAAUAUAAAACAUUGGUAUCGCUAUUUUCUUGUCUGCGUGGGAGAAAUAUGUUCUCAGUGUUGCUCACAAUUUUACCUCGAUCUGAACAUGGUUUCUUGAAAAGAAGUUUGAAAACACACACCGAAAGGUGAUGUCGAUAUUUGUUCCUACGUACUUUCAGAGAUGAUUGAAAGUCGUAGCAAACAACUUGAAGAUGUGUGUACCCUUCGCGCCAUUAAGUUUUACCAAGGAAGAUUCAAAGCACAGAAUUCAAUGAUAGAUGGAGAGAUACAAGGGAUAGGAACAUGUUUAUUUUUAUUUUUAUUCAUGGUUAAUUUUUAACUAAUAUUUUAUAUAUACUUCUGGAAAAAGGAAAUGUAAGAUAAAAAUAGAGAUGUAACUUUUAGAGAUAAGUAUCAAAAAUAUUAUUGUAAUGUCUUCUAAAAAUUUAAGUUUCUUUUGUUGAAUUGGUUUUUAAUACGGUAUCUAAAUUUUAAUGACCAAACGGUCAUGGGUUCGGACCUGAUAAUUCUUUUUCUAGUUUUAUUUCAUAAGAAAUAAACAAAAGAUAAUAUAUAUUCAUACAAGUUUAAGUUUAAAGGGCCUUCAUUUGAGAAUAUAUGAUAAAACAUUUAAUCAAAACGCAGGUAAUGAAAAGCAAGGAAUUCCUGCUUUUCACGCAUUAUGCAUGCUAAUUGCACUGUUCACACUGAACAGUGCAAUUAGCAUGAACAGUAUACAUUAAUACACUGUUCAUGUGAACAGUGCAAGAGAAUUGCACUCUUCACUUAAAAAACAAUGAAUAGUGCAAUUCACUUGUACUGUUCACGUGAACAGUUUUUUUCCAGUGUGUUAAUUUUAUUAACAGUUUUUUUUUUAAAAAAAACUAGUUUAAAGUGAAUUAAAUUCACUCGCACUGUGAUGUGAACAAUAUUUUUUUCCUGAAAAACUAGUAUAGAGUGAAUUAAAUUCACUCGCACUGUGAUGUGAACAAUAUUUUUUUUCCCGAAAAACUAAUAUAUAGUGAAUUAAAUUCACUCGCAUUGUGAUGUUAUCAAUAUGAUGAAUUUUGUAUGUAAUGAAAUUAUAAAUAGUUUAAUGGAAUAAUAAAAAAUAUUUUAUAUAAAGUAUUAUUUAUUUCAUGAUGUAAUAAGAGUAAUUAAUUCUACAAUAUUUAAAUUUAAAACCAUCAAUAUUAAUAUAUAUAUUUUUAAAUUAUUUUAUAACUUCAAUUUCAAAAGCAUUCUUAACCAAACACAUUAAACUACUUUUUCUUCAACCUCAAUUUUAACUACAGUUUUAACCAAACACCUAUUUUUUCAAACCAACCUCAACUAAAAGUACUUUUUAUAAAACAAUUUUUUUCAAACUACAACCACAACAACUACCGUAAUACCAAACACACUCAUGUACCCUUCACGCAAUUAAGUUUUACCAAGCAAGAUUCAAAGCACAGAAUUCAAUGAUAGAUGGAGAGAUACAAGGGAUGGAAACAUGUUUAUUUUUAUUUUUUUUCAUGGUUAAUUUUUAACUAAUUUUUUAUAUAUACUUCUAAAAAAAAGGAAAUAUAAGAUAAAAAUAGAGAUGUAACUUUUAGAGAUAAGUAUAGAAAAUAUUAUUGUAAUGUCUUCUAAUAAUUUAAGUUUCUUUCGUUGAAUUAGUUUUUUAUACGGUAUCUGAAUUUUGAUGACCAAAUGGUUAUGAGUUCAAAUCUGAUAAUUCUUGUUCUAGUUUUAUUUGAUAAAAAUUAAGCAAAAUAUAAUAUAUAUUCAUGCAAAUUUAAGUUCAAAGGGUUUUCAUUUGAGAAAAUAUGUUAAAAAACUAUAUAAAUUAUAUCUUAAGAACUUACCUAACCGGUUUUUUUCUCUUGCAAAUAUCUUUUUCAAAAUUUCAUAAUUUCAAUAUAUUUUUAUAUUCAAAUAUGGAAGAUUGAUUUUAAUUAACUUAAUUCUCAUCAUUGAACAUGAAAAAUAAAAAACUAAUAGUCAUAAAAAAAAAUAACAAAUGUAAACAAGAAAAAAAAAUAGAGGAGAGAAAACGUCAAUUAAACGAAUACGGCUAAAUUAUCAAACAAGAUUAUCAUCUAACGGAAGCUUGGUCGUAAAAAACUAAUUUAGAUAUUUUUAUUGUUAGAUUUGAGAGAAUUUAAAGUUGAAAAUUGAAAAGUUUAAAAUAUGCAUACCACGUGGCAUCUUGUGUGUUCCGGGUACAGAGAACGUGGCAUUACGAGAACCACGUGAUCAGACAAGGAUGCUGUAAGCUGUUGACCUUGUCACCGGUCUGACGUCAUAAUACCACGUAGCCGUCGUUAUCAUCGAGGUGGAUAAGACCACCUCUUUUCUAGAAGAUUUUGGAUGAUACCGUACAGAUACAGCUCGCCUUGACCUUCGAGAAAAUCUUGACCUUCAAUAUGGGUGGCCCAUUCACAUUCAAGUUUUUAAAUUAACUUCAACUCUUCCUUCAAGCCUCGGUAUUAAUUAAUAAUCUUUGAAAUCACUUUAAUGUUUAUAAUUUUUAAAGAAAUCCCGGAAAAGAAGAAGAAUAUUUGAAUCACUCCACAAGUGUUUUCUAGAACCUUGUAGAUGUAUGCUACAACCACCUUGUCGCUUGAAUAUAUAUAUAUAUAUAUAUAGAGAGAGAGAGAGAGAGAGAGAGAGAGAGAGAGAGAGAGAGAGACGAAAAUGUAGUUUUUAAAUUCAAUCUGAUUUGAUAAGUUAAUUUAUAAAAUUCAAGAUUUAAGACUUGAUUUAUGCUUAAAAUUUUCAAUAAGAUUGUCAAAAAUAUUAAUCUAAUAAAAAUUGAUUAAUUUAACUACUCUUUUAAUGUUUGAAUCUAAUUAAACUUGGUUGAAUUAACACAAAAAUAAGAGAAAAAUAUGGAUUAUUGUUAUUUUAAUAAAAAAUAAUUGAUUUCAUAAUUUAUAAGCUAAUCUAAUAACUUAAAUUCUUUUAUAUAUAAAUUUUGAAUAGGUUAACAAAUAUAAUCAUUAAAAACAAAAUAUAACUAUAUUAAAUGCAAUUGCAAAUAAUUUCAACCGGUAAGGUGUUAAAUAUAUGCGCGUUAAGUUUUAGAUCCCACAAAUAUAAGAUAAGAGAAGUGCAUUAUUAAAUCCAUCAAUCUCCCAGUUAAUAAAGAUUUAGAUGAAAAUAAAUAAGAUGUAAUAAGAUUUUAUUAAAAGUACAUUUCUUGUUUGUUAUUAUGGUUGUAAUUUUUUUAAAAAUGUCUUUUCAUUUGAAAAUAUAUUAAAAUAAUUUUUAUAUAUUUUAAAAAUUUAUUUUUAAUGUAAAUAUGUCAAAACUGUAUGAAAACAUAAAAAAAACUGAAAAGAUAUUCCACUCCGAAAGAAGGUUCAUAUUUAAUAUUAUUCUAGUUAAAGUAUCACAACUAGAAAAUAACGUUAUUCAUCCUACUAUUAAUUUUAAUUUUUUUAUUACCGACAAAGAACAUUGUAUGGGACACGUGUCAUUUUCAAUAUCUUAGUAAACCAGAUGUGAUCUCAUGGCAAUCUUAAAGUAUUCUAACUCAUAAUUAUUACAUUCGGACCAUUUUAUAUUGAUUUGACACUUGAUUGAUUCUUUGGUAAAUUCGGUAUGACUUUUUAACAUUUUUUCUCCUUUAAAAAUAUAUUAUUUUAAUUUUUUUUUAAAAAUUAAAAUAAUAUAAUUUUAAUCGAAACAAGUUAGUGUAACCCGGGCUAAAGUUGAGUUUAAAUUUUUUUUUGAAAAGCAAAAUAAAGGUCUAGCUUAAAUUCUAAAUCAUAAAGCCUGGCCCACCUAAAGAUGUAUGAGUUUUCGGUAACUAGGUGUUCCUAUGGGCCAGUUUUCGAUUAAUACUCAUGGCUGGGCCCGAUAGUUAAUCAUAGUCCAGGAACCUUUUUUAGGCCUUUUGUGAGAGCCUUAUAGUCCGUUUGGUUUUACUUUUAAAACUACUUUUAUUUUUAUUAUUUUUUAAAAUUAAUUUUUUUUAAUGUUAAAAAUAAUUUUUAAAAAAUAAGAAAAUAAUACUUUUAUAUAAUUUCAAACAAAAAAAAUUAUUUAAAAAAUAAUGACUGACACAAUAUACUAAACAAGUUCUUAAUUCUCAUGCCAUCUAUGAUCGAAUAGGAAAAGAGUAUGGAUUAUCUCGUUGGAAUUAUUAUCUUCGAAUCAACUAUUGUUAUUGACUCGUCGAGUCGCCAUGUUUAGGACCACAAGCUCGGUGCUCUCGCUGUAGCUCUCGAAAGAGAAGAGCAUGGAGCCAGUCCAACAGCUUACUAUUCUGCGAUGCAUGGUGGCCGUGUGGACGAGCCCGCCUGCUCUCUCCUGUCACAGCUCACCAUUUACCAGACAAUCACUCCACGAGCCCAGAUCUUUAGAAUGAUUUUGAGGAUCCUGGAAUUUGUUUCUGAAUGAUUAGGCUGAUACUAAAGCAGCCAUUGAAUGUUUGGUAGAAAGGCAUGGGGGAAUGAUGAGAAGGGGUUCAUUCCUCAACAGGGAAAAGUUCGGCGACUUGAUAAGACGUUGAUGGUAAGCGUAAGUGGAGGACUCUGCUUGCAAACAAGACACGUGUUCCAUGGAAGGAAGAGCUUAUCUUCAUGCCUAAAAAGGGAGAAUUUGUCCCUCCUGUAAUGAUCGGAUUUAGCCAUGAUUCGGCUCUUGAAUUGGGUUAUUGCUCUUACGACUUAAAAGUUGCUGGCUGCCCGUAGUCUUUUUAGGAACGGGCUAGGGUGGUUGUGGGCUGAGAUUUUCGAGUCUCUGCCGCGGUUUUGAAAUAUUUUUUAUCUGAGGAUUUUAAACCUGGUCUCUUUAUAGGUCUGAUAAUAAAUUAAAAAUCCCAACUCUAAUUGAUGUUGAUUAAUUCAAAAUAGUAUCGUUUUAAGAUUUUUUAAUAGUUAAAACAAUAAAAUUUUGAAAAACAAAAUUUUUAUACAGUUAAACUAGGUUUUGAUGGAGUCACUGUUUAAUCCACUGAACUCGACCCAUGCUUAGAUUUGGAUCACGAGCUAUCAAACUGAGGUAACAAGCCUAACCAGUUUUGAUAACACUUUCUAUAUUUAUUCUCAAUUUGAUUGAGUACUUGUUUCAUUGGUUUUUUUUUUUUUAAAAAAAGAAAUCAUUGUGAAUAUUACAAAAUGAAGGUACAUACUAGGAAUUUAAACUUAUAAAUAAAUUAAAUUUGUUCAUGAACAACAACAUCAUAUAAUAAAUUUUGUAAUUAAAACCAUAAAACAAAGUUUAAAAUGCAAAAGAGCAUGAGACCAGUGAACUCCUCAGUACUUGUAUUUAGUUUUAGUGAGAUGGAGUAAAAUUUGAUCAUUUUUGACUGGAAUAAAAUUGCUAUUCCUAAAUAUUUACCUUUUUAUUUAACCGAGCAAUAAUUCAAUUUUUUUUUUAUCGAAUUUAGCAAUCACUGAUUUCCAUCACUGCUUUUUUUUUUUCCAACAAAAUCUUAUUUGGCCAAGACAGAAAAGUACAAAUUAUUGCAAAAUUAUAUGAAAUUUACACGUGGCAGGAUUAGAGUGAUUAACUAGCACUGACCUUGUCUUAACAUGCAGAUGGGAUCCAAAGCUUCUGUCACUUGCCAGUAAGCAAGAUUGGCUGUAUUGUUACUGUGUCAGAAAAUACCGACACAGUAAACAGCAAAUAAGAUUAUUAAAUAAAAAACGCAAAAAAAGGGAGGAAAAAUCGGGAAAUUAUUACCCAAAAUAUAAUUAAAAGCUAAAACAGCACAUGAUGUAAAAGUUCAGCAAAAUAACAUAAUUUUAGAAUAUCACGGUUUAAAAAUAUAGUUUUUAAAUAAUAUUAUAGUUUAAAAAUACAAUACUUAAUUGUGUUUCAUAACCACAACAACUGAUAUCGUGAUUUAUAAUUACGAUAUUGAUAAAAUAUCUUAUUUUUAAAUCGUUACAUUAUAAAAGAGACCAUUUUAAAAAAUAAUUGGACAUUUAAUAAGAUUUUGGAUCAUUUUUAUGUUUUAAGUCUGAAAAAAUUUAUAAAAUUAUAGUUUUUGUUAAUUUGAAUUUUUAUUUACUUUAUAAUUUUAAAGAGUUAAAAUAUUUAUAAUUUUAUCAAAAUUUGGAUAGAGUUUCCUUUAUAAAAGAAUUAUACCUAAAAUUUUGUUUCGCUUAAAAGAACUUGUAAAAAAUUAUAAUAACCACAAUUAACAAAUUCUAACUAAGUAAACAUAUUCUUAUAUUUCAUAAUCAUAAGUAGCUUUAAAAAUGCAAAAUAAAAAUAAAAAUACAUGCAUACAAAAUGAAUAUAAAAUAAUUCCAUAAUAUAAUAUUUAAAUAAUUUCAAAAUAUAUAAAUAUAAAUUAUCUAUUUAACUAUAUCUAUGUUUUAUCAAAAAUUUAGACUUAUCAGUAGCAUCACUAAAUCCAUUUAAUUAAUGUUAGGUUUCAAAAAAGUGUCAUAUAAUUGUCACAUUUUAGAAAUGAAGAAACUAUACUAUUACAUCAAAUUUUUCCCAACAGUGUUGUUUCUCUGAAAUUUUUAGUUUAAUGUGAUAUAUUUGUUUUUUUUUAAACAAUUGAUGUCAAAGCACUAAAACAUUAUUAUAGUGAUUAAAUAAAUCAUUAGUCCUUGGAAAGUGGAAGGUUUCUCACAGAAGAAGACGUCUGGAGACUGGAACGAUCCAUUCAUCACUCUUUUCUUACCUCCAACAAUCGAAUACAUACAAUUUUGCAAAGUUGAAAGCUUUAAAUCAUCAACAACAACAGAAUCCCAGGUGGGUUUGGUUUGUUUUGAACUUUCUUGUGAUUUUGACUAGAAAACAAUCAAUUUAUGAAGUGAAGGUUUGCUGCCUGUUUGCAAAGUGGGUGGAAUUUUGACCUUCUUAAGCUUUUUUCAUACUUUGUUGUGAUGUUGACUAGAAAACAAUCAUUUAUGAAGUGAAAGUUUGCUGCUUUAUAGUAAAGGAAGUGAGUUUGUUUUGGUUUUUUUAGCUUGAAUUGGUUUUUUUUUGUUGUUGAUUUGGGCUAUCUGGGUAUUGCUAGUUUGGUGUGAAAUCUGUGCUUGAUGCGGUCAAGGUCUCCUUUAUAUUUGAAGGCGAUGAAUUUGGGAGUGUUUCAGCUUCAUUUCGGUGAAAGUUUGUAACUUCACAUCUUAGGGUAGAAUUUUGAUCUCUACAAGUUGCUCAUUAUCAAGGGUUUUAUGUCCCUUGUCCAUCAUUUUUUGGCUUCCGAGUAUUGUUGAAUUGGUAGAGCAUUUUAUUGAUAUUGGACUCUGGGUUUUGUAGUGUCAUUCUCCAUCUUUGCUGCAUUAUUGAGUUGUUGCAAAUUGUGUACUGCUUGCUGGAUGGAUGAAUUUGAUUUUAAGUAGCAUCUGUAUCUAGGGAUUUUACCAUCCUAUUGGGUUGAUCUUGAAGUCUGUUAUUGCUACAGAGUGGCCAAGCUUAAGUAGAUACUGAAUUCAAUUUUGCGUUGAAAGUUAUGCUGUUAGGGUUUUGAAGUGAUACUCUUUGAUUUCUCUUCUGGAUGUCAUGUGAGAUGAUGGAUAAGGUUGGAUGGUAAGAUUUGCAAGCGUGUGACCCAUAUGUGUCCAUUUGAUGAGUUAUCUGAUUUGAUUUCUUCGAGUUUGUUUUGCUUUUCCUCUCCCUUUUUCUUUUGCUUGGUCUUGUUGAAUCUGAUGCAUAGAAUUAUUGCUUCGUCUCAGACUUAGCUAGUUCAAUUUGUGCACCAACUUUGGCUGAUUUGGGUAAGAACAUCCAUGAGCACCUACUUUUUCUUUUUUUCUUGACUGUAUUGCUAGCCAGAUGCUGAUUGAUUCUAAAAUCUAUCAACACUAGCCAGAAAAUCAUCAAGAUUCUGCUAUCUGGUUAUUUCCUGGUACUUUGCAUACCUCAGAAUUUAAUUGGAAAUUUAGAAACAUCUUCUGUUAUUGUGGAUGAUGGACAAUGUGGAGUUUGCUUGGUUUAGUUGAAUAGAUUUUCAAGGUAGGUUUUGGGAAAACUUUUCUGUCCUAUGUAUAUGAACUAAUAUUGCUAGGUCGCAUUCUGUUAAAGGAAAUUGUGGCUUUUUAUAUAUUUGUUUAUUACUAUAUUUUUAGUUUUCUUUAUCUUUCCCCCCCUUUCUCUUCAAUUGUUUUUACUGAAGGAAGUUGGUGAUACUUCUGGCCUUUUGUUCUAGGCAGUGUUUUGGGGUGCUGAUUUGUUUGAAGGGGACUAAGGAGGUUAAGAUGGCGAUGAUGCAUGGGGAGUAGAACUGGUGCAGAAGAGAAGAUGAGAAGAAGGCCGUAGUGAUGCCGAGCUUUGAUCCUCAGUUACCAAUUUCAAACGCAAUGUACAGUUCCUCUUCUAUUACUUUUUAUAUACAUGUUUUCAAUUGAACAUUUCAUUCAUUAUUUCAUCCUUCAAGUUGGAUUUCUUUGUGCCUGUUCCGCUUACUUUUAUUUUUGUCUAUAUAUACACGCGCACACACAUGUAUAACCAAUAGUAGGUUCAAGAACUUGAACGCAUUUCUGGGUGUCUUGUACUCACAUCAUAAAUAAUUUCUAGUGGGUCAAUAUCAGAGUAUAAACAUCGUCUCAAAAGUUGGUAGGCCAGAGUAUAAUAAUAACCAGGAAUUUCUUUGUUUGAUUGAUAGCUUCAAAGGUUGGCAUUGAAUGAUUUUGAAUGUGUUGUCUAGAUAUUGAGAGUGCGAUGUAAUUUGUUUGUUCUCAUAAAAGCUUUUCUGCAUUAGUUACAUAUGAAUGAUUUCCAUGCUUCAUCACUCUGUCAAGGUUAUAUAGCUUUUAUACCAUUCAAGCUCUGAUGAUGGGAACUAUUUUAAGUUAAAUUGCUUUAUUUGCUAAAUAUUCUUGCAAGUGUUCAGAGGAACUUGAUUGUGAGAGAGAGGUUAAGUACCUAGACUUAUUAAUCAAACAAACUAUACGGUCAGCACUGAGGGAGGCUUCCUGCACAGGGGUGAGCUCUUGAGCAACUUGAUUAGAUGAAGAUGUUGCUUCUCUCCUAAUACUUAAUAAAAGGCAGGCUAAGAGAGGCUCGUACUUACCUACACCCCACUCUCUAUCUCAGAGGUUUUUUUGCAUUUUUCCUUAGGUCUUGGGUUGAAAGUUGGAAAUUCUCCCAAGCAGUUCAAUUGCUGACUGUGUUUUUCCAUCUCCCUUUCUUCUUUCUCCUCUGUUGUUCCAGUAAUUGUAGUAUACUCUCUAUUGUUUCUAAAAGUUUAAUCUGGAAGGUCAUUGUGAAAUUUUUGGUCAUGAUGUAUGUGGAAUUUUUGGUCAAGAUGUAUCUACUUUUACUGGUUUUGAAGAGGAAAACACAACAUAAUGUAUGACUUAUUUGGACUGAUGGUGUCGCUCGAUACUUUUUGGUUGUAAAAUUACAACACUCAACAAAUUCUUGGUACUUAUUUGGUGACAAUUAUGGCUUCAGUUGUGUAGAGGGAAGCACAAUCCAUCCUCACUGUGCUACUUAUUUUGGGGUGUUCUUAGAGGACGAUGCUAUUGACCUGAGUCCAGGUAAGUUUUGAGCAAUCCAACUUGCAAGGGACUAAUUUAAAAAUGGCACAGCUUGUUGUGCUCUUUCAUCUAGUAGAUUCUAUAAUUAAAUUUUAUCUGCUGAUAUCUUUUUGGUGAUCUAAAAUUUUCACAAAAACUUAAUUCUUUUUUUAAUUGUGCAGAAACAAAUUCAUAGGAAUAUUGUUAUUCCGCAGAAAAAUAUAAUCUAAUGUUUUUGGAUAAGGGCAAAUUACAUCCACCCCCGAGAUAGUAAAUGCAUGGACCAUCCUCUGUUCUUAAAUUGAAUUGACUAGAGCAGUUGACGUUGACUUAUUGCUAAAUGAACUGCUAACCUUAAACUUUUAGGGACGGUCGAGGUAAGUUAUUUGUGUAAAAUCUUUGCUGGGGUUGCAAUAUAUUUCAGAAUCAAGAGCCAUAUCAAUCUAAUUGCAACAAUUCACAGAAUAGUCUACGUAGUAAUGCUUUGAAAAUCAUCAUAUGAAAAAUCAUGUUCAAUAGUUUUUUUGUGGAAAGAGAGAGUGGGAGAAAAAAUUCAGAUAAUACUGAUCACAGUGCAUAGAAAAUAAUUAAGGAUCUCCUACAUUGUCUACCAUGAUUGUUGGCAUUUGAUAAAUAAACAAAGAUGCAAUCAAAACGAAGAAACUGAAGAAAGAAAACUAUGUGAUUGAUGGAAAUGGAUAACUGUGCAUAUAUUAUUAGGACAUAAAAAAUAGAUAUUUCAAGAAUGUACAACCAGCUAGAAUUAAAAGUGUUAACAAGAUGUAGCAUACUUGUGAAAAUUUUUUUUUUGGUUUCACAGAUCAAAUUUAACAUCAAUUUUCAUGAAGUAGUGAAAUUAGAUUGAAUGGUUUUUGUCUUCCUAUGAAAAGUCCUUUAUGUAAUAUGUGCCAUUGCAGGUGCUGUGUUCAAUUCAGCAAAAGAAAGAACGCAAGCAAUCCCUUCUGACCCCCUCACUAGUGGUGCUUUGGACAAGGUGAGUUUCUUAGAUGGAUGAUAAUUUGCCCAUGUGGUUACUUCAACUAAUUUUUUCCUCUUCCCUGACUUGGCAGAAACAGUCAUCUUCUGUCCAAGUGGAGUCUCAGAGGUUACCAUUAGAAAAAGUUCAAAGGUUAAACCGGGUUUCUAUACCAAGUGUUGGUACAGAAAACUGGGGGGAGACUCAGAAGUUACUGUUAGAAAACAUUCAACAGUCAAACCAGGUCUCUAUACCAAGUGUUAAUACUGAGAACUGGGGGGAGACAAAUAUGGCUGAUGCUAGUCCGAGGACUGAUAUCUCAACAGAUGCAGACACAGAUGAUAAAAAUCAAAGGGUGCUGUUUUUUUCUUGCCUUGUACUCUCGUGACAUGAUGUUAAGCACUUAAUUCUGUAAAAUUAGAAAUUUGCUUAGGAGGUACACUGUUUCAAUAGUUUUAUUAUAUUUUUGUUUCUAAUAAGUGCCUGUAAUCAAGAAUUCUAGUUUACCAUUCUUGCCUUUUGGAUUUCAACGUGCAUCUCUUCUUUUGCUUGAUGAAGUAAGCAAUGACAUCAUUCAUUCUGCUCAUUAGAAAAUGUAUUGAUUGGACCAAAUCAAUUCCAUUCUAACACCUAAAAAUUGUAUGUAUGCAGUUUGAUGGAAGUCUAUCUACAGCUCUUGUGGCGUCUGAUUCCAGUGACAGAUCAAAGGAUAAAAUGGACCAGAAGGUGAAAAUGUUAUAUAUUAAUUGCACUCACAAUAUGCUACUCCAUCUAGUUUUACUUGAUGAUCGUUUGAUUACACUUUGCAGACUCUUCGUAGGCUUGCUCAAAAUAGAGAAGCUGCAAGAAAAAGCCGUUUGAGGAAGAAAGUACGUUUCAUCCUUUACCUGUACUUGUUUUUGUUUCUUAACAAACUUUUUUCAGCAUGUUCUUUACCUGUUAAUUUUCAAAUGGCAAUUGAAUGUUGUCACACAAAUUGGUAUUGAUCUUAAUUGUUAUGCUCUCAGACAUUGUUACUGAUUUUUAUUUCUAAUAGCUAAAUUUGCAUAGUCUAAUGUGGUUAAAAACUAAUCCCGUUUAAGGGCAACAUGGGCCAAGAUGUGUGCACAUGGGGGAUGUGACUUUGCUUCACUUCAUUAUGGUUUACUUCAUAGGAAAAACAUUUUAGUAGUAGAAAGGGAAAUGCUUGCAAAGGAGAAGAAUACACUUUCCUGUUGAACACAAAAAAAAACAAUUGAGAACCCCCUUUGCAAUGCUAGAAAAACUAUCCAAUCCCUGAUCAGAAAGAAGGGUAAUUGCUUGUCCCAAAAGAUUAUAUACUGAUUGGUGCCCCAGAUGAACCAACUCAUGGUACACAUUGAAGGUACAUUUGCCUUCCAUUUAGGUAGCCAAGGAAAAUGAGAAGAGGUCAGAUCUGUGUGCAAGGAGGAAGGAACAAUUAUGAGAAAAAUUUCCAGAUGUCGCUGAUGUCCAGCUCUCUUAUCUCUACUUGGAAGAAAAUUUGUAGAAUUCCCAAAGGAAAACAUCGUUUCUCAAUAUGAUAGAAGUUUUCUAUGGAGGCAACUUAAAGACAGAAAAAACUACAGAGGCAAUUAAAACCAGUAGAAAAGUGAGAACCUAUAGCCCCAGAUCUUCCCAAAAAUGAUAGAGGAUUCAUCCUCAAACUUAAAAGAGUUAAAAGAGAAAAGUGAGGAUGUGUCAGAAAUUAACUUCCCAAACGAGUUCAAGAAUCUUCUCCUACCUUUUACCUUGGUGUAAUCUUGUUCUAAUAUUACAUCAGUAAUUUUUUUUUCUUAAAAUAAUUGAUAAGACCAAGAAAAGAAGGUGCCAGAACAAUUAGUUCUAACUUUUACAUGUUAUAAGCACUUACAUGCCUUUUCUAGCAAUAAUUUGUUACAGCAGAUCCGGUAGUGCAUCCUUUGUGUGAACUUUUUAUGAUUCUACCUGUGUGAAAUUUCUUUACACACAAUCUUCUGGUUUAUCUAUUACACACUAAAUGCAUGCAGCCUAGUAAAAUCUCUUGUAAUUAUUUGAGUUUCAUCCUUUCAUGUGUCUCCCUAGGCAUAUGUCCAGCAGCUGGAGAGUAGCCGGUUGAAGCUAACCCAACUGGAACAGGAGCUUCAACGGGCACGGCAGCAGGUUAGGUUUGGCUAAUUCUGUGCCACAUUGUGUAAUGCUUUUAGUUUCUUCAUUAAGCAUCCCCAUUAUGAGGUCUCUCAUCUCACUGAAUUUUCUCUCAUACAGGGAAUUUUCGUAUCAAGCUCAGGAGACCAAUCUCAUUCAAUGAGUGGAAAUGGUAAUGCCUAUUUUCUUCACUAAGCAAGAUUCAUUGUUUGAAAAGUGUGCAUUUUUGGGAAUAAACUAGAUGUUUCAUGCCUGGUAAUUGUUGGAUGAGCUCCACAUAUUCUUGUCUGUUGAAUUGAACCAAUGAACAUGAUGUUAGCUCUAGAUUUAUACAUUGGAAUGACUUUGAAAUUUCUGUGGUUCUUUCAUUUCCAGGGUUUAAGUUCACAAACAUUCGCAUGCUAACACAUUAGCUGGUUAACUGUAUCUUUUUGCAGGGGCCAUGGCAUUUGAUGUAGAAUAUGCACGAUGGCUGGAGGACCAAAAUCGACAAAUUAAUGAGCUGAGAUCAGCUGUCAAUUCUCACACGGGUGAUACAGAACUUCGUAUUAUCAUUGAUGGUAUAAUGGCUCAUUAUGAUGAAGUUUUCAGGCUGAAGAGCAAUGCAGCCAAGGCUGAUGUUUUCCAUUUGCUGUCUGGCAUGUGGAAGACGCCUGCAGAGAGGUGUUUUUUGUGGCUUGGUGGCUUCCGUUCAUCUGAACUCCUCAAGGUAAGGUUAAUGUGCUUUCAAUGAUCUCCAUAUGCAGGGAUUUGUUCUAGGAGAGGUGGCAUUACUCAAGUAUUAAACGAGUAUUGUAAUCUUGCAUGGAAAAAAGAAUUGCAAAAACUGUAUGUUUUUGGUUCUUCUCCAUUUAAUUUAUUAAUAAAGAAUUGAUGCUACUAAUGCUCUACCUAGCAGGGCGAGGGUGUCAAACUGCAAAUUUGUAGAAAUAACCAAUUAAUUAUGAAUUACUUGGGUGUGGGUUUUGGAUUGUUAGAGAAUCUCAUACUGUACUGUUAUAACCAUAUGCUGGUAGUUAAAAGGUCUUUGGUUCACUGGAUGCUACUUGACUGCAUAACAAAUAUUCUGUUAGAGAAAUAUAAUAUAAAAGCAUUCCUGGUGCAUCACUUAACAUAUUAAGCUUCGAGGUUGAGUGGUUCUUUGACUUAUUCCCUAUCAUUAGGGUUCUCAUAUAGGAUCCAUCCAGUACCCAUUUCACUUGUCAAUCUUUGAUCUGAAGCCCCGAGUGGUAUGAUUCACAGUUUCUUCUUGACAUCAAAUCUAUUCAGAAGUUCAAAGGUGAACUUCGAGUAAUUAUUAUUUAUAAGCUGGCAUAGGAAUCCCUUAGUCCUCUGCUCCGAAACUAAGGUUUUUACUUCUCAGACAUUUUAGAAUAUUAUCAUCAAGUUUUGGUAUCCCAUUGCCUAUCUUCCCAGCAAGUUGGUAAGGUUGGUUCUUUCAUUUGCACCCCUUGCGUUUCCCUAAAUUGAUUUUCUUGUAGCCUUUCUUGGGCUAGGCUGUUCUAAAUGUUUUUGUUUGUAUGGUAAUUUCUUUUUGGUGUAAAAGAGUUGUUUCUCCAGCAACACUACAUUAUUCGGACAUGCACAUGGACAUGUUUAUUUGUGUGAACAUACAGAUUUAUCUGUAUAGCAUGAAAUUAAUCUUAGAAGACAAGGUUGGGAUUGAGGGCCGCAGAGAGGGCAGCAUCACCUCACCCCGGAUGUGUGGUUGGAAGAAGAAAUUUUAUAGCCACCUGCUUCCUUUUGUGUGCUUGUAUGCCUGCAAAUACGGGCAAAAUUGUGAGUUUAUAUUUUGUUGGAAUACGAUUUGUAUGCACUGGUUUAUGCAUUUUAGAAGGGAAAGCUCAUGACCUUUUCCUGAUAGCCCCAAUAAAUGGUACAUACAACGUGUUUGUUAGUCUCCUUUCUCUUGUUAUUUUGAUGGAUUGAUUUGAUUUUCACAUUUCAUUUCUUAGAGUGCCCUUGGCUCGUGGUUGAACAAACUACUCCUAUAUCUAAUUUUUUGUUGGAGAACAUGAUAAAAUUUAAUGAUCAUGGUUGCAGCUUCUUGUGAAUCAAUUGGAGCCUUUAACAGACCAGCAGUUGGUGGGCAUUGGCAACUUGCAGCAGUCCUCCCAACAGGCAGAAGAUGCAUUAUCUCAAGGGAUGGAGGCAUUGCAGCAGUCCCUGGCUGAGACAUUGUCCAGCGGAUCUCUUGGCUCCUCAGGUUCCUCUGGAAACGUGGCAAAUUACAUGGGUCAGAUGGCCAUGGCCAUGGGAAAACUAGGCACCCUCGAGGGAUUUAUUCGCCAGGUAUGCUUCUAAUUGUUUUGUAUGUUGCCUAAAGCAUGGAGAUCCCAUAGAACCUUGAAAUUUGUAAUACUGAUCAAGAGUUCCUAAACCAGAUACAGUUUUGAGUUUUUCUUGCCUCCAUAUUCGUACUAUCAUCUCUCAAAAGGACUUUUCUUUUAAUGUAUAUUACAAAACCAGGCUGACAAUUUGAGGCAGCAAACAUUACAGCAAAUGCAACGAAUAUUAACCACCCGUCAGUCUGCUCGUGCUCUCCUCGCAAUACACGAUUACUUCUCCCGUUUACGAGCUCUUAGUUCCCUCUGGCUUGCGCGACCGAGAGAGUGAAUCUGCUUUGCAUCUGAACUCUAGUUCUGCACAAAAAUCACAAAGGCUCAUUCCACAUCCAGCAGUGCUUCUUGUUUCUAGUGCUCAAAAUAGCUUUUCUUUUCUGCAUUCCUCUUGUUGUAGUCUCAGAUGUAUCAUGGUGCUGUUCUUUCUUUCAUACUAAUCAUCUUAGAGCAUAGAAUUGGAGUCCUUCAAGUACAGUAUGCAUCGAUGUUAAUUAUUUGUAGCCUGAUGAUCGUCUUCCUGUUUUCAUUUUAUCCACAGUUGUAAUGGUAAGUUUAGAAUAUGCUGUCCUUGUACUUGGCAAUCUCGAAAUGAUUUUGAAAGUUGAGAAACUUUCAUUUUGAGUUGAUUUAUUCAUCUUGGUCAACCUAUUAUCUUUUGUUGAAGACUCAUAUUUUAAAAUGAAAAGGUUGAAAAUAAAAAUUAAAAAAGCAUAUGCUAAUGAAAAUGUUAAGACAACAUUUGUGAAGAGUAAAACCAAGCAUGGAAGGAUAAAAUCAAAGGUCUUUAUGCGUGUUUGUUUGCUAGGUUUGCCGUGUGGUUUUUAUGUGUGUUAGUUUUCGCGGCGCACCUCGCAAACAAACAGUUUUUAAAAUCAUCAUGGUUGUGUGAUAAAUUUUUAAUUUAUUGACUGUUUGGUAGUGCGUUUUAAAAAAAUAUUUGUCUUGAAAAAAUAUUAAUUUGAUAUUGUUUUAGUGUUUUUCAAUGAUUUUGAAGUGUUGAUGUUAAAAAUUAAAAAAAAUUAUUUUAAUGUAUUUUAAAGAGAAAAGAUUUUUAAAAAAUAUCUUAUACUACAAUACUAUCCUGGCUAAUAUGUCAUUCUCUGUGUAUAUAUAUAUAAAUUAGAAGUGAUAAAUGUAUAUAUAAAAAAAUUACAGUGUCUUUGUAAUAAGUAAAUGCUUUUUAUUUUUCUUCUUCUAAAACUAUCAGAAUUAUUUGUAAUGAGAUAUUAGCCCAUAAAUUAAUGUGCUAUUUUUCUAUUACAAAAAGAAAAAGAAAAAGAUGACAAUCAUCAUACAUAUUCUACUUUAAAUAAACUACAUUGUUAUUUAUUUUUUUUAUAAUAAAAAUAUUUAUUCUAUUUUUAUUAAAGUUUGUCUAAACUAGUUUAUCUAUAUUUAUAAAAAAACUCCCUAAACCUAUAAUAGUGAUUCAGAUCCUAAAUUUAAUAAUAAGAUCUAAUAAAGCAUUGGACCGAGAUAAUGGUGAAUGAUUAAUUAAACAUGGAGCUCGUUUCUUGAAUUAUGUUCAAAAUAGACUCGGAAGCCGCCACUCAUAUUUAAAGAGUUUUGGUGUGGUGUGGUCACAUUAUCCCAGCACAAGUCUGUUCAUGAUAUUAGAGUGAAACGUCAUGAUAUUAGGGUGAAACGUAUAACACUACCUAACAAAAUAAUAUUUACAAGAAAGUAUUUAUAUAUUUUUUCUUGAAAUAGCAAAGUCUCAACUUUAUAAGAAUAGAACCCUUAUAAAUAUUUUACAAUAAUCGGGUUAAUUCUUGGAACAACGCUUUUUAUUUACAAGAAGUUUUUGCAUUCGAUGCUUUCCUAGCAAAUGGCCUCUUUAUUAUCUUAGACUAUGCUAUAUAAUCAUGGGCCACUGAUAGAAUUAUCCGAAACUAAGCAACAACAUGCACACGAUACAGAAUGCUAUAUGCAUCUUCAACCACCAACAACAAUUACAUAUCCUUGAUUUAUGAAAACUAACAGGAAUUCAUAAAAUUGUAAUCUGGUUCCAAUAAAGAGGACCAUGAACAAAUGAUCGAGGAUUUUAUCCAACAAACCAAACGACACAGAAAUAUUAGUUCAUUUAUUUGGGAAAUUGGUGACCCGAAGCAAAACCAAAGAGAGGCACGUUCACAUAACAUAGAGUUUCAAAAGUAGUUGCCACUAUAGAAAUUCUUGAGAAAAUCAGAGGUGCUUGGAUCCUUGGGUGAUGAAUCGUGCAAGGUCCCUUCCUUCCCUAGUAUGUACUGGCCAAUGAUAUGAUGCCGCUGCUUAUGAUGUUCCACAAUGUUGCCCAGCUCUUCCAUCCCCUUGAAGAGCAGCAUAUCAAUCACCUACAGGUUAUGACUAUCAGCAAAAUAGCGAGAUUUUAAGCCACAAUAAUCUAUAAUAACUACUCAGAUAUAUAUAUAUCCGUCUCCUUGGUGACUCCCUUAAGGAGCUCUCACUCCUAAUCAAAAGAAGCCCUGAACAAAAAAAAAAAAAAACACAAACAAAGAAAGGAAUGAUCUAAUGCCCAGCAAAGACACUACCAAAUUUAUUUUCGAAGCCAAUCAUAAAUUUAUUGGAAUGAAGUAAAGAAGCAAAUAUAUCCACAAAUGGUUGGAAGAGACUGGAUAAGUAGGAAAAGAGAAUAUACAAUGACUGUUAUGAUCUAUUAUCAAAAGGUUAAACAAUCAAAAACUACUGAUAAAACCUAUUGAGCACACCCAAUCUACUUUGUACAGUAAAAUUGGUUUCGAGUUAGAACCACCUCCCAAAACAGAUGGAAACAAUAACAUCCUUUAUCAAUGCACUGGUAUCUGGUAUCAAGAAAUCGAUGCUAACUCUAAUGACAACAACUUGGUUGCCAAGGAAAUACAAAGUCAUCACUGAUGCUACUGCACUUACAGUUUGGAGAUGAAAUGAUAUUUCCUUCUUUUCCAGGGAAUCUGAUGUUUUCCUUCUUCUUUAUGGAAUCAUUCUUGUAGCUUCUAAUAUUUUAAGAGAAAAAUAAAGGACGAGUUUAUUUUCUUUGUUCCGGGUACAGUGAAAGAGAUUUUCGAGAAAUCCAUCAAUGCCAGCCUUUUGGUGUUCUAUGGCUCAGUAACUAGGAGGGUUAGUGUUUGAACUUGAAGUGGAAGGGGUUUCUGUACACCAGUAGUUGUUGGCAGCUUGAAUCUCUGAUUCCGACUACUGGAUUCUCUGGCAGCGAGAAUCAAAUAUCUUAAAUUCUAACGUUGAAUGGUAGGAAGGACAAGGAUUAAGCUUAUAAAGAUAAUGUUUACGAACAUACUACAAGAGAAGAGCACAGAGUUAUUAGUGUUGCAAAUGAGGGGGGAAAAAGUGCAUCAAAGAGAGAAAAACACAGCACACAAGCUUUCACAUACUCGUAGUAGCUCUAUUAUUAAAAAGAAAUGCAUAAAGAACCAUGAACAGAGAAACAAUCCACAUAUUUUGUCUAACUUAAAAGAACAAAUGGCAUCACAUAUUUACCGACUACUUCAACACUUCCUCUCAUUUUUUUUCUCACCCCCUCUCAAUUUUCAUAGGAUCUGUAAAUGAAUUGAAACCUUAAAGCAGACAACUUCCAUAAAGAAUAAAACUUGAUACUUCACCUAAAACACCAAGCACAAACACCGGACCAUUUACAUACAUAAACAACAAUAAUAAAAAAUCCUUACCAUGCCGAUUACUGACACUAUUAUCUGAAUCGAAAACUCUCACUGAAAUGAAUCAUACACAAACUUUCUCCACCAAACCCUAAAAGAUUAAUCCUACUUUUACCUAACAUUCUUCCCCAGAUAUCACAAACAUUGAUUGAAUGAUUGGGUCCCGCAAAUUCAACGGCUGGGAUUUUCCAGGGUGGUGUUUCUCAUUACUGAACCUAACAAACACUAGUUAAUUUGCAAUUACCACUACAACUUAAAAAAAAUUAUUAAAUUAAUAAUCCUUGAUUAAUAAAACAAGAUUUUAAAGUAAUUAAGAAAAAAAUUGAGAGGAGAGAGUGGUGACCUUAGCAUUGGUGAUGUGAGAGUUCUUGCGGAUCUGAGAGGAGAUAGCGGAGCGAAGCUGAGACUUAUUAACGACGUCGUCGAGAUUGUAAAUAUCCAUGACAGCUGGGAGUGAUCUACAAGCCAAUUUGAAGAAAUCGAAGACUCGAGCUCUUGCUUCUUCUACACUUCUCGAGUUUCCUGAUACCUUCAUGACCCUCAAUGCCUGCGCCGUCGCCGUCGCCAUUGAUUCAGUUCAGUAACUCCACCGCGCUAAAGAUUGCAACUUUCUUUUCUUUUCCUUUUUUUUUUUUUUUAUUUGCUGUUUCAGCGUAGAAAAUGAAAGACACGAAGCUAGGUAUAGAAGAUGAUUGCGAUUGGGUGGUGAUGGAGCUUAUACGACCCCGUUUUGUUUUCUUCAAAACUACGUGUCGUUCGAAGAUUAGAUGCCGCUUCCCUUUUUCUUAUCGUCCAAGUACAACGACGUCGUUUCAAUACCAUUUUUUUUUCAUUCCCCUCUCUGGGCAAUUUUUAUGAUAUUUUUAGCUGAAAAUGCAAAAGCUUUUUGCAAUGGUUUUUGUUGUUGUUAUAGUUGUAAAAAAUGUUAGAUAUUUUAGGAUGCUAAGAAAAUAUUUUAAUGUUAUAUAAGACAUAGAAGCUCAAAAAAUUUAUUAUAAGAUUUUAUCAAACACAUUUUUCAAAGAAUUUUGGAGGAAAAAAUUCAAAAGUUACUAAUUACCGAACGAACACUAAUUGUUUUGAUACUUUUUUUUCUUUUCACAUUAGUACUUGUAUAUCAAUUAAAAUUAAAUCAUUUUUCAUAUGAUUUCAAUGAUUGAUUAGUAAAAAACAGAUCAAGAGAGGAAGCCCUUCAUAAUCCUUCAUCCUUUAGACAAGGAUAACAAUGGAGUCAUUGCACAGAGAAAAAUCAGCACAGGCAGAGAGAGAUCAGCAACUGAUCUAACAAACUAUACAUGCGAAUUGGCAACAUUAGGGUAGAGCAAAUCUAUCAUCAAUCAUGUAAAUAUCCUUGAAAGCUCCCAUACCAUGUUCAGAAAUUGUCAUAUACAACAAGUUAUAACUCCACAAGGCUGCUGCAUUCAGGGAGUCCCUCUCCAACACCAUUUUGAGAAAUGUGUAGGUCAAAGGUCAGUGAAUUAAGAUGAUAUUGUUCCUACAAGGAUUACAGAAAUGUUUGUAAUUAAUCAUCGUCAGGGCUGUUCUUGAACUCAACCCCUACAUUUCUCCGCAUUCUGCAAUAAUACAUGGUAGUUUUGGUCGGUUGUUGGGUCCCGUGGCAACAUUCUCAAUCUUUCGGACAACCAAAAGACCAUCUCCAAGUACCCUCUACAUAAGAACAGAAAAUGAAAUUGAAGUUGAUGAGGUGGAGUAAAAUGAACUUUCUUAGAGGGAAAUACUAGCACAUAUUAGAAAAAGAGUAGCACAUCUACAUGUAUAAUCUUGGGCACAAAACUUAAAUCAACCUGAUCCAAUCCAAGCUGAAUACAGACCUAUAAUUAUGUCAAUUUGAUUGCAGGGCUAAGUCAGUUCAGGUUGGAUUUACAUUUGAAUUUUAUAUCAGAUAUUGCCAACCUGAACUGAUUUCCAAACACACAGAUUGCAAAAUUUUCAACUGAUCAAUUACAAGGGCAAAGAGAAGCAUAACAAAAUCUUAUAUAAGAAUUUGAAGACAUACCCCGAAUACAACAUGCUUAUUGUCGAGCCAGUCACAUUUUGCACAAGUCAUGAAAAACUGCAAAGGAAGAAGGUUCAAAUCAAUAUAAUCAUAUUGUGUUCUCUGUGUGUGUGUGUGUUGACUCAUGGCUAAAACAGCAGACAAUAGAGAAAGUUCUCCAGAACUCUCAUUCAAAGCAAUGCUGCUGAAUCCCAAGGCAUGUUUGGUUUGUCUGGCAUUAGGAAUAGUGAGGGGUCAUUUCCAUUCUGUGUGCAAUGUUGUUUGAUUUGCCAAUAACACAUAAGGAUUCUGUAAGAAAUGAGAAAUUUUGUUUUAUGCAGAAAAAGUUACUCUUUCUUUUGUGAAAUUAGAAUUGCAUUACAAGAAGUUUUGAUUUCACAUAAAAUUAUAAUGUGAAAUAUAUUCAAAAUGGCAUCGGAAUCCUAUUCCCUUUCUGUACCCAACUCUUGAGUAAACCAAACAUGUCUUAGUGGAAAUAAAAGGAGGGAUUGAAACAGUAUGCUUGAGUUUUCAAUUGUAAUAAUAAUUGUAUCUGGGAGUAAAUGUAGGGCAAAGGGGAAACAACUAAGUGCAAUUUUAAAGAUAUGGCUCGAGCAAGCAGCAAGCUUAAUGGAGCAUUAUAAGGUUAAAUAUCCACCACCGCUAAUUCAAAUUUCUAUUUCCACCAAACUGGAAACCUUGAACAACCAGAAAAAAGGUCCUUUCAAGGUUUAACACCUCUUUGCACACACCAAUUUAUUUCGUACUUUUUGAACAUCUAACAGCAGAGAGAUUACCUGACAACCAUUGGUAUUUGGCCCACUAUUUGCCUGCAAAUGGAAUGAUAAGGCCUUCAGUAUUAGUGAUAUAGCACAGUCUUCAAACUCAAAUAGUAAGGAUAUUUGAUGAUAAAUCUAGGUAGGCUAGCAUUUAAAUAUUUUGAGAGCUAGCGUUUAUAGAAACUAGGGUUUUCAUUUACAGUCAUUUUAGUGACUCUGGACGCUAAUUAAGAUGAAAUCCUCAUUGCCCCCAAAAUUCUGAGGUUACCCCACCCAAAUUAGAAUUUCUACCCUUGUUCUCCAAAUAACCAUAAUAUGAAAAGCAUAAAUGUAGAAAUUUGAGAUUUCUGAAUGUUUUACAAUCAGACAUCUCAGAGGAAUUAUUCGCUGUUGCACUUUCACUCAUAUUGGCCUCAAAGAUGCACAACAAUUAGUUGAGGCACAUGGGUACUUUCCCUACUAAGUUUUUCCCCUAUGGUUAGACUUAAAGCAAAGCCAUUCCAUAUAUUCUUUUAUCAGUAAAACAUAAAUACGUUAAACAAGGUCCCCAUCGAGGAACACCACCUCCUCAAGAAUUAUCAUAGGAAGUCAAAAAAAAAGAAGUCCUAAUUCCAAAAAGAAUGAGCCAUAAAUCUUGUCUAUGCUGGCAACAAAAUUUCAAAGUCGAUCAAACUAAGUUUCCAAUACAGAAUUAGUAGUUGUUAUACACCACAGGAUCCCACAAGAUAUUAACGCAUCAAAUUAUUCAUGACAAUUAGCAGAGAACUAUCUAAGAGGAGAGUCAAGGAAAUGAUACAAGGCAUAUAAAUGCAGCAGUAGAAAGCAAGAAAUAGCACGAUUCAUCCAAUACAAAAUAAGAGCAACACGGGGCACAUUUAUAUACAAAGAAAAGCACAGACCAUUGAAAGUAGACCAGGGCCGGUAUGUUUAGCAACAAAAUUUUCAUCCUCAAACUUAAGCCCAUAAAUAGAAACACAACCACUACCAUCACCCUGCAAACCAAAAAUUCCAUUAAUAACUAAUCAGGUAAGCUGAAAACAUUAAAAUAGAAAAUUAAGAAAAAAAAACAAACAAACAAACCUUAAGAAAAUCACCAGCUUGAAUCAUAAAAUCUUUAAUCACUCUAUGAAAUUGACAUCCUUUGUAACCAACUGGUAAUCCAGCUUUUCUGCCAUUUUUUUUCAAAAAUCAAAUUAAUUAAUUACAUAACCAGUGAUUAAUCAAUCUAAUUAACCAUAAAAAUGGGGAAAACAUCGAUAAAAGAAUUUCUUUUACCUGUACUCGCCUGUGCAAAACUGCCUGCAAGAUUUAAAGAAAAAUAAAAUGAAAUUAAUUUAAAAAAAAUAAUAAAAAAAUAAGUUUGAUGCAGAGAAGAGGGAAGGAGGAGUAGCAGGACCUGAAAUUUUCGGCGGUUCUAGGGGCAAUAUCAGCGAAGAGCUCCAUUUUGAUACGACCAGCAGGGAUGGUACCGAUGGUAACAUCGAAGAAGACGAUCGGGUUUUUUGGGUUUGGUGGUCUCAAGUGCCACUCCACGCUGCCUCCUCCUGACGCCAUUGAAGCACUGAAGUCUCUAGCCCUCUCGCUCUCUCUCAAUCUGGAGUGUGCGUUUUGAUGAAAGGUUUUGGGGGUUUAUGUGAGUGAACGUGUUCUACGCUGAUUGGUCGGUUUGGGAAAUAAGAAUUGACUUGUGUUUAGAACUUACUAUUUUUGUCGUAGCAUGGGGUGUUUAGUAUAGUUUAUAAAUAUAUUAACAUAAUACAUUUUUAUUUUUUAAAAUUUACGUUGGAUAAAAAACCAAAAAAAAUAUUAAUUUAAAAUAAAAAUAAAUUAAGAUUUUUGAAAACUCCAUUGAAACAAACACCACAAACUCACGUUUGAUUCAUAUAGUAUUGAAAGUCUAUACAAUCGAGUUCUCUACCUUAUUUUUAAUCAAGCUUACUGGAAAAUAAAUUUUAAAAAAUAUAAUUAAAAAAAAUAUUAUUUUUCAAUGUUUUAUUAUAUCAAAAAAUUAUUUUUGAUUAAGCUAGAAAAUAACAUUUAUAAGUUAAAUUUAUUAAUGAUUGAGUUCCUUAAUCCAGUUUAACAUACAUAAUUAUCAAUACUCAGAAAGAUUAUACAUGAUUUGUAUUUGUUUUUCUUCUUCAAAGAGGAAGGAAAAAAGGCUUCGAUUGAGGGCCAAGUAAUAGGUUGAUCAAUCAACACCUUGAUUGAUUGAUCAACCUAGACUUGUUCCAAAAUAAUUUAAUUUUUAAUUUUUUUUUAAUCAAAUAAUGUUGUUUGGACAAAAAAAUUAAAAUAAAAUGACAUUAUUUUAAAUAAAAAUUAAACAAAAUCUUUGGACUUGCUCUAUCCAUUUAGCUAGGUCAACCUAGGUCAGCGAGUUAACCCAUAAGGCCAUGGAUUUGACUCGGUGGCCAGGCUUAGCAAGAACUUCUUCCAUUGCUAGUUUUUUUUUUUAAAAAAAAAAAAAAAAACAUGAGAAGAAUGCAGAGGGAUUAAAAAAAUAAUAAUAACAAGAAAAGAAAGAGAGCGGAUUAAUUAUUGCAAAUUUGUCUUUACAAAAAAUAAACACGAGAGAUAAAAUACAGAAAUUGUAAAAGCACCACAGAAACUAGUGAAGAAAAUAAAUAACUUAAAGAGAGAAUCGGUUGGUUGAGGAAAAGAAUAGAAAUGAAAUGGUACAAAUACACAGUUGCCUGUCAUCACCUACGCAGGCACUCUCCUAGACUGAAGAUUUGGGUAUCUUGAACUGCUUCUUGAGAAACUGGGAGGCCUCUGAAUCACUCCGGUGACAUAAUAUCCUCAACAAUGUUGGGGUAUCUGCGCCUAGUCUGCUUCCACCGCGCUGCCUUUCCACCCCGCUUACAGAUUUCAGGUCCUCGAUUAAUUCUCUAGUCUGCAAUUCAAUUCAAAGGGAAAAAGUUAAUCCAAUCCUCUGGACAAAAUGCCAAAGAAAAAGGUAUAGUUUUUGUCUGGAGAAGUCUCAAAGCAAUGUUGAUCCGUCUAGAGCACAGUACCACCAAUGGAGUACAGUCAAUUAUCAGAUCAACUAAGAAUAGCUAUUGUUCCCAGUGAUUCAGAUGGAUAGAUAGCUGUUUCUCGAAAUAAUGUUACCCUUUAUCUUAUUCAGCACCACACUAACUAAAUUGUGAGGUGGAAAAUCAGCUGAUAGUAGACUGAGUUAUCAGCACAGCGCUCACAGACAUGUUACCAUUCUCCUUUUCAGCUUCUCUCUGGUGUGAUAAUAACAACACAAAUUUAUGAACAACUCCCACCUUCUCUUUUCAUCUGGAGUGAAUCACCACGGUGAUCACCCUGUAUCAGUAUCAUGCAAACUGAGGAGGAACUGAAGCGGGUUCAUAAAAAUCAACUUCAAUUAUCACAGUAGAUUUUUGCAGUCAAAAACCUCCAUAAGAACUAAUUGAAUAACUUAAAACAUGCUAUAAAUUGGCCGCGUCAAUUUCCUUUCGAAACUAAGCUACAAAAACAAACCUCAUAGCUGUGCAACUUGAUUACAUGUCGAGCACGUGCUACAUGGUUUUCAACUACUCCUCUGGGAAGCCCAUCUCCUCCAGAGAUAAAAAAUUCCUAAAAGAAAAGGAUACAUGAAUCAGCAGAAACAAUAAACAAUAAUUGGGUGCAGAUAUUUAAGAACAGGAAGUUGCUCAUUUCAGACCAUGUAGUUCACCAAUCACCAGCAUUUAUAAUGAAUAGGCAACAAAAAUUUAUAGCACAUUUCACAAAGUUUAAGCAUCCAUCAGAUUGUGAGAAUUAAACCACAAAGCAGCUUUAAAUGCUUCCAGUCCAGUAAUUUCAUCGUUCAGAUGCAAGAAUAGCAAAAAUCGUUCAUGGAGCCUAUCCAUGGUUUAUCUCCUUUUCUUUUUCUUGCCAAUCAAAUUCAAAGUACAGUAGACAAAUACCUUCAAAACUUCUACAUCAUCUUCCAAUAUUUUUGCAUCACCUGGGCAGAAAUAUCGUGAUGGUCCUCCAUCCAAUAUAACUCGGAGAAAGCCAUCCUGAAAAAAGAAACCAUUUCAGUAAGCAACAAAAUCAAGCACUCGUUAUGUUUUGUUUAAAAAAACAGAGGCACAGACCAGUGAAGCUUGUAGAAGACUCGUCACAAUGCGAUCUCUGAGGGGCUCCACAAUGAUACCACAGAGUUCAUUUAGUUCCUGCAGCAGUUACCAGCGAUGAGGCUUCUUAUCAGGAAAUAGAAAAAUGCAAAAUCAAAAGGGAUAACCUUCCUAAAACAGCACAGCACUUGACCAGUGUAAUUAAUAGGCUAAAUAUACAAGUUUAUCAUGAAUGUUAGCUUUUUUCCUAUUAAACCUAAAUCCUUUUAAUCAGUAUUAUUAUACAUUUAUCAUUAACGGUGUGCACCUUAAUUCACUUAGCAUCUUAUGACUCGGCUUUAAAAAGCCUUUAGCAAGAAGUUUUUAAUAACAUGGUCAAUAACACCAGUAUCUGAUUCUUCUUAUAAAGGAAAUGCAAGAAAAUCUUGCUUCUUAGAAGGAAAAAUCUUACUAUGUCAAGCGGUUCAAUUAUUGCUUCCAGCCUAGAUUGAGGAACAGCGGGUUUAUACAGAUUUUCAAUGAAUGGUUCCUUCAAGUCGUAGAAGAUGAUCUUAGUUCCUGCAUAAGUUAAAUCACAUCAAUCAAUAUCAAGUUUACUUCUCAAGAUAAUCAAUUUUGCAGAGUGAGACCAAAACUCUUACCAGUAAACUCACAGAUGCGAUCCAUAGCAGCAUUUAUAUCUUUUCUACUGCCAUCAAAUGUUCCCUUCUGCUUGAAACUUGCUGAAUUCCCAUCUAUGGAUUUCUCUAUUAAGGAAAAGAUUUAUAUGCCAAUCAUUAAUUAAGAAAUGAUCACUUCAAAGCAAGUAUACUAUUGUAUUCUCACUUUCUCAGUCUCCACUGUACAAGUAAUUAGGCAAACUAUAAACUUCGGCAAAUAACAUCCAUAUACAUGCAACACACAGAAUAUGCAUAAAAGAAGAGCUGUUCAUUUUAAGAAUCCAAAAGAUUACGUCAAUAGAAGAACUUCAAUAUUAAAUAAGAAGGUCUGACAAGAGUGGUGGCAAAACCAGUCAUCAAGAUCAAGCGCUGCCUACUGGUGCAAUGGUUUUAUAUUGCAGCCAGGGUGUUCUGGAAGCAGCUGUAGAGGGCAAUUUAUAACAUCAUGCUUGUUGAGGGUUUGAAUUACAAAACUAUAAAAUUGUAAAACUAGAAUGGAUGCAACCUAAUCUAAGUGAUUCCAACAGUAUUGCGCCAAAAGUAGAUUAACUAAAGCAAUUACGAUUUUCCAAGAAUAAUAGUCAAGCAGUUUUGCCAUUAAAGCCGUGAAAGAAAUGUGAACAUAACUGGUAUGAGAAAAAAUAUACCUUAUAACCAAAUGAAGUGAAAUGUAACAGCCCAUUAAAGAUCCAUUACAUAUGGCCAUUGUGUUUUAUAACAUCCAUUAUCUAAAUCCUUGAUUUACAUGCUUUAUGAAAUGGAAUCUGAAAACAAUUACUUGUUUUUUUUAGCUUGGGAAAGACAGAUUAUCAAAUUUUAAAUUGCAAACUAAAUAUUUAAAAGAGUGUCAUUUCAUUCAGGCAAGUCAACCAGUGGAUGGAGUGUAUCAUUCAAUAAUAACUUAAGACUAGUAGCUUAAAUACUUACUGAUAAAUUGCUCACGAGGCUUUCUCCUAUUCCAUCGUUCCCAAAUGCUAUCUUCCAACUUAUUCAGUUGACUAAUUGCAUACUGUCCACAGCAAGAAAUCAUGUGUCAUGCAUAUUACAUUAUAAAGACAGCCAAAAAUUAGUAACUCUGCAAAUGCAGAAAACUAGAAAACCAUCACUAUAAUAAUUUGACCCUACCAUGGAUUUUUAGGAGAUGUUUGUGAUACAGUGAUUGCUGUCAUAUGCAUAAUUAAGCCAUUCUGACAAUAAUUCAAAUUAUACUGAAAAAAAAAAUCACCACUGAGAAUUGCAUACUUUUAGAAGUUUUCUUUGUUUUAGUGUCAUUUGUUACAUUUCCAGUCUUUAUGAAAAAAAAAUUACUGUUUUGAUAUCAUCACAUUACUCUCCGGAUGGAGAAUUAGAGAGUAGCACUACAGUUGGCUAAGCCAAAAUGAAAUCAAUUAUUGAAUCAUGCUCUUUUUUCAAUAAUCUGCUUACAAUGUAGCCAGGAACAUCCAUUUUGAAAAUGUGACGGAGGAAAUCAAGAAACUAUCACCAAGCAAACUAUGAAACUCCACAACAUUGCUAGCCUUGUUGAAAAAGGAUUGUCACAUUAAUAUUCAUGACAGCAAACUUUAGAACAGUCUUGAUAAGGAUCAAUGUGCAUGUGAAAAUAGUGAAGUAGAAAGUCAAAACUCUUCUAUUCAUUUCUAAAAGGACCAUGCCAAUGUAGUUGAACUUACAUAUAGAGUAUUUAACUGAACACAAAGUGUUGCUGUCGCUGGAACAUUAAUUUCAUUGGAUUUUAUCUCUUCAGGCAUCCUCGAGUCAAACAGUUCCUUCUUUACGAAGGCCUUUAUUCCAGCUUCCUUCCUGUAUCGUGUCAGAAUAGGAACUGGUGGAAUUAGGUCUUCCUUUGCAGCUGCAUGGCGAGAAUUGCACAUUAAGGUCCCUAAUCGUAGGAAGGGGGAGGGAACACAAGAUAAAAAAAAACUGCACAGAAGGUGCAGAGAAGAAUGUAAACUGGGCAAUAAAGAAGAUGGAAGAACAGGUUAAGCAUACGGACAUGCUAAAAAAUGGUGAUAAAUUCAAUUUUAACAAAAUAAGCAAACAAGUGCAGUAUAUGAGACAGAAAGUUAGAUACAAGAAUAAGGAAAAGAAAGGAAAGAGAUAGACAUGUAUCCAUUUCGUAAAAGCAGUUUCUAACUAAGAACAUACAUGUAAGAUAUACUCACCCAACUUGUCAGUGACAUGAUUUGCAUAAACUUGGAAUGCAUUGUCAACACCCCGAAACAAGCCAUUCAACUCUUUGGAACUCAUUGGAACUUUAAGAGAAAAGAACUGAUCAACAGUCUGCGUAAAAAGGAAUAUUGAUUAUGCAAGACAUUAUUAAUCAAUGUCAUCCAGAAGCAGAUAAAACAUUAGCAAAAUUACACACAAAAUGCAAAAUCCUAUUCUGGUCACAAGUUCAGAAACUAUAGGUCAUGAUAAACCUCCAAGGGAAUUCCAUUUCUUACUAUCAUAUAAAACAAGUUUAAUCAAAAUAGCUGGGUAACUAGCAUAGACAUCUUUGUUUUUAAGCCUUAAUUACAGUGAUGCAUUCCAUGGUGAAUGAAGAAAGAUUAGAUUCUAGAUGUUUCCACAAAUGUGCAAUCAGAACACCAAAAGAAAAGGGUAGCCGGAAAAAAACACCUGACUUGCACAAAAAUUUAAUUACCCACAACUAAAAUUCUCUUCAGUUCCUCAAGUUUUCUUAUGUGCUUUUGCAACAUUAGGGUUUUUUUUAUUUGCAUAACACCUUAUGAUAGUACCAGAAUUAAUACUAUUGUUACAUGAGCAUUCUUACCUCUUCAACGAUCCUAUAAACCUCAACAAUUGAGCUCCCAUGCCGCUGUUGAGGUGAUAUUGGUUCCCACCGCUGAAAGAAUGAUUCACAGAAAAUGUUAAAAUAAAUGUUAAGUACAUUAGACCGUUAACUAAGACGAGGGAGUGAAAAUAAUCCUGUCAUCUAAUUGAACUGGAGUAGAUUGACUAAAUUCAAAAAAUUGAUUUUAAAGGAGUAAAAUGAAACAAAAUUUAGCACUUACCUCCUGUUGAAUGGCACGCUCAACCCAACCCAAAAUUCGUCCAAGCUGAGAAUUGACCCAUCGCAUGACCAAUGUUCCAGAUAUAGAUUCAAUCUUGAGAAAGAAACAGAGGGGAAAAAAAAUAAGAGGUGAUGGAUAUAGGAGAGAGCCUAAUAAAGUUAAAAGCUCCAUGUGUGCCGAUGUGAACAUGCUACAGGAUUACACAUAACUCUGUUGUUGAUUUUUAUCAUCUGGAUAAAUAUAAAGGGUUGUAAGGCUGGGGGGAUUUGAGUCUGGGGUGAGGGGCUUUGGUGAUCUAAAUAUUGAUCCCAAUCUUCAUCAAUGAUGAUUCCUCACUUGUAUUUUAUUAUAAUACGAUUUGAACCUAGGUUCCAUAAGACAUUAACACCAAGCGGUUAUUUUGUAAGACUUACAGAAGCUCCAAGGGAAACACUUGUUUCUUGAUCAUGAUUGUGCCAGCACACUCAAUGUGCGUGUAGAGAGAAAGAGAGAGAUUCCAAUCUGGACAGUUGCCGAACAAACUUCAACUAAGGUCAAAUAAAAGAUGAUGCUCGUUCAUGAGUCAAGCCAAAAGCCCUCUAACUCAAUAUAUUUGAGGGUUUUAUAAACCCCGAAUACCAAGACAACCUCUUCCACUUUGAGAAACUUCAAAUAGUAUAGCUAUUUUCUGAAAUUUCUAGAAAUUAAACCAUCUGAUUCAUAUGAUCUGCUUCAAUAGCACAACAUUUGAGGCAGUAUUUUGUCAAUUGUUAUCAGUCCUGCUUAUGUCUAUUUUAACUAAAUUUGUUUAGAGAGAGAAAGAGAGGACAAUGAAAAUUAAGAGCAAAAGAACCUCAAAACAUGGAACCAAACAAUUUCACCUGAUAUGGAGUUAGUUUGCGGAAUUUGACUUCCAUAUUCCCCUCUCCACAUGCAGAAGUGAUGAGUGCCAUUAUAUACUGCUCAAGGCUAUCAGCAGCAGGAAACACAGAGACAACAUCCUCGGUCAGAUGUUCGGAGCCAUCAAGGAAUGGUUUCUGAAAAUAAGAAGUACAAUUAGGCCUUCACAGUGUAAAGAAAGCACUCUGGAGUCUGGACUUUAAGCCAAGUGAACAUCCUUACCAACUUGUUCCCAUAGAGCUUGUGAACAAGUGAUGCUGAAACAACAAUUGCUUGUGGAUUCCUCUGUGACAAAAUUGGUGUGAAUAUGGUUGAUUCUUUUUUUAGAAGUUUCUUGAUCUCUUCUGCAAGCAAUGCCAAAGGAUGCUCAUCCAUUGCAUCUAGUUUAUCAACAACCACUAAUAUCUGCAAUAAGAAGAAACAAAGAUGAUGGGAGGGAUUAAAGAAAAUUUAAUGUCAUAUGCUAAAGUUCAAGGGGAAAAAUUUCAAUAGUCUCAAGAAUUUACAACUAUAGCACAAUGCACAUACUACAUGGGCAUUGAGCAAAUCUCUCAGUGUUUUCCAAUGCUCUAGGGGAUAAAACACUGUUUUAGAAAACCGUAGCACACUGCACAUACUAGAUGGGCAUUGUGCAAAUCUCUCAGUGUUUCCAAUGCUCUAGGAGAUAAAACACUGUUUUAGAAAACCCCAAUCCCUUUAUGUUUAACCCACCUCAAUCUAAAGGAAACUGUAUUGAUACUUACUGCUUUUCUUUAAAACAAAGAUGCUAGCCCAUUGAACUAGACAAAAAAAAAAUCUUAAUAGAGACAAUCAAACAAUAUUCCAACCCUCCCAUAUCCCAGCACUUAUCUUGAAUCUACUCUACAGGUUACUGAAGUUAAAUAAAAAAAAGAAAAAACACUGUUAAAGGAAUCCAUAGCUCUAUAUAGAUCAGGUGUCUCCACUUAGAAGCUUCAACUCCUGGGUUGGAUGCUUUGUAGUGUUCAUCACUUUGGUGUGUGUCAGUGCUUUUAGCUUGGAUGUGAUGGACAUAUCAAGUACCGACAAAUUGAUUACGUGAAGUGAGGUAUACCCUUAUGUACAUCAUGGCAACUCCAACCUAUUGGCUUAAAUUCCCAGAUCGGAUUCUCUAAAAUGAACAAUCCAGUAGAUCACACCAAGCAGAAGUUAUUUGGUUCAGACACUUACCCUUGUAAAUGCAUUCUUAAUGGAUGAUGCUAUGAAUGAUUCAAUCUGACUGCAGAAGUGUGGAAAAUUAAAUUUCAACAUAUAGCACAUAUAGCACAUAAAUUUCAACAUAUAGCACAUAUAGCACAGAUGUACUUUUUUAAUUCAAACUAAAAACUAGUUCUCAAUUGUAGGCAUAUACACUGAUAAUAUUCUCUUUCCGGAUAUGCUACCUGUGUAAUUCUUACUGGACAAUGAUAAAACGUGCCCGCACACACAACAACAACAAGGUUUUAACAUACCAUUUCAGAUUCUUCCAAGAGAAGCCUCCGGGUGAUCAUUGCAACUAACACUACAUCCUCCAUUACUGAUGAGUCCUACAAGACACAUAAUAACUCAUACUGGAUAAAGAGUUCCAAAUUGGGAAAAAAACCAGUUGAAAAGCAUUCCAAAAAAUAUAAAUGGCUAUAAGUAAUGGGUACAAAAUCUACACAUGUAAUACCCAAUAUGCACCAAAGGAGGUUGCCCAUUUUCAUUCAAAUUCAAUAAUCGACACAUUCAUAAUCAAUCAUAAAAAAUAUAUAAUCCUGGCAGCAUAUUAAUUCCUUCACAUUUACCAAUUAAAAUUAGAGUGGCCAAUAAAAGCCACAUCCUCUGUCAGUGCAACAGUCAUGAUUAUGAGCAUCCAUUUUGUAUAUGCACCAAAUAAAAAUACUGCUUCUAGAAGAGUGUAUAGAUUUCAACAUUAAUUAAUCAAGUGCCUGGCCGCCCCCCAUCCCCAGCUCCCAAUAUAUGCUGAGUCAUGGGCAUCUCUUAUAUUAAACAUCCAUCUCUAAAUAAACUCUAAAAUAGAGAUUAUCCCAUUUAUAUUAAGUAAUGUAAUUUAAACUUUAUGAAUUCCAGGUAUAGGACUUCAGACUUUUACAGGACAAACUCAAGUUCAAUGUCAAUUGUUUUUUUAAGAAGUCGAUUACAAGAGAACUUAUUUUCAAAGAUGAACCAAGUGGAAAUUCAAUAACAUUUAGGAGAAGAAUAUUUAAGAAUUAUAUUUGUGAAAUUAUCUUCAAGCAGUCAGACCGUGCACAUCAAUCAUGUUGAAUGCAUCAUGCACCUAUCUUAUAGUUCUGACAAAAUGAAUAUUGACAAAAUCACAUCUCGGGCAAACAUGGGAUAUUGAGCUGAGGAAACAAUGAAAAUAGACACAGAAAAUAAAGCACUGCAUACAUUGGACCACAGAGCAGUGUUAAAUAUAAAGAGAACAGUUUGCAAAAAUAUUCAAUUUUCCUGAGCAUGGAAGCAUAGAUACCCCAGCAAAAUGCAAAUUGUUAAGAAGAACAACGCGUGCAGCUUAAAAUUACAGAUAAAAUCUAACCAAUUAACAAGUAUAACUGAAGCACCUCCUAUGAUAAGCAAAUAUUCGAAAAGGUAAUGCUAACCAAGAGUUGAGAUUCAAACAAUUUAUCAAACCUCAGCAAAGUUCAGAUGGUAGUCUCCUAGCUGCUUAUCAGCCCAUUUCUGAACAGGUGAUAAAAGGGAUUGAAAGAAAGGCAGUUCUUCACCUUCAACUUUGGAAAGCAAACUUUUCAAGUGUAACCUCUCUUGUGGUCCGCGUUGUUCUUUUAAUGGUAUUUUCUUCAGCUGCUCAAUGGCAUGUUUUAGGAGCCCCUGCUCUUGUGUGAUGAUAUACUGCAAUGACACACAACCAAAUACAAGUAAUAUAAGAUAAUGAUGAUGGUUCUGUUUUGUCCAAUGGCUGGUUAAACUGCAGUUGCUUAUAAAAUGAAAAGCUUAAAGAAGCAUCUUAAGGGCUGUGAUAGAUUGUAAUAGAUACAAGAUGAGGAUGUCGAGCAACGAUGACAAUAGUUAUUUUUAAGUUUGUAUCUUCGGGUUUCUCAAGUUUAGAUCAGUAAGAAUAUUGGGUUUUGUAUUUUCAGGUUGUUUUAUUUUCUGUACAGAACCUUAGAUGUUAUGCUGAAGAAGGUAAUCGGUUUGAAGUAAACAAACAAAGACAAAAAGGGUCUGUUUGGGACUGCUAUUGACCACUGGGUGAUGGAGAAUAGCUACUGUCAAGGAAAGGAAUGCUCCCUGUUUCUUCAUUCCAGGAUAACAUCAUUGACUGCAUGAACUUAUGGCAAUUUGAAUGUGCUUAGACAAGAGAAAGAAAAGGGGAUACAGGAAUAAUACCUGACGAAUUAAUACCGAUGCAUAGCAUGUGUAAUGGAUGGUUUCUGUAAUUCCUAAAACACGCCAGGUUGACUUCAAGAGUUCAAGAAUUUCCUCAACUUCCUGAAAAUGGAGACAAGGUGCAAUUAAUUAUACUAGGUGGAAAAGGAAAAGGUUCACACAACCAAUCAUCCUUCUCUUUUUUCAAAAAAAUAAAUUAAUAAAUUGAACUAAAGUUAUUUUAAUAAAUAUCUCUACUGAAAAAAGCAAAGAUGGUAAAUUCAGAAAUUAAUUUCUCUGAACAUGACAUUUUUAAAACAAUAAUUCAAGCCGAAUGGCACAAAAGUAUCCAUACAACCAACCACAGCUAGGUGGUUGUUAUUGUUAUUGUUGUUGUUGACAAAAAUGUUUCCCGGUAUCAUGGGAUUAUGAUAAAUUGAAAAAAUUACUAACCUCUGUCAGCUUCCCCUCGUCCAAAAUGUCAAAGACACUCAGAAGCAGUUUCUCAUACAGUCUAACAUUGAGGUGAUAGCCAUCAGCCCAAUGGCAUACCUCACCAGUUAAGUCACCCCGAGCCGGCCUCUCUGCAAGUGGUAUUGCAAUCUCUCUGAGAGAUCUCAAACAUUCUGUUCGUUGGACUUCACCCGCAGAAGAUGGACGGAACUACAUUAAAAAUCAAACUUUAUUUAAGAAAGGCUAAGGUGAUAAGAGGGCACCAACCAAAAAGCAAGGGAAAAUGAACAUUAAACAUGAAAGCUUGGUAUGUUUUGACUCAAUAAUAAAAGCUUAAAUAUGGCUAGCCAAAAUAACCAAAGAGAGUGCAUGAAUAUAGUCCUAAAUGUUCAAAAAAAGAAGCAUACCAAUGCUCUGUUUAUAUUGCAAAAACAAAAACAAAAAAAUAAAGAGUAUAAUGAGUUGGAAUAAACUCCACCAAGAAACUAAAAUAACGAACAAAAACACAAUACAGUUUCCUCCAAAGUAAGCAAAUAAUAGAAUCAUGAAAGGUAAAGUAAUUGAUAGAUAACCUAACUUCAUUUAUGUUAUCUCUGUGAAAGGUCAUCUAAGUUUGUCAAACAAGUUGUUCUAUUGGUGUUUCUGAUGUCAAACAAGUUCGACAAAACAUAAAAUUAUCUAGACUUCUAGCCAUGCUUCUCCUUUCCAAUAAGGUAAAAAGUUUACUAGAAAUGAGGAGAAUAUCAAGCAAAGAGAAAGGAGAUCUCACUUGAAAGGAAUAGAUGAGUAUCUAUGAACAAAGUUCACUACCAGACAGCGACCAGUUUAGAAAAGUAAAGAAAGGAAUAAAAACAUCAAAAAGAUUCACCCAUUUAGAACACGUCAUAAAGACCCUAACUUGUUAUGAAGUCCUCUAAAGAAAACCCUCCUAUAGCCAUCGUGUACCCAACUUAAGCAACCAACACUAUCUAACACUGCAAGUAUGUAACAGUAGGGCAAAUUUGUUAAUGGUUUUCUGACAGUAGGACAAAACAAGGAAAGCUCCAUUUCAGUAUCAUAAAAUGUUAAUAAAUGCACCAUAUGAUAAUCUUUUGAAUCUCUAGAGCACAAACCUCAGAUUCCUCAAUCUUUGCCAAAAGAAUCCUCAAAUCACUUGGUUUGCGCCCUGAUUCACCAAAUCCAACAACUGGGUGAUUAAUAAGCCCCUCCUCCAGCAUGAAUAACUGUACUGAGACAAAAUUGAAAAUGCCUGUCAUCAAUAACAGUUCCAUGGCUCUAAUUUACCACUUAAAGGGAACUAAGACAUUUAACAAAAUAAAUUCAAAAUUAAAAUGGCACAUAGAAUGCAAAAUUUACCUGCCUUUUUUGCCACCGUAUAUAUGCUUUCUUAUCAGAAAAUUCUGAACGAGAAAUACAACAUAACAAUUCCAGUGGAACCAAUAGGGUGUCCAUUCGUUUUCCAACUUUUCCAGCAAGAGCAUUGAGCAGCCCUUGUCUAGUUCUUAUGUCCAUUGCCUCGGAUAUCUGCACUCAUGUAGAAGGAAAAAAAUUAUGAUAUUGUCUUGCUUACAGUUCUGAGCUAUGAUUUGGCACAGAUUACAACUUAGUGUAGUAAUUAAGACAAAUAUGAAAAAUAGCCGCAUACGCAUUAUCUACUUAGUGACGUAGCUUCAAGACAAUAGAAAUAGGCUCAGUGUAAACUCAGUCAAAAGAAAGUGAUACACAAGUCAUUCAUAAAAUAGCAGUCUCCCCAAUUAGAAAGACACUUUAUGCAAGGCAACUGAAGAUGUAAUUGACCUUUAAAAUAGCAGGAUGAUAUGAUUACAAAAAUCUGACUGGUAGAUCUUUUAAAAACUCCCACCCUUCCAAAUCUCUCAAACAGGACUUUAGCAUAGCAUAUGUCCAAACUUCCAGUUCCCAAGAGAUUACUCGAUAGCUCUUCCUCAGAGGAGACUGGACAUUAUCGUAUUUCACACAUUGGAAGUCAACAAUCUACAGGAGCACAGUUCCACCAUAUAAAACUUUGCAAAAAAGGUGGUGUAAGCACCUGUGGUACUUUAAGCUCAACUUAAGCUAAAUAAACUUAUUCAAUAGCUUAAUCAUAUCAACUUUGCUGAACAGGAGACUUGCAACCCUGUGACAUCAACUGGUUGAAUGCACUCCCAAUUUUUAAUGGCUGAAAGAGAUUUGACUCUCUCCUUCUAAAACAUUUUAGAACAAAAUUUCACACAUAUGGUUCUUCAUUUUUAUUGUGCUAUGGAUACAAAUGCAUGAAAUUAUGUCCUUAACACUUCAGUAUCCAGGCAGAAUCCUUCCAAGAGAAAAAAUAAUAAAACAAAGAUGCUGUAAACACUAAAUCCACGGAGGGGGGGGGGGUUCUGGAAUACCUCCAUCUGGGCACGCAUGUUUUCUAGCAAACCAACCAAUCCAGUUGCACGCUGAGAAUGGGUCACAGCAUUCUCAGUUUUACUGCGUCCAAGCUUUCUCAUCAACUUGGACCUUUUGUCUUUCUUUUUUUCUUUUGAUGGAACAAUAAGGCCUCUGCUCAUUUGAUAAUAAGGAGAAAAAUCAUUACACAAAUGAAGGAUGAAAUGAGGGAAACAAGAAAGGGAAAAACAUAUAUGAAGAAUGCAAGCACCAUAAACACCUAUGAAUUUGAACAUACAGAAACAAAUAAAGGAAAAGGUAAAAUGAGGAUAUCUAAGGAUCAAAUGAGAUUAUGAAACUUACCCUGAUGCUCCAGCACACGCCAAGAGCACUUCAUAUGCAGUUUCACGGAGGUCAUCAUCUGUGAUACCUGUGAUUAGGAAGAACCAAAAGUUAAUUGUGUUGGCAUGAAUUAAUGAUUUCACCUUCCAUUGCAAUAUAAUAGUAAAAGGCAUCAUAAUAACACAGACUUGACUCUUCAAAUAAAUAACAACAAUACAACCACCACUUUCAUAUAUCAAAAAACAAAAUGUGAUGUUCCAUGAAUCAUUCAUGAUCUUGAUGUUGUAACUAUCACAGCCCCAUCAUUCUCAUGAUUACGCUAGUCAAAUACUAGACAUCAUGAAUAUUUUUGGAAUUAGGGUAACCAUUCAGCCCAUUUCGUCCUCUUUCUUUUAUUGAUGGUUCUACUAAUUGACCCGUGAGAAUCAGCAAGGACCACCUUGCAAGGCUAAAUGCUCUUGGAUCAAGUGAAAACUCUGGGUUUCCAGCAUGCCAUUGCACAUACAAUGAGCAUUCUUGAUAUCAUGCCUUGAAUAGGAAAUCUUUUUUUUUUUCCUGUCCUCUUUCAUAAUUCUUUUCGAAGGGCAGAAUUGAAGUAUAGUGUUGAGCAAGGAAUCCAUUUUCUGAAAGAUCUUGGCUUUCAUCUCAUCAACCCUUCUAUCAGCUAAAAAUGAUGGAAAAUUUCGUGUUAACUUGUAAAUCACUGGCUCAAGAAAUUUCAAUGGCAUCCCCUAUCCUCCAAUGGCUAGUUCCAAUUUGGAUUUCUAUGGCUUUCCAGACGAGGACACCAUAAGUGCAAGCAGAAAUUGAGAUGGUCAUUCCUGCUCUUCAUCACCAUGAACUUCCACAGUCGAGCCUGCCUCUCCUCGUCACUCCUUCAAUUUAAAUAGUUCAUAAUUUAACCCAUACCCAACCCUGUCCUAAAAUAAUCAUUUGAAGUUUCUUCCAUGCAAUCAUGGGUCUAAGAAACCAUUAACCAACUAUUACAUCACUGUCAAGGUAUCUGACCUUAAACAAUCAUGCUUUAUUUCUAUGUCUUUUAAUUGCCAGUGUAAGGAAACACAGAAUUGGCAGUUUCUCUUUCCAUUUAUUUUUUUCUUGGUUUGAUUUGUUGUAGAAACUAAAAUGUAACAUAAUAUACUUUUAAACCAAUGUUACCUGUGGAAAAAGAGGGCAAUUUAGGAACAAGAUCGGCAGCAUCAUUUGGAUUGCGUCUUGACAUUCUGACACUAUCAACUACCUCGAGAUCAUCAUCAUCCUCGAAAUCUUCAAUGUCAUCAACAGUCAAUUCUCGAACUUCAUUAGAGUCAGUCAAUUCUUGAACUUCAGUGGAGUUAAAGGAUUCUGACUUUGCUACACUUGCCAAGGACACAACAGGCGACGGUGCAAAAACAGGAUUUGGCGCUGAAAUAGGAGCAGGAGGUGGUGCCCUUUUUGGAGGUGAACCUGAAGUUUCAGGUUUUGUAACCAAGAAAAACUCAUCUACUGAACCUGUAUUGUUCUGAAAAUGACAAAAUAACUCAACUUUUAAACAUAAUAUUCACUCAUAUUCUAUAUCUAACUAACAGUUAUACCAAAGAAAACCGCAGCCCAAAUUUAUCAAAAUCCAACCUCGUGCAAAGCACAUCUCAUCAUCCUAUGCAUUAUUAUCACUCAGCAAAAGAACAACAAAAUCUACCACCAUAUUCCAAACUUAAAAACCAACCACAUCAUGAAAUAACAUUACAUCAAUGCCAACAACCAAUACUAAUUACAACCCAAUAACUCUCUCAUCAUUGAAGCAAUACAUAAAAAUAUCAAAACUUACCAUAUGGGGUAAGCCGGUAUUAUCAUGGUAAUCUCUUAUAGCCUCCGAAAGUUCAAGCAUUCCACCUACAUUAUCAAAAACCCAUUAGAAAAAAACAAAACCAAACCAAAAACCACAAACUCAAAAACAAACAAUACCUUUCUUAACACAAUUGAGAACAUAAUCUACACUGACUUGGUCCAGAUCCACGUCAUCAAGUGUAACCGCACCAGGAGGCAUUACAACUUUCUUAAUUAAACUACCAGAAAGCAUAUAAUCUAGAAGAACUCUCCGGUCCCUCCUGUAUCUUUGUAAAAGCUCCAGGGCAUUUUCCCUAAUUUCAUCGAACAUAAAUUUUUUAAAAAAAACACAAGAGAGAUAUAUAAAUUAAUUAGGAAAAAACAAAAACAAAAAAACAAAUACAUACUCUUCCAUGGCCAAUUGAAGUAAUUAAGUAAAUAUCCACCACCUGAUAAAAAAACAAAAACAAAAAACAAAAUUAAAACUAAUUAAAAUAUUAAAAAAAUGCUACAUUUAAAAGAGAGAGAGAGAGAGAAGUACUUAGAUCCUGAUCUACCACUUCAAAUCUAACAAAUAGAGAAGAAAAUUAAAAAUAAAAUAAAAUAGUAUGGCCGCUUAACAGAAGUAAUUAACUUAAUUGACUUACUUAGAGGCAAUUAAUUGAUAGUGUAAUGAAGUAGUGAGAGCUACAUAACACGUAAUUAAUGAUGAAAAUUAAUUGAAGUGUUGAAUCGACCGAAGUGAUAAUUAAGAUUAGAAGACGUACUUGAUGAUUUGAUUACAGUUUUGGAUCUCUGGGAAGAAGAGAGAUGAUGUGGAGAAAGGUAAGAGUCAAUGUGAAGGUUAGAAAGGGUGUGAGAAAUGAAGCUGAAACGGUCAGUUUUGAGGGCAGCUGGUUUUUGACAUGAUUGGUUGCUUAGUGAGCGAGAUUUCUGGUUUUGAGAGAGAGAGAGGCAGAUGAGGUGAGUUGUUUAUUGUAGUUUUAUGGGUUAAUCUUUAUUUUCUUAUGUUGUUGUUUGGAUUUUACUAGUGACGUUUUUUCUUUUUCUUUUUUCCAGUGGUAAGAUCUAGACCAGCUAAGCAAGUUUAGACUCAUUUAGUAUUUUCUCAGUUAUUAUUUUUUAAAAUAUUUUUUUAUUAAAAAUACAUAUUUUUAAUAUUAGCAUAUUAAAACAAUAUAAAAAUAUAAAAAAAAAUUAUUUUAAUUAAAAAAAUUUAAAAUUUAAAUUUUUAAAACACAAAAAUAAAUAAAAUUUUAAUUUAGAAACUAAUUAAUUAAAAAUAUAGACCGGUCUAAAUUAAAAAACAAACAAGAAAAGGAAUUUACUAAGCUUUUUUUGUCAAAAAUUUGGAGAGGACAAGAUAAUAUAGAAAGCUAAUUAAUUAUUAUUUUUUUGAAAAAAUUUUGUUUUAAAACAAUAUUUUUUUUCUUAAUCUUCGCUCUUUUUUUUUUUUUUUUAUUGACCGAUAGAAAAGGUAAAUUCUUUGAAUAUGCGUGGAUGUUAAAUGUGACUAGCCUAUUUUAUUUGUAUUGAAAAAAAUUAAUUUUUUUGAAAUUAAAAAAAGUUUGAUCAGAAUUUCACUUUUCUUCUGUAAUUUUUAUAAAUUAUACUUUUUUAUCGUAUAAUUUACAUGUUCAUUAGCAUUUUAUAUCUUUAAUAGUGUAUUUUAUUUAUUUUAUUUUUAUUUUAUUCAAGAUUUAAAGUGUAAAGGUGAAAUUCAAAUAAAAUUAUGAAAGGGUUUUUUUAAUUAACCCUUUAGGUUAAUUAGUAAUUGAGAACUAUGGAUUUCAAUAUAAAAUAUAGAUUAGGUUAUAAAUAUUCACUUUCACCUAGGAGAACUCUCCCCUAAAAGGGCAUUUAUUUAGGGAUCGAGAGAGUAAUUAACUAUGACUUCGAUGAUCAUAUUAGAGGGUAGAGGCUGUAGAAGUAAAAAUUACUCUUUAAUGCUACGUUGUCUAUUUUUUGGUUUAAUGAUAUGUUAUUUUCAAGUCUAUUUCCCUUGCACCUAAAUCAAGCCUUUUUUUAUUAUUAUUUUUAAAAAAUCAUCCAUCGUUAUCAUUGAAUUCAUGAGAACAAAAAUUCAACAAACCUCCUUUGAAUUUAUUGAAGAAAAAUUCUUUACCAGGCGUAUGAAGUAAGAUUAGAACUCGUUUUUUUUUUCUAACAUGGAUAUUCGGUCAGUUUGUGUAUAUCUCGACUAAUUUCAUGAGUUCUGAAAUUAACAACCAUAUAAAUCUUUAGUAACUCUGAGAUUUAUAAAACUCAAACUGGUGAUUUCUAAAAUAUAUUUUUUUUAUUAGUAUUAACAUGGGUGUACUCUAAAAUUCAACAAACCUCCUUUGAAUUUAUUGAAGAAAAAUUCUUUACCAGGCGUAUGAAGUGAAGAGUAAAACUCGUCAUUUUUUUUUACUAACAUUGAUGUUUCGGCCAGCUUAUGCAUACAUCGAGUAAUUUUACGGAUUUUAAAAUUUAAUAAUUAUAUAAGUUUUCAAUGAUCCUAAAAUUUAUAAAACUCGAACUCCUAACCUCUAAAAUACUUAAAUAUUUUUUUUUAUUAAUGUGGGUGUUCGGGUCAGCUUGCACGCACCUCGACUAAUCCCACGGACCCUGAAAUUAACGACUAUGUAAACUUCAAGUGGCUAUUAUAUUAGCAACCACAUGGUUCGAAUAUAAAAUCACAAGGAAAGCAAAUUUUUUAAUUCCAAACUCUUACCAUUAAUCACCCUACCAGAUGAUUAAAUACUCUAAAAUAUUUGAACCACCUUCUCAUGGAUGACAAUGGGAUCCGUUUUUAUUUACUAUUUUAGAUAAUUUACGUCUGCUUUGUUUAAUUUUUUUUUAAUUGUUUCGAGCCACAACGAAGAAUGCUUAAGCAAAAUUCCAAACACAAUAAAAAAAAAACCACAGCUGCACAGAGUUUGCAGAAUCUUUAAAGAAUUGGUCUGACUUGAGAUGCGAAAGGAAUGCCUUAAAACUGUUUGAAAAAAAUAAAAUUAUAAAUGAUAUAUAAAUCGAGUAAAAAAUACUACUUUGUCUAGAUUAAAAAAUAAAAGUAAAAGAGAGUUCACAAACUUGUAUCAAUAAUUUUAAAAUCCGAUAAAUUAAAGUAAGUGGAUGAAAAGCAUCAUCAAGAUUUAAUUCCUAAUGUUUUAUGAAUAAAUAUUUUAAUUAUUUUUUAAAAAAUCAAUAAAGUAAAAGUUAGAUUUUAACCGAGUUAAUUAAUUUUUUUUAACUUAAACCAAUCUGAAUUUUUUAUACGGGUUUUAUAAAUAUGUUUGUUGGUGGGUUUUUGUGCAGCAAAAGUAAUAUAUUCAAAAUUAAUAUAUUUUUAAUAUUUUUAAACCAUUUUAAUAUAUUAAUAUAAAUUUUUUUUUAAAAAAUAUUAUUUUAAUAUAUUUUUAAAUAAAAAAAACCACAUUUUCAAAUAUAUCCUGAUUUAUUUAAAGUGGAUUGGUUACUUUUUUACAGGAAAGGCUGUGGACAGUUAAGUCCUUUCCAAACUCCAGACCAAACAUAUCAGUCCUAGAUAUCUUAAAUUUCUUAAUCAUAUCUUGAAUUCAAGGCAUAUUUCAUAUAAAUAGAAAACAUAAUUAUAUUAUUGUCACAGCCAUUGUUAGAUCAUCUUGUUUUUAUAGGUACCUCGGUAAUUUUUACACCAGCACUCUAUUCUUAGUGUAAUAGUUUAGUUAAACAAAGACUUAUGAAGAUUAUUUUUAAUAUAUUUUAGUUGUUUUGUAUAUUAUUAAGGUAGUGUCUAUAAGUGUUAUUGUUUUUUAAAGUAUUUUUAACUUGAAAAUACAUAAAAAUAAUAUUUUAAAAAAAUUAUUUUUAAUAUCAACAAAUUAAAAUGAUUUUAAAAUAAAAAAUAAUUUAAAACAAAAUAUUUUUUUAAAAAUCACAAAACACGGUGUCAACCACAAAAACAAACAACUCCUGAAAGCAUAGACAUAUGUUUUUUUUUAAUAUAUAAAACCAUAUUAAAUGUUAAUUAUAUAUUUGCUAAUGUUUCUUCUUUGUUAUUAAUGUAAUUGAGUAGUUUUUUUUAACAGAUCACUAUGUGAAUAAUUCAUUUAAAACUCGAUAAAAAAAAGAUAUAAUUUCAAUACAUAAGAAUUUAUUAAAUAAAUAUUCUAAUUAUCAAAAAAAUAAUUAGAUUCUCAGUAUUUAUAAUCUAAGCAAAUAUCUUACUGGUCUAUUUUCCAUCAAUCUUGAUAUAUUACCAGCUCUCAACUUUCUUUUUGCAAAUUAACUAUUCAAAUAUCUACCAAAUUUUAACAGAAUUUUUUUUUAAAAAUUCAAUAUUUUCGAACAAUUCUUUUUCUCAAUCGAAUAACAUGAGAUUUUUGUAAGAAAUUACUUGGAGUUGAUGCCUCUAACAAGAGAAACUUGGACAAAUACAUGGUGCUCUUAGAGGGACUUGAUCAGAAAUUUCUUUAAUUCUAGAGAUCUAAUUGACUUUUAUUGUCUUCCUAAAUGAGACUUUUUGAAUCUUUGAGGGACUAACUUGGAGUUUACUCUUGAAAAGUUUCUAAAGCGAAGCACAUUGCUCACAAGUGAAGUGUGACUUGUGAGUGAGCUAGGGUUUAUAUCGCAGGGUUUAGCAAUACCCCUCCGCAUUCCACUAGCCAUUAUCCUCUCUCUCACUCUCCCCCUCCUUCACUCUCUCAUUCAGCGAACAGCACAAAAUCAUGGCAAGUAACGACCAAACAGAACUCAACAAAGCUGAGAAAUCAGUUAUCGAGCAAGAAUCCGAUUCAGAAUUCGAAGAAGAAAACGAAGACUGGGACGAUUGGGGAGAAGACGACGACAAUGACGGUGGAGAAAACGACAAGCCUUUCAUGUGUUUGUUUCUUGAUUCACAGUUCAGUUCUUGCAGUGAGUUGUUCGAGCACUGUCGUUUGGCUCACAAGUUUGAUUUUGAUGGGAUAAGGAAGGAACUGGGCUUGGAUUUCUACGGUUCGUUUAAGCUAAUCAACUAUGUCAGGUCUCAGGUUAGUUGGUUUUGUUUGACGGGUUUUGAUUUUUGAGUUUGGUUUUGAUCUGGGUUUUGUUUUGUUUGCUUUGUUGUUGAGAAAAUAGGGGGAAAUGACAGGGAGUGAAUGUUUAAAAAGUUAGAAUCUUUAGGCUGAGUUCUUGUAGUUUUUCUAGGAAUUUGAGUGUUAACGUUGGUUUUGAUAUGGAUUCUGUUUGUUGCCGAGGAAUUGUAUAGAAUGGAAAGAAAAAUUAUUGUCUUUUGGUUUAUUUUUUAUAGUUUCCGUGUAGCCUAGUGUAUAAUUUAUUUCAAUUCGAGCUGUAUAGUAAUCUCUAUGCCUUCUGUUGUGGUUACUGGGAUAAAUAACUGGAAAAUGAAUUCAUUGUUUAUAAAAUAAAAGUUAUCAGUGGAUCAUAUUUUAUAUUUUUAUGUGGUGUUACGCUUUUAUCACAUUGAAAAGCUUCUACAAUACUAAUUAAAUUCUAAUAUCUUUGCCCGUGUUUAGCAAUGAUUUUAACUCAAUGCCUUGUAGUUAAAUACUACGAGGUUAAGUUUAACUAGUGCAGUUUUUUCAAGAAUUUAAAUGCAAAUUCGCAAGGUAAAACAACUUAUGGCUGGCUGGAAGGUAGUAAAUUUAUAUACUGUGUGAUGUUUUCAUUUACCAGGUGGCAGAAAAUAGAUGUUGGAGUUGUGGGCUUGCCUGUCAAUCCCACCAAGAUAUACAGAAUCAUGUACAUGAAACAGUAAAGUUGAAAGACAUUAAGCCUUUGUGGGAUGAUGAUAAAUAUUUGAAACCUUUCAUGCAAGAUGAUCCGCUACUGUACAGUUUCAAUGAAGAUGAAGAAGGUGAAGAUAAUCAUAUGACGCUGGAUGACCAAGAGGAGCUAAUGAGGGAUUUGAGGAAUAUUGAUGAGAUGUGCAUUGAAGAUACCGACACGCUAGAAAAAUCUGCUCAUGGCUAUGGAGUAAAUGGAGCAAAAGAGGUUGCUUCUACUUCCAGCAGCCAUGAGAACGUGGGAAAUUCUUCAAAGAUGGAAAUGGUUAACGGAGAUUCUGAAGAACGUGUUGGUUCGUCAGAUGGAAAGCCAUCGGAUAAGCAUUCAAAAGUUUCUCUUAUGAAUCUUGUUGAUAAGGAUAUCAAGAAAGCCAAUGCAAAUUAUUUUGGGGCUUACAGUUCAUUUGGUAUACAUAGAGAGAUGAUAAGCGAUAAGGUAUUGAGCCUUUAAUUGUGUUAUUUCAUGCCGGGGGUUGGUUGGCUUGAAAUGUGCAAGUUGAUUGGGGGUUCUGAGUAUCACUAUUUUGCAUGAAGACACUUAUAUUCUUGUUAUGCAGGUUAGGAUGGAUGCUUAUAGUCAAGCUAUCUUGAAAAACCCUUCUCUCAUGACUGGUGCAGUUGUGAUGGAUGUAGGUUGUGGAACUGGCAUAUUAAGGUGAGGUGGCAGUGGCAAUGUGGUUCUUGUUUCUAUGCUCUUAUUCAUCUUAUUUUGUUCGCACCUUUCGUUUAUUUUAGAGACAUUUGUUAAAGCUAGUCUUGACCAUCGAUAAAAUCUUGAAACUCAAUGCUUCACUUCUUAUAUUGCAUGAGUUUUUGGGAUAGAUGUAUAUGCUGUUAUGCACGUGCAUAUUGCAAAUUUCUUUUAUACUUUUCUUUUUUCUGAUAUUGCUAAAAUUCCUUAAUUCCACCUUGCUCUGAUUUCUAACAUGUCUCAAUGUUAUCUCUACCUAUUUCCUGAGAUGAUUUAUUACAUUAUGCUUCAGAGAAGUCCUUUGGCAACAUCACAGACUUCUCCUAGCACCUCCUUAAACAAAAUUAACAAAAUGAAAGGGCUUAAUACAUUAAAAUGCUGCUUUGGCUUAAUACUGCAUGCUUUGGUCUUUAAUGUUUUCUGGCUAGCUUUUCCAGUGAAGUGGCUUUGGCCUUUGAGAUGUUAGUGAACUUAGCUAGUGGUACCAGAAUUGUUGGAUUGAAUCCAAUCUCCCGUAGGGAUUGGGAGUUUAAAGCAUGAAACCCCUGCACUUUAUAGGAUUUUUUCGGCCAUGGACUGGUCUAUCCAGCACUUGCAAAACCACCCCAUAUCUGAUUUCACCAGCACCCUGAAAAGAGUAGAAGAAGCUACCCUUGUUUGGCUUGCCAGAAAAUAUCUGACCAUGUGGGUGGCUACUAUGCAAUGUUUGUGUAUGCUUGCUUAUACAUGAAUGAUUGGAACAGAACACCCUUGUAUUCAAUGAUUUUUUUAAACAUUUCAGAGUACAUCAGGAUCUUACUUGAAAUUCUUUUCUUUUCUUUUUUUACAGUCUCUUUGCUGCCAAAACAGGGGCUUCAAGAGUAAUUGCAAUUGAAGCCAGUGAGAAGAUGGCUUCUGUGGCAACUCAGGUAUGUUUUUCCGUUGUUUAAUUUAGUUCAUUCCUUCAUUACCUCUAGUAGUUCUUUGCUUCUCAUUUCUUUGGUAUGCAUAAUUAUAGAUUGCAAAAGAAAAUGGCCUUUGGCGGUGCACUGAAGGCAAUAACCAGUAUACUGGAGUGAUGGAGGUAGUUCAAGGUAUGGUUGAAGAGAUUGAUAAAUCCAUACAAAUUAAACCGCACAGUGUCGAUGUAUUGUUGAGUGAGUGGAUGGGGUACUGCCUACUUUAUGAGACAAUGCUGAGCUCAGUGCUGUUUGCCAGAGAUAAAUGGUUGAAGCCUGGGGGUGCCAUCCUCCCUGACACAGCGAGUAUUGUGAGUUCUUAAAUCUUUUUUUCCCUCAACUGCUCGUCAGAUGUUGAUUAGGGGUUUAUAGUCCGAACUCAUUUUCAUCUCCUUGACUGACUUCUUCAGUAUGCUGCUGGAUUUGGAAAAGGUGGCACUAGUCUUCCAUUCUGGGAAGAGGUGUAUGGUUUCAAUAUGUCUUGUGUUGGCAAGGAACUUGUUCAGGAUGCUGCUAAAUUUCCUAUUGUUGAUGUUGUGGAUGAGAAGGAUUUGGUGACUGAUGCUGUGCUUCUCCAGGUUAGUUAUAUACUUAAUAUUUCUACAGUUGCUUAUCUUGAUCUGUGACUUAGUGUAUGUGAUUCUCAAUAUUGCAUUGCCAGGGAUGAAGCCAUCUUUGCAAACAGCUUUAAGGUUUUUUAUACCUGUGAAUUUUUAGGUUAGAAAAUACAGAUCUCCUGCUUGUCCUUAUCGGAAGGUCAUGAUGAUGAGGACUCAAUAAUCAGCAAUUGUAGCUAAUGGAUGAUAGCCAAAUGAUUCAUUCUAAAAAUUCUUGAAUCUGGUGUUGGUUUUGUUGAACUUUUCUGAACCUUUGUUUUGUAUUCAAGUCACAAAACAUCCCAAAAAGUUGUCUUUUUCCUCAGUUUCUUAAAUUAAUGGCACUUUAUACAUGGUUGAACAUAUUUUGAAUCUUCAGAACUUUAUGAAUUUGGAAAGAUGCCUGCACUCCAAUUUUUCAAGUUGUCUGAUCCUUUCCAAGGAUAGUUCUGUAAUUACUUUGGAGCUUGUCGCCCAUAUUUAUGUUGCAUACUGUGUUUUGGUACAAUGAUUGCAUAAUGACUUGUCUUCUUCUUCAGACUUUUGACUUGGCAACCAUGAAGCCCGAUGAAGUGGAUUUCACUGCAAGCAUUGAGUUGGAACCAAAGUCGAUCUGUCUGGCAAACAACUCCACUGAAUUGACAUCUAAAACAACCUGGUGUUAUGGUGUUGUGUUGUGGUUUGAUACUGGUUUUACCCCAAGGUUCUGCAAAGAAACUCCAUCUGUUUUGUCUACAUCACCAUAUACUCCAAAAACACAUUGGUCCCAAACAAUUUUCACCUUCCUUGAGCCAAUAGCAAUGGCACCAGGAAAACCCUAUGUUGACAAAUCCGCAGCUGUUGGCACAGAUGCAUGUCCUGCCUCAAGAAUUCAUCUACGCAUCAGCAUUGCCCGUGCUGUCGAACACCACCGCAGCAUUGACAUUUCAAUUGAAACUUCUGGAGUUGACCUUGAUGGACGGAAACGCUGUUGGCCAGUGCAGAUAUUCAAUCUAUCUUAAGAGCAACUUCAGUGGAUCAAAUUUUAUAUAACACUAUCUAGCAAAUCAUUAGCUAGCAUGUCAUGGCCAAUGUGGAUCAGUUUUGUUUCAUCUGAUCUGUUGUCCUGCGAAGAAAUUUUGUGAUGCCUAUCGCAAGUGCCAUUAUGUCAAUUGGCUCUAGUUUUUUGUCAAGUAUCCUUUGCAGAAUAUUAGCUGUUAAAUUUAUUUUGUUGUUUCAUCCAAUGUAUGAAAUGCUUUUUGCCAUUCAACUAUGCCCCCCACCGGUCUCUAACACAGCUACAUAGCUAUCAAACCUGGCUUGACUGAGGCUUGAUUCCAAUCGUGUUGACAAUUGACUUGUGAUCUCAAGCAACCUGGCAAGGUUUGAACUUACCUGGCUAGACCAGAUUCAGGCAUGAUCUAGUUUUAUUUUAAUUUUUUUUUUAUGUAAAAUGAUAUAUUUUAAUUUUUUUUCUUAGAAUGAUUUCAUUUUAGUUUUUUUUUAAGAAAAAUAAAACCGAAACAAUGUUGUUUUGAGAUUGGUCCAUGGAAUGCCUUCUUAUGCAAACAAAACCCUAAUUCUAAGCAGAAAUCUCAAGAGUAAAGUGAAUGUUGUUACAAAUGCUAGUGAUUCAUUCACCUGAACCUGCACUUUUACAAUAUCCCCGUCUAUUAUCUUUGAUAGUAGGUGCAUUGGUGGAAGUCAAAAUUCAUCAGCCAUUCUUGUUUUCUUAUGCCAUGUUAUCAUUUUUGCUAAUAGCAAUAUUUUUAUGCCUCACAGCUCGAGAAUGGUCAGUUGCUCACAAUUCCUCCCUAUCUAGUGAAAAUACAAAGACAUCAUCUCCAUCAUUUGGAACAGUAUGGGGCUGACCUGAUACUUGGAUGCAAGCUUGGGUUCGUUUGGGUUGGUGAACAUGUCAAGGCCAUGGACAGUACUACUAUAGAGGAUCAACUAAACAAUACCGAACAACAACUCAUCAAAUACAAGACAACUUCCAAAGACAUGCUGCAAGAGCCGAGGCAGAGCAGAUGUCGGAUAGCAAAUGCUAUCCAUGUCUUGUCAUCUUUAGGGUUUAGUCUAACUUUAGAAGUGAUAAUGGAGACUAUCGACCUGAGCAGCGCACUAAAUCUUGGAAUAGAUGAGAUGCUAAGGUCAAAGUUACAUGUUUUGGAUGCAGAGAGAGAAGCUGAAUGGCGCAAUUCGAUGACAAAAUGAUGUUUAACAAUGAAACAAAAGAAUUAAAGCAAGAAAGAAAGAAGAAAAAAGUUAAAAAUUAAAAAAAAAGAAAAAAAAAUGAGGAUUAUGAAAUAUGCAAUUUUGUAAUUUUUAUUUAAUUUAUCAAAACUAUCUCACAAAAUAAAAUAAAAUAUAUAAAUAAUAUAACCUUAAAACAUCUUAUUAUCAGGCUCAGCUCAUUAAUUUAAAUUAUUUAACAUAAAUAAUUCAAAUAAAUAAAAUAAAUAAUAAAAUAAACUCAAAUGAGUUUAGUCUCUCAAUCAAAAAAAAUAACAGGCUUUAUAUCGUUUCUAAUUAUAUACUACAAAAUAAAAGGGAUGACGCUAGCUAUCAUUGGAAACCCAAGUUUCCCUAGAGUUAUCUUUUUCAUGGACUUCGAGAAUUAGGAUGGAUUGUGCUGUAGAGAAAGAUGAUUUGUACAGUUAACAAAAUCGUUGCUCAGAACCAGAACAUUUCAUCCUUGUCAAUCUUGAUCUUUCAUGUUUGUUUCAUUGAUACAUUAUAUUUGAAAUACCUCACAUCAAUUAUAUCAUUUUUUUAGCAUGCUAGUAGCCUGCCAUAAUCAGAAACUGAAGGUUCCGGAUAAAAAUAUAUCACAGCUAGAUGAUGCUACAAAUAUUAUGUUGGUGAUUUAGGAGUUUUUUUUAUGAAGCAGGACUAGAUAAAAAAAAAAAAAAUCUGGUCACUCCAAACUAGCCUCAUCUAAAAUAUAAUUUUGAUUCGAUUAUGGGAUUAUAUUUAAAAUUUCUCAAGCCUAUUUUAACAAAGAAUCACUUUUUCAAUCCAUUCAUAGUUCAUAUUUCUUUAAAUUAGGCCCUGUAGAUGUUGUUCGAUUCAAUUUUAUUAUUUUUUCUUGAUUUUUUUAGAUUUUGUUUUGUUUUUUUUAGAUUUUGUUUUGUUAUUUUUGGAUUUUAAGCUAUCUUUCCUCAAUAUUGUAAGAUUCUGAUUUUUCCUACUGUGUUUUUAUAUAUAUAUAUAUAUAUAGACCUGUAAACCUCUUAGAAAUAUAAACUUAUCACAUUAUUAUUUCAGAAAUAAAAUAAGAUUUUAGAAUUCCAGCCUAUAUUUUUUUUCCAGUUCUGUUUUUCUAUACUUGCUUCUAUCUUUGUUAUGCUUCAACCUGCAUCAAAUAACCUAAUCUAGAAAAUGCAGGGGAGAGUAUAAAAUGUCUGUUGGUAGAGUGUACUGAUUCACCUUUCAGUCUUGUAAUUCCAGCCUGGAAGAAUUUGAUACGGUUACACAGCUAGUUAGGAAAUUGAACUUGUCUUGAUUUGCAACGAAUCUUUAUAUAUAUAUAUACAAUUUUCUUUUAAUAGUAGAUAUUACAAAAAAUAGAUAACACUAACGAAAGGGUUUGGUUCAAAGACUGUUGAUGGAUCUGCAUGGCAAAGGCGUUGGCAUGUGUUCAAGCAAAACAGCAUGGAAGGAUUGGCAGAAGAGAUGCAGUUUCAAGCAGAGGAAACACUGGCUAUGCUAAGGACAAAAAUGAGUUGCUGCAAACAAAAAGGUGUGCAAGGAGACAUGCUAAGGAGGACUGGCAGCACAUAAAGGCCCGUCUGUUAAAUAGAGGUGGCAUGUGUUCAAACUCGAGGAACUGUUGAGAGUUAACUUUCUUGCAUCAGUGGAUGGUUCUAGUGAUAGUACUAAAUUGAGAGCUUCACAUAAACAGUGUGUAGAACUAAAUUGCCUUUUGCUAGCUGAAAAUUCUAUCAUGAGAUCUUCUGCGAAUUCCAACUCCCAAGUAGUCCAAGCCGAACAGAAUGAAUGAUGUCCCUAACAAGAUCUUCCUCAACAGCAGCUGUUGCGCCAUGGUUGCUGCAUUUCUUUCAGUUACGGGAUAGUUAGGCUGAGUUCCAUUCUUAAAUUCCUUUCUUUACAUAAGUAGAAGUUUGCAAUGAGCUCAAAAUUAUGCUGUAGGUAGAAGGCACUGAAUUCUAGGCAAAGAGUUUCUGUCCUCAGCAUCUCUGGAAUUCCUCAAGCCAAAAAACAAACUACGUAGCUUCUCAACCGCCUUAAGAUAUGGAUAGAAGUGCAGAAAUGGGAAGUGGCGUAAGAGUCAUAGAGAAUCCAAUGAAACUGCAACACCCACCACAUCCUUCCAAUUCAAUGAAACAGAGCAUGGGAGACAACAUAAUUUAACCUACGAGAAACUUAAAUAACAAUGAACUUAACUGAACCAGUUCGAGAGAAACAACUACUGAAGUUAGCAGUGCCAAAAUCUACAACGCCAUAUUUGAACAAUUUAACCAUCUGUUCGAUAAAAUAGAUUGCAAGGUUAAAGAGUGAGAAUGCACACACAAACAUGCACAAACAAACCCUAGCCGUCUAGGUGGCUAGGAUUAUUACCUCGGGACUAAACAAUUCACUAAAUUACUGAAAGAUCUACCAGUACAAAAACUUGAAUAUCUGGGCACCAAGAACUCAAAAGUUUAGGUAGAAAACGAAGCAUAACAAUAAAAUAAUUUUACCCGUGCUACCCGUGCUAAUUAUUUCUAUAAAGAGAACCGAUUUUAUGAGGCUAUUAAUUUGUCAUCAUAUAUGGACACCAAAUGAACUACAGUGGUGGUUCCUCUUCAGCAUUAAUCUUCGACAUUCAACUACGAUUCAUAUGGCAGGAACUUGGUUAAUGAUGCCUGACUCCUAGUCUCAUUUGCUAAUUGCGCACCAUACACACACAACAAGAGGAAUACCAGAAAACAUUUUGCGGAAAGAAUGCAGAUUGAGACUUUUAAAUCGGUGUUGAUUUCAAUCAUCAAGGAGCCAAAUAAUGGCAUCUGAUCAAGGCUAUCAAAAGAGUGAUGGGCAGAGGUGCAUCUAACCAGAGUGUCUAAACUCUGAUGUAUUUUAUCACACUCCUGCCAAAUUGUUGCAAUGAAUGAUGACUUUUUUAUUCAAAAUUAAAUUCAUAACUGCCUUACUCCAAAAAAAAAAAAAAAUACCAAAGUAUUUGCUUAACAACACAGGGAAAAAUGACAAAAGCUAGGAUUCUACUUGAAGUCACUAUAUCCUCCCAACAGAGGAAACUUGGCCAAGGUUUUCCUAGAAUCAUGGAAUAGUUUGGCUACACUAAUAAAACACAUAGCCAGGAUUGGCACAUAUAAAAUGUAAUCAUUGGUUGCACAAUUUGAAAAUACAGCCACGGUAAAAUAAGCGAAGAACAAAUACCUCUUAAUUCAGGAGCAAAGGAAAAUCAAUUUAGACAACCGGUACAUAUUAUUACAAUGCAUUGCAGAAGUAAACUUAGUCUGCCAUCAAGAUUCCAUCUUUUUUGCCUUGCUGAUACCACCAUAUAUUUCCAAUAAACCUGUCACCUUGUCUGCAUAUUUAGUAACAUACUUUUCAAGGAAAUCUCUAUCACUAAUGCGGGUUACUGCCCGCACAAUCUUCUCAUCUUCUUUAACCAGCUUCUUUGACACCAAAACCUUCAAAACAUUAUGCCUGGGACGAAGCCUUCUAUCAACCGAAUAUGACAAAUACUCGGGACAUGUAAUUAUAGCUUGUGGUUCUAACUUUAAAGUAUUCACAAAGAAAUCCAACGAUUUUCUGAUUUUCUCCUCUGAGCAUGCUAAUAGAUAAGGGUAUCGUUUAAAAGCCACAAUAAUCUCCUCUUCACUCCAUCCAAGGCUCUUCAUAACCUCAAUUUUCUUCCUCCAAUUCGACUUACUUAUGGAUAACAUUACCUUAGCAGCAUGUAGAAACACAGGAGUCUUGGGUUCAACACCCAAAUUCUUCAAAGCAUUCACUGCAUAAACCAUCCUAUCAUGCUUAACCAGUAUCACUCUUGCAUGCAAACUUAGUAGUUUUGCAACCCUAUCAACAUGCAUUCCCUCUUUUAUCAACAACUCAAUAUUUGGCUGCACAGCACCCUUGAAACUAAAAGACAUUAAAAAAGGCGCACGCUUUAAGGCAACUACAAUUCUGUCAGGACUGCCCAGAAAUAACUUGAGAAGCUCAAAACAUGGUUUAAGAUGAGAAUCUACAGCCGCUGACAAAAUAUUCGGAUCGGAGGCGAUAAGCUGAGGCAGAAGCUUACCCGUGAAACCAUUUUUAACGAAGAAGUCGAAUUUGGGCUUCAAAGUGUCGUCUACUCCGCUAUGGAGGAUUUUGGGUCGCUUUUCAAUUAAUUGGGCGAUGUGGGAAUCGUCAAAUCCGUGAGAUUUCAAGAAGAGGAGCACAGAUUGUGGUUUUUGGAGCUUAUUUUGUUGGAGGUGGAGCUUGUGGGAAACUGAAAGGGCAGAUUUUGAGGAAAGCCCACAUGAAUUCAUGAGGAAAUGAACAUCAAAUGAUGAUGAAGAUGAAGCAUUGGUGUUGGUGGUGGUCCUGGUGGGUGGAAGUAGAGCAUCAGCAGAUGAUGUUUGGAGACAUCGUUUUUGUAUAAGAGAAAGCAGCAGCUGCAGGUUUUUCUUUCUAGCGGCCAUUACUUUUUCCAAAGAACAAAAAAUGUCUCUUAAAGAAAAUGACAGACAAAGAAAGAAGGAAAACUGACUGGAGACUGAGGUGAUUAUCGCAGGUUUUAGGGUUCAGGGAAGAAAGGAGCAAAGCAGUUCGGCCCGAUUCAUGACCUAGCUUUAAACCUGAAUUAUAGAUUAAACGGCUAAAUAAAUUUAAAAUCACAUCGUUUUAUUUUUUAAAAUAAUAAAAACAAUUUUGUUUUUAAUUUUUUUAAAAGUUAAAUUAAAUUUUCACCGGAUAACCAUGUUUAAUUAGAAAAACUCUCACUUAUUUUUUUUUAAAAUCCAAUCCAUACUAGAUCUCUAUUCAAUUGGAUAGACUAACCCUAGAUUAAAAAAAGAAGAUACAGCUCACAAUAUACUUCAAAAUUUUCAUAUAAAUAUCAAUUUUACACUCAAAUUAUUUUAUACAUUAAUUUUAUUCUUAACUAUUUUGAUUUUUUUAAUUAAAAACUUAUGUUAAAUCGCUCAAUUAAAACAUUAAAUUCCUUACGAAUAGCGAUGUCUAUUGUAUAUAUAAAAAAGCAUGACAUGGAUAGAUUGAAAGAUUAAGAAUAAAUGGAAAAUUUUAAUUAAGAACUUAUAAAAGUUCGAAAAUAAAAUUAAUAAAAAAUUAUUGAAUGACAAAAUUGAAGUCGAAUUUAAACCUUUUGGUGCUAGAAAACAUAAAUGACAAUGCUCCUUCAUGAUGUCCGAGGAAAAAAAAUGGAUUGGUUCAAAGGAUAUUAUUUGAAAAAAAAAGGAAAAAAAAUUAACAUAAAUUUAAUCUAAAUUAAUUCAAAAUAAUAUUAUUUUAAAUAUUUUAAAAAAUUUAAAAGAUAUUAUUUUAAAUUUUUUUAUAUAAAAAGUCAUGAUGAUUUAGAUUUUAUUAGAUCAAUUUCCAACUAGUUUUUAAUUAAUUCGAGUUAAUAUUAAUCAAAUUGGAUUUAAUAACACUGUUUUCGGCUCAUCUUGUGAAUUGGGUCUUGAGUAACAAUUCGAGAUACUAAAUCUUGAACCCAGAUUUCUAUGUGGGCUGGGGCUUUACAAUAUGCUAUUAAGAAUUACCGAGUUAGAGGUCCUGUCUGCCUAACCGUUACUAACAGCCAAAGAUUCUUCCCGCCAAGACCCUCUCUAUAAAGAUUAACCAACCUUGACCAUCCAUCAUUCUGAGAUAUCUGCUUUCUUUCUCUCUUCCUUGCUCUUUCAAGAAAAUUUGUACUAGUUUCUUUAUUUCAUCUUCUGUGCUUCAAGCAUGGAUGGAAAUAACAAUGUAAGAGGUUAUUCUGAUCGAGAUCCCACCCUUCUCAUGGAAAGAGGAUCACUAUUCUUCUCUCAAGGCUGCUAUGCUGAUGCUGCUAAUUGCUUCAGGCAUGCUCGUGAUGCCAGGUAAAGUUUCUUUUCUCUGUUCUUAUUCUUUAGGUUUCUUCAUGCCUUUUUGAGUUAUUUUAUGUAUUUAGUAUAUCUGCUUUCUUAGUUGUAGUAUUUGUUUUCUUGUUGUUUGUUUCCUGAGAAAGUGGGUGCUGCGUGUGAGAUUCUGAGUCUUUUGGGUUCUUGUCCUUUAAGUUUUCAACUCACCAAAAUUUCUUGUAUUGGUUAAAUUAACUAAGCUAUUAACGGGGCAAAAUUCUAUGUGAAUAGUCUGCUAUGUGCGAGCUCUUCUAUUUAUUGUUUAACCUUUCUUUAUUCAGCAUUCGAAUUCAUGGUCGAUCUUCUUUAAAAUGCGCCAUUAGCCGCUAUAGCCAUGGCCUUUCCUUGUUGUGUCAAGUUCCAGUUCCAGUUCCAGAAAAUGAUCCAAUGGCUCUUCUACCAAAGGAAGUCGAUUACUAUAAAAGUUCAGUACUUCCAUUUCCUAGUUCUGCUUUCGGGACAUAUAGAGGUCAGUUCUUGCCCUUAUAAAUAUCAUCUAAUUCUUACUUUAUCAUGAUCAAUGUAUUAAAAAGCACACACAUGUGUGCGCUUGCUUGCUUGCUUUAGUAUAAUCCGUUUUCUGGCUCUUAAAUUGAUCCAAGUUCAUGAUCUCUUAUUAUAGACUCUGGACAUCAAGUUUUAGUACUGCUCUCUCUGGUUAUAGCACCCACCAAUCUUUUUAAGUUUCUAUCAGAUUUUCAUUAGAGAGGUAGAUGCAGCAAAAGCCCUCUGUGUAUAAAAUUAAUGAAUUCUGAAGUAUUAGUUGAAUGUAAUUUGACAAAAAAGGAUGAAGAGUCCUUGCAUGUUCCAAAACUAUCAUAGAAUUUUGUUAGAAAGUGCAUGAUGUCUCAUCAGCUUACAUUUUGUGGCUCUUGAAGUUAAGUUAGGUAGAUUUUUCCAUUAAAAGAAUCAGCUUAACUCAUCUGGUUAUGUGAAAUUUGUCUGGAACAACUAACUCCUUAGGUUUAUGUUCUUGUUCAUGUUAAAAGGGGCAAUGGAGGAGAAUUACGUAAGAAUUCUAGAGGUUGCAAAGGGAGAACUAAAUCUUGCAUGGUCGCUUAUGGAAUAUCGAAUAGACAACUACUUACUGAAAGGAAACGUACUGUCUGCCCUGGGGGAGGUUGCACUCAGAAGAGGUUUGCGUUUGCUUCGUAAUAUCUUCUUUUCACGAGAAAACUUUUAUCUGCAAUAUGCUAAAGGAAUAUAUUAAUUAAAUCACACUUCCUGCUCUACAUUUUGAAGGGGAGUCAAACCCUCAGCGUUACUAUUUCGAAGCAUCGUCCAUUUUCGAUACUUGGCUUGGAGAAAACAAUAAGCGAGUAGCGGAUAUGUAUCCAUUGCCGGUUAAUUUGGUGUAGAAUCUCAUUGACAAUUACCUUAUGUGUUAUUGUUUUCAUCUAUAUCAAAUGUCACACCUACGUUCUAAUUGAUCACAUCCUUGCAUCAGAAUCUAGAUAUGUGAAACUAAUAAUCUGCCUGGAGGGUAGUGACGAGAGUAAAGCGCUUGCACAUGGUUGUAAGGCUUAUUUAAUAUAUGAUGCUCUACACAAGAAGCUAUUAUCUGAAAUAGAUUCGGUGACACGGACAGCAAAUCAGAGAAGAGGAUUAAGUUCUGUAACACGAACGGAUCCCUUUAUUCAGCUAAAGAACGAUGAAGCCACACACCUCCGUAAUAACUUACAAAUACUGGGUCACAAGGCAAGUUCUUAUGAGACACAUUCUCUAUUUGUACUCUUUACAAGACAAGUAAGCUGAAUCUUUUGUCUUUCUAUUUUUGAAGCUUCAACGUUUGGGUUUAGGCCCAUCCCUCUCACUACCCCAGGAAAGAACUCGGGUCACUCCAGCUGGUCACAGAUGCGCAAAAGAAAAAGUCGAAAUUAACACAAAUCUUGAACUCUGAGAAACAUUUUGAUAACUAAAAACUGAUCUGCCAAUUGAUUCUCUGAAACUUUCUUUGUUUGGUUAGAUGUGGAUACGGUUUCGUGGAAUCCCACCGUGAGCAAUGUCAGAUUUUUCACAUUUUUAGCCGUGGGAAUUCAACUGCCACCCAGAACUUUUAAUAAAUCUGUCCCUGCAUAAAUCCAUUGGUUUAUGGAAUUUAUAAUGUGCUGCUUCUUGCUCGGUGGAUAAUUUUCUCUUUGCUAAUUGGAAAAGGGAAAAAACAAAACUAUGAAAAUAGAUUGUGAUUGCAGAUAAAAAAAAAACAAAUUCAGGAAAAUUGUCAUCUGAAAUGAUCAGUGAAACAUCUCUGCUAAUUAAGACUUCAUCUCAAAGCAAUCACGAAAUGUAGGCUUUCUCUUGGCCUGUCGACCUUUGUUGCUGGGUAGGCUGGCUUGCUCAGCUUCUGUUGGAGACUUAUCUAGACAAGCGUGGGUCAUGUUGAUGGCCUCUAGUCGCUUCAUUUUUUAGGUACAUGGCUUCAUUUAUUUAGGGAUGAUAAUUUCACGUUAACCUAGUGGAAACCGACCCAAACCACCCCAAAUGAAUAGGAAUUUCAUAGCCCUGAUGGAAAAUAAAUAAAUAACCUCAAAGUUUUAAAAAAAUAAACGAAUAUAAAGCUACUUAUUAACUAAAUAAUUUUAAAUUAUAGCUUUUAUGUUCAGGUUUCGGGUUUGGGUCAAGUUCGAGUUAUAGAUAUAUAAUGGGUACCCCAAACCUGAUUGAGUCAGGUUCGGGAAUAAAAAACUCAUACCUGGUUAGAUUUGAGUCAAAUUUGGAUAGUUAUUUCAGAUUCAAGUUUAAAUAUGAAUAGUAUAAAACCUCAUUCAUUGCCUUACCUACAUUUAUUGUAAUCCUUUACUACAUCACUUUAUGAUUAGUUUAAUGGUGCAUAAAAUAAAUAAAUAAAAUCCUUAGUCAUUCGAGUCAUGCCUAAAUGGUUAGAAGCCUAAAUGUCCAAACACCUUUUAGGGAUGAUAGUUUAAUCAAAUAUUUUUGGACUUUAAUUGAGUAUCCCUACCCCGCACACAUAUUAAUGUGUUUUUGAGUUUCAAAAAGUCAAAGCAAAGAUUGCGCACCAAUCACUGAUGCACACUAUACGUUACCCCAAACCACUAACUAGUGUUCUUAACGCACACCAAAUUCUCUGUGCAGAGUAAGAACACCAAUCUCUUAACUAAUGGCACAACAAAGCACCAUAACCAAUAGCAAGUACCAAUAUUUUCAUCAAUAUAGUGUAUUAGCCAACAACUAACCUGCAACUCCACACACCAUGAGGUACAUGUAACUCCACUCAUUGUAAGAUAAGUUCAUAUUCAAGUUCAAGCCAUUGAAAUUCAUUUAAGAGAUUCACACCAGUUCAACAAUCACAUAUUCCCUACAUUUUUCAUUCUCCUUUUCUUUUUUGUAUAUUACUCCUAUAUUUACUGAUUUAAGAAGUGUUCUCUUUUCCGAUAAGGAACUUGUUUUUGUAGGAAAACUCAUGAAAAUCACCUUGUCAAUCCACUAGACAAGUAGCAAGUCUAGUCACUAAAGGCAUUGACCAAGUUCAUCAUUCCAUCAGCUUGUCAACUUGGUCAAGCCUAGUCACUCCACAACCCAAGAUUGCAACCCUUGAAAAGCCCAAUCUAACCUGAAGUUUUCAUGACAUCAUCAAUUCAUAACAACUUCUUAUCCCUAGAAAUGGCAAUGACUAGAUUAACUAAUGUAGCAAGCUUCUAGAAACGGAAGGUUCUCAAUAUGUAGGUGAUGAUUUGACAUUACUAUAUAAGAAUUUGAUCAAGACAAACUAUGUGAAUAGCCUGACAAAUGUUUUUUUUAUUGAUUAUUUGAAUAGGUUUGGACUCAAGAGAAGGUUUGAUCAUACCAGACCAGGUUAACAUCUUAAAACUACAAUAACUGGAUAUCCAACCAUUGGAUCAUGUUCAAAUUUUCCCAGAUGAUUUCAGAAGCACCUUCGAUAGUGAAAUUAUGUUGCUUAUCAUAUUGUCAGAUCUUUUAGAGUCAAAUUCUAGGCGUAAAUGCUCAUGUUUAGGUCAAUUUUGUUAUUUUUACUUGGUUUUUUUUUUGGAUUCUAUGUUUUAAUUUGAAUUUUUGUUUAAUUUUCUUUGUGCUUUUGAAUUUCUAAUUGUUUCUAAGUAGAUGUAGGGUUCUCUAGUCUAUUUAAAGAUCUUGUAAACCUAUUGAGAAGACAACCACCAUAUUUUUUAGAGAAUAAAACUGUGAAUUCAUGGUUCAUAUAUGCAAUUCUCUUUGCUUAUUAAAUCUUUUGUGUUUUUCAGUAGUUUUGUAUUGUUGUUAUCCUAUUUAACUUCCGUCUGCAUCAUUAAUAUUAUUUGAUGACAACUUUUUUUAAAAAUUAUUGGUAGAAGAUUCUGAGGGACAAUUCUUUAGACUAUAUAAAGUGCUAGAGAUAGGAUUAUGAUGUUUUAAUCAAUCGAGUAACUAACCUUCCAUAUCCCUCAUUCUUAACAUUCAACACAAGUCCUAUGAUCACUAUUUUAUGUUUAAUCUAGAAAUUAAGAUUCUGAGAAUUAUUUCAAUUCAAAUAAUUAAAUUAUUGGGUGAGUUCUUAAUAAUAAUUUUAUAUUACUAUGCUCUCCUCUUUUUAUUACUCUUUAACUAGUUUCUUUAUUUCAUUUUCUUUACUUCAAGAAUGGAUGAUAAUAGCAAUAAAGGGGGUUAUUCUGAUCAAGCUCUCACCCAUUUCAUGGCGCAAGGAUCGCUCUUCUCCAGUUAUGGCUACUAUGUUGAAGCUGCUAGUUGUUCGAGCAAGCUCGCGAAGCCUGGUUAAGUUUGCUUGCUUCGUGUUUCUUGUCGCUCUUUAGGCUUCAUUAUGGCUUUCUUGGAUCAAUUCUUUUUCAGUAUACUUUUAGGAACAUUAAUUUCCUGCAUAUAUUGAAUUUAAUCCAAGAUUUCAAUCUUGGGACAUAACUCUAUAAGAAUAAUCUUUCUUUAUUCAGAAUUCAACUAGCCAAUGCAUUUCUUUUUAAAAUAAGCUCCUGUGCUCUAUAAAUGUGCUCUUAUCAUCCCUGUCGAAUUACCAGUUCCGGAGGAUGAUCCCAUGACUCUUCUACCGAAGGAAGUUGAUUUUCUUUUCAAAAAUAUAUUCCAAACCAAGGGGUUGAAAACGAGUUCUGAAAAUAGAUACAAAAGCAGACGAGGCACAUGGCCAUGCUACAAGAUGGAAACUACUAAAUCAUGCGAGGUGAUCAAUUUUUGAUGUGAAAUUGGUGAUACAGACAAGAAAUAACAAGAGUCUCUGGAUGUGAAGAAAUCUGAUCAAAGCAAAGCCUUGAAACAAACCUCUGCAAUCCUUCUUCUAUAUAUCGAAAUUGCACUCCUUUCUCUCAACGUUGAAGCUAGCUAGAGCUGCAUGCUUUAUAAUCUAGCUGAGCAUCGACUGCUGGAAAUGGAGCAUGGCUAUGAUAAUUCAACGUUAUAUAAAAAUCAUCAUCGCAUCCAAAUGUUUGUUCUGUGCCAGUUGAUUCUGCUUAGUCGUGCCGCUACUGAUAGAUAUGGUUAAGCUAGACGGAUGUAGCUAGUAGCAAUAUAACAACGAAUCCAAGAUUUUUUUUUUUAAAAAAAACUUCAUAUUGAUAAAAAAAUAAUAAUAAUAAUUCUAAUUGAUCUAAUUAUUAAAGAAUUAAUUCAAUCUAAUAAGGUGAAAUUUUAAUGUAUAAUUUAUAUAAUUCUCAAGUAAACAGUAAAUUUACAUUUCUUGAUAACGCCGCUGGCCAGCUAUUAAGGAUUAUCAAGCUACUGUUCCUGCCUGCCUAACCGUUACUAACAGCCAAAGAUUCUUCCCGCCCAGAACCCUCUCUAUAACGACUAACCUUCCUUGCCCAUCCAUCAUACUGAGAUAUUCUGUGCUUCAAGCAUGGAUGGAAAUAACAAUGUAAGAGGUUAUUCUGAUCGAGAUCUCACCCGUCGCGUGGAGCUAGGAUCACUAUUCUUCACUCAAGGCAACUAUGCUGAUGCUGCUAGUUGCUUCAGGGAUGCUCGUGAUGCCAGGUAAGUUUUCUUUUCUUAAUUUGUGCUUCUCGUUACUCUUUAGGUUUCUUUAUGCCUUCCUUUAUAUUUAGCCCUUCUUUAUUCAGCAUUCAAAUUCAUGGUGAAUCUUCUUUAGAAUGCGCCAUUACCAGCUAUAGCCAUGGCCUUUCCUUGCUGUGUCAAGUUCCAGUUCCGGUAAAUGAUCCAAUGGCUUUUGUACCAAAGGAAGUCGAUUACUAUGAAGGUUCAGUGCUUCCAUUUCCUAGUAAAGCUUUCGGGACAUAUAUAGGUUAGUACUUGCCCUUGUAAACAUCAUUUAAUUCUUACCUUCUCAUGAUCAAUGUAUUAAAACACACACGCAUAAGUGCGCUUGCUUGCUUUAGUAAUCCGUUUUUCUGGUUCUUAAAAUAUUGAUCCAAGUUCAUGAUCCUUAUUAUAGACUCUAGACAUCAAGUUUUAGUACUGCUCUCUCUGGUUAUAGCAAUUUUUUAAGUUUCUAUCAGAUUUUCAUUAGAGAGGCGGAUGCAGAAAAAGCCCUCUGUGUAUAAAAUUAAUGAAUUCUGAAGUAUUAAUUUAAUGUAAUUUGACAGAAAAGGAUGAAGAGUCCUUGCAUGUUCCAAAACUAUCAUAGAAUUUUGUUAGAAAGUGCAUGAUGUCUCAUCAGUUUACAUUUUGUGGCUAUUGAAGUUCAGUUAGGUAGAUUUUUCCAUUAAAAGAAUCAGCAUAUAUAACUCAUCUGGUUAUGUCAAAUUUGUCUGGAAAAACUAACUCCUUAGGUUUAUGUUCUUGUUCAUGAUCAUAGGGGUGAUGGAGGAGAAUUACGUAAGAAUUCUAGAGGUUGCAAAGGGAGAACUAAAUCUUGCAUGGUCGCUUAUGGAAUAUCGAAUAGACAACUACUUACUGAAAGGAAACGUACUGUCUGCCCUGGGGGAGGUUGCAUUCAGAAGAGUUUUGCUUUUGCUUUCGCAUUAUCUUCUUUUCUGAUUUAAUCAAUAUGCUAAAGGAAUAUAUUGAUUAAAUCACACUUCCUGCUCUACAUUUUGAAGGGGAGUCAAUCCUCAGCGUUACUAUUUCGAAGCAUCGUCCAUUUUCGAUACUUGGCUUGGAGAAUACAGUAAGCGAGGAGCGGAUAUGUAUCCAUUGCCGGUUUGGUGUAUAAUCUCAUUGACAAUUACCUUGUGUGUUACCGUUUCCAUCUAUCUCAAAUGUCCCGCCUGCGUUCUAAUUGAUCACAUCCUUGCAUCAGAAUCUAGAUAUGUGAAACUAUUGAUCUGCCUGGAAGGUAGUGACGAGAGUAAAGCCCUUGCACAUGGUUAUAAGGCUUAUUUAAUAUAUGAUGCUCUACACAAGAAGCUAUUAUCUGAAAUAGAUUCGGAGACACGGACAGCAAAUCAGAGAAGAGGAUCAAGUUCUGUACUGACACAGACGGAUCCCUCUAUGCCGCAAAAUAACGGAGCUGGCAAUCAAGGCAAGUUCUUAUGAGAGACACAUUCUCUAUUUGUAUUGGUUACGUGACAAGUCAGCUGAAUCCCUUGUCUUUUCAUUUUUGAAGAUUCAACAGAAAGGCUCAUUCCUCUCACUAGUCCGGGAAAUAACUUCGGGCUCUCCUGCUGGUCGCAGAUGCGCAAGAGGAACAGUCGAAAUUAACACAAAUCUUGAACUCUGAGGAACAUAUUGAUGACUAAAAACUGACCCUCUAAUUGAUUGUCUGAAACUUGCUUUGUGUGGUUAGAUGUGGGUAUGGUUUCAUAGAAUCCCACUGUGAGCAAUGGCAGUUCAACCAUGGGAUUUCAACUGGUUAUGACAAAAUCGAUACAAUGCAGACGAGGUACAUGGCCAUGCUACAAGAUGCAAGGCGGAAACUAAAUCAUGCGAGGUGAUCAAUUUUGGAUGUGAAAUUGGUGAUACAAAGUACAAACAAGAAAGGACAAGAGUCCCUGGAUGUGAGGAUUUUGAUCGAAGCAAAGCCUUGGCACAAACCUCUGGAAUCCUUCCUCUAUCGAAAUUGCACUCCUUUCUCUCAACGUUGAAGCUAGAGCUGCUUUAUAAUCUAGUUGAGCAUCGAGUAGGCUAGAAAUGGAAGCAUGGCCAUGAUAAUCAAUGUUAUAAGAAAUCAUCAUCGCGUCCAAAACGUUAUAAAAAUAAAAAAUUAUCAUCGCCAUCCUCUUAUUUGGUUUUUAUUUCGCUUUGCAACUAGUUUUUCAAAAACUACAACUUGAUGUAAAGUAGAUUUUAAAAUUUAAUGAAAUGAAUAUAAUGCGAUUAGAAUGUAAUCAUGCUAUAAUUUAAAAAAAAUUAAUUGCAAAGUGAAAUAAAGAUAGUCAUAGUAAUUUAUAACAAAGUAUCCAUGACCUUUGCAUGGUGGCUUGAGACCUUAGUUCUUGUGACAUUAGAUAUGCAAGAGUCAUUGAAAUCUACAAAUAUACGCAUUUUCUCUCACGUAGAAAAAAUUUGAGGAUCAGAGCAUGCAUAAAUUUAGAAACAUAAAUUGGAAUGAACAUACAAAGAACCUAUUAUAGAGGAAAUCAGACCACAACAUGCUGUGCAUUGCAGAAGUAAAACUUGCAUCUUGGCCAUCAAGUUUCUAUCUUUUUUGCUUUACUAGCGCCUGAUAUAUAUCUGCAAUAAACCUGGUACUUUCGCUGCGUAUUUAUUCACAUAAUUCACCAAGAAUUUCUUCUUGCUGAUUGUUAGCAUGUUCUGUUUAUUUCAUUGUUGUUUGAGUCAGUAUUUGAAUUAGUCAGUAUUUGAAUUGGUCAGAGGAUAAGGGAUUAGCCAGAGUAUCCCUAGUCUUCAGCUUCCCACGUUUGUAGUUCCUAUUAUUAAGUUUAUCGUUGUAGGGAAUAGCCUAUUUAGGCCACUGUUCCGAAGACAGAAGGCAUGCAAUCAAUAAACAAGCACCUUUCUCUUUUAUUUCUUUCCUUCUCUAAAUUCUUCUUAUCAGACGCCCCAUAUAUAUCUGCAAUAAACCUGGUACUUUCGCUGCGUAUUUAUUCACAUAAUUCACCAAGAAUUUCUUCUUGCUGAUUGUUAGCAACCACCCAAUUCUCCUGGCCUCCUCAAUCAGCUUCUUGGAAGCCAAAACAUCAUACUUAGGACAAAGCCUUUUAGCAGUUGAAUACAUAAGAAACUUGGGAUUGAUAAUUAUGGUCUUCUAAAGCAUGCCAAUCCAAGUGGAAAUUGCUUAAAAGCUCCCACAAUCUCCUCUCCACCAAUUUAAACCAACAAGUCUAGCAUUUAUAAAGACAAGAGCUUUGGGUGAACGCCCGGAUCCUUAACACCAAUGACCGAGUAAAAUUCAUGCAAUAAUAACCAUGAAAAACGCUUGAUAGCUGCGAAAAUUCUCAAUAAAGGAGAGAAUCUUACCAUCAUUUUUCAAAAAUACAGGAUUUUGAUACGAUAAGGUAGAGGCAGAAGCUAACCCACAAAUCCAUUCGCGCUCGUGAUGAGGACCAAACAAAAUUGGGUUGAAAUCCAUGUGGGCUUCCCUUACAAUCUGCUCUAUCAAUUUGUUUGCCUUAAAAUCUAAUCUGGAUCUUCUGUGAAACUGAAAGAGUAGAUUGUAAGGGAAGUCCACUUGGAUUUCAUGAGCUGAUGAGGAGCCAUCAGCAGAUGAUGGUGAUGAAAAUGUAGAAGCAGCCAGCAGCCGACGACGACGACGACGACGAAGGUUUAUCGCAAACAAAUAAGUGGAGGAAACUAGAAAUAAGCUUCUGAGGUAGCCGUCUUACGAAGGGAUCCUCAAUUGGGCCAGACUUAAAAAUAAGAGGGCUGAGCUUAAGAUUCCUUUUCAAAAAAUACGUUGAAAUGAUAGAAAUGUGUUUGUUUGAAAUAUUGAUAAUUACUCGAGAAGUAUUAAAAAUUUCCUUCCAAACUAAAGAUAUAUUUUAUAUUUGUUUUUUAUUUAUAAUUUUGGUUUUUUCCUUCAAGAAAUAUGAUAAGUAUCUGAAAUUAAAAGAGGGAGCAAGAGUACAUUCUUGAACAUUUAGAUACCGUUUCUGGAUAUAAACAAUUAAAAUAAAAUAAAAAACUUGUUUCUUUUAUGUUUUGAAAUGAUAUAAAUUUAUGCCAAAUUAUUUUAGAGAUAUAUUUAUUUUUAUAUUAUUUUUUUUUAUAACCAAAUACAUUUUUAUCUUCUUUUUUUUGUCUUAUAAUGCUAUUUAAACAUAAUCUAACAAUUUAUUUGGAAUAUCAAUAUUUGACUUGUACCAGCCCGAUCCAAUUUAUCAUAUAUUAUUCGUUUUGAACCUUAGCAUCCUCAUGAUUUUGUUUCUGGUGAUGCAAGCCCACAUCUGAACCUGACGUUCCAAAACGCGUAUGACAAGUUAACAACUAACACUACUAAUAAAGCUCUGGCUCUAGACACUCGCUUCUGAUGUGGGAUAUCACACUAAUAUAAUUGAUUUCAAUUCUAUAUAUUUUUUGUUAUAUCUCACAUAAUUGAAUUCACAACUUCAAAAAUUGAAAGAGAUAGCCACUAUAAUAUUCUUAUCUCUAGAAUGCCUCCAACAGUCAUGAUGAAUAUUAAAUUGAUGACCGUAUCAUAGGUUAAGCCAAAUAUUUUUUUUUAUCUAAAAAAAAUAGUGUUUAAAUAAUGCUAGUGUUUUUAAAAAAGUCAAAAAAAUUUCAAGAUUUGAGCCAUUAACUCGACUAAAUUUAAUUAAUUUAGUUAAUUAAAUAAUAUGAUUAAAAAAUAAAUAAUAAAAAAUUUUGAACUAAACAAAAACAAAUA